Molecule: long non-coding RNA, 164369 nt
Filed under: Vitis vinifera (wine grape)
Lineage: Eukaryota; Viridiplantae; Streptophyta; Magnoliopsida; Vitales; Vitaceae
Description: long non-coding RNA (VVIN_LNC001392)
Source: RNAcentral
AUGUGGUGGCUUCUCUCCCUUAGGUGGUUUGCCAACUGGGGUUGGUGGCUUGUGUUCCGGAAGUGGCUUCUCUUUGUGUUCAGGAGGUGGCUUCUCCACUGGAGGCUUGUGUUCAGGAGGUGGCUUCUCCACCGGAGGCUUGUGUUCAGGAGGUGGCUUCUCCACCGGAGGCUUGUGUUCAGGAGGUGGCUUCUCCACCGGAGGCUUAUGCUCUGGUGGUGGCUUCUCCACCGGAGGCUUAUGCUCUGGUGGUGGCUUCUCCACCGGAGGCUUAUGCAAUGGUGGUGGCUUCUCCACCGGAGGCUUGUGUUCAGGAGGUGGCUUCUCUACCGGAGGCUUAUGCUCUGGUGGUGGCUUCUCCACCGGAGGCUUAUGCUCUGGUGGUGGCUUCUCCACCGGAGGCUUGUGUUCAGGAGGUGGCUUCUCCACCGGAGGCUUGUGUUCAGGAGGUGGCUUCUCCACCGGAGGCUUGUGCUCUGGUGGUGGCUUCUCCACCGGAGGCUUAUGCUCUGGUGGUGGCUUCUCCACCGGAGGCUUGUGUUCAGGAGGUGGCUUCUCCACCGGAGGCUUAUGCUCUGGUGGUGGCUUCUCCACCGGAGGCUUGUGUUCAGGAGGUGGCUUCUCCACCGGAGGCUUAUGCUCUGGUGGUGGCUUCUCCACAGGAGGCUUGUGUUCAGGAGGUGGCUUCUCCACCGGAGGCUUAUGCUCUGGUGGUGGCUUCUCGAAUGGGGGAUGCGUAGGGUAAUCAGCUAGUGAGGGGGCGGUGAGAACCACCAGGCCAAGCAACACUACUAGCAAGUAUGUAGGAGACAUCUUUGGGUUUGGGCUCAGAUGGUGCAAAACUAGGAGAAUUGGCUAGCCUUUUAUAGCGGAUCGUACCCAAUAAUGAAAUGACACGUGUCAUUAUGACCCAUGUGUCAUGUGGUCGAUUUGGGUCCUACAGUGUUGAAAACUUCGACAUCCACUUUUUUGGCCUUUUGCUUUCUCUACAGUCGCCUUGCUUUUUCCCUCUUUUCUUUUGUUUUCCUCCUGCCCCAUUCUAUCAACUAAUCACAAUUAUGUAGUUGUUUAAUUCUUAAAUGAGAUAUUAUCCGUCAAUCAUAUUAUCUUUUAUCAAGAGAGAACGGAGUGAAAAGUGGCAAUCCAAAGAAAGAAGAUCCAUAAUGCAGCUGUAAUUUUAUCGUUUACUUUUAUCUCUAGGACCACUGCAUUUUUGUUGAGAGGUGCAAUAAUACACGUCUUUAUCUGCCAUUCAAUGUUUACAGUAAAGAGAGGGCACAAAACUCUUCACUGCUCUGCAUGUGCCCCAAAAAUGCAAUUGGACAAAUUAUGAUUUGCAUGCUAAAAAGAGGCAAAUGAGGUUAAUUAGCACCAAAAUUAUUUUGUUUUCUGGACACCCCGGGGCCCUUUGGUUGGUUUGGGGGUCAGAAAAUGAACAUCAUAGGGGGUUUUUCCCUAAUGUGCAUUUGCAUUUGUAUCUGAUGGCUUUAACUCGCCUUGUUACUACAAAGAAAUUGUCACAGAUAGGAACUUAUUCCAGGCUGAGUAUCUCCGCAUGGACCCUAUAAAAGAAGACAAGUCAUAAUGAACAUCUAACCUUUGUUCAAUUUGAUUCAAUGCCCCUAUUGUGUCCAUCUCACAAAUCUGAAUUAUUAUAUCCAUUGAAUACAUAAAUUAAUGAAGAAAAUAUGAAACCCAAGAUACAUCUCUGCACAACCUCAACCCUGGUUGCUAUGUUUCACUUCUAUUCACAUGAGGAUAUUGAUUACGGAAUAAGGAAACCUAGCAAGGGUUUACUCGGCUCUGGUUUGAUGCUAAUUGCCAAACUUGCAACAAGCCCUGAGUUUGACACCUAAUCGAUGGGCGAAUUAAAAGUCUCCUCCAAACAUAUAUUCCACAGCUUGAAGCUCACAGAAGAUGCUAUACAGGCAGGGAAAAACCUUCAGAGUUAGCUACCAAAGAUAAUUAUCAAGGAGAUAUCACCAAGAGAAUUCCAUGGAGUCUGAAUCAAAGACAAAUUGCUCGCUCGUGGGGGUUCUUACUUAAUUUCUUUUGGGUAUAACUCACUGAGGGCACUGGCUUUGUUAUUUGCAUUUCGCAUUUAGAGUUCUGUUCUGGAAGGUUUGUUCUGGAAACAUAUAAAAGGAGCAUCAUUUUGUUCUAGGGUAACCCAUAGUUGUGAGUGGGUCCAUUUGCAUGCUACUUAGUUGAAAAGUUGGACAAUUUGCUCCGACGCCUACCUCCUGGAUUCCAUGCUCGGAUAAAGCAAGAAUAAUAAAAUAUUUAUAAUUUACAAAUGGGGGAAAGAAAAAAAUGUCAACAACAAACUAGGAAAAAAGAGUAGUAAAAUUUAUGCCACAUGCUAUUGAUAGAAGGGGCAUGUAUUAGAUCCAUCACCAUUUGGUAAGAUUUUAGUAUUAUAUUUUUCAAGGUUCAUUAUUUGAGGGUGUGUUCUUCAUCUCUGUUGCAUUGCUUCUUACUAGGCCCACUGAGGUGGGUUCUUCACCUUUUGUAUAUUCUCUGCACUAGAUCAAUGAGAAAGGGGGAAUUUUGGUGAAUUUGCAGCCGUUGGAUGAUUGAUUCUAGGCUCAGUCCACCAAUGAUGCUCUCUUCACUCUUUCUCAUCUAGUGUCAUUCACAACUAUGUUUUGAUUCAUAUUUGUACUAUCAAAGAUAUCUCAUUAUUCUAGCUCAUUAGGUAGAGUUCCUAAUCUUCCUCCUUUUUGGUCUAUGGACAGUAUUGGCUUCAUAUUAAGAUCAUGUUUCAAUAAUUGCACAUUAAUGAAUGGAUCAUGACCCACAUAAACAGAGUCAGGGUUGAGUCAGUGAACCCUAAAAUUUCACAAUUCUAAAUUUGGGUUCUUUAACAAUGCAGGGUCAAGGACGCGUGGUGAUGAAGGAAAGCUGGUAAGCUCAGUGUUACUUCAAUUCCUGCCAUGUAGGAUGGUGAGGAGAUAUUCACUAUGCAAUUAAUAAUAGACAAUAUUCACUAUGCAAUAAUAAAGCAUAAAUUAAGUUGAAUGAAAAGCAUUUUCUUUGCAAGGAGUUGAUUUUGGUUUCAUAGUUUGUUCAACUGCUAUUUUGGAUAGGAAAGUGUGAGGAGAAGAAAAUAAAAAAUAAAAAUAAAACAAAAAAUAAAAAAUAGAUUUUAUAAAUUCAUUUAAUUUAUUUUUUUUUUAUAAAAAUUAACUAAUUUAAAAUAUAUGUAAAUUUCUAAUUAAUUUAAUUACAUUUUUUUUUUCAGUUUUUCAUAAUAAACCAAAUAUUAGAAAAUUAUUUUUAUUAAGACACCCAAGAUGAGGUAAUAUGCAAUGAAAACAUGAAUUAUAUUAAAAUUCAAAACAAAUUAAGAGAAAUCGGAAAAUAUACAUAGAUAUCUAAACAAAGAAAUUUAAAGAGAAGGAACCACAAACUUUAUUUACAUAAUUUGAAAAUAAAAAACAUAAAACAUACUUAUAGUAAGGAGAAAUUGAAUAUCUUACAAUGGAAGAAGGGAGAAAAGCUUUGAAGAAAGCUUUUGCUUGGAAGCUUACAUGGUGAGAGGUAGAGAAAGGAGAGAGAGAGAAGAAAAUGAAAAAUGAGAAGUGGAGAAAAUUGGAAGUUUUGUGUGCUUACAACUGAGGAUAGAGCCUCCUUAAAUAGCAAAAAAUGGAAUAUUAAAUAGUACCAAUCAGGAGACAAAAUAUUGUUUGCUUUUGAAACCCGUGCAUGAAUAGUAAUCCCGUGAGUGAAUAGUGAAUAAUAAAAGUGAAUAGUAAAAGUCACUUUCUACUAUAGCACUUUAGACUUUUUCAUCGAGAAUCUUACUUUCGGCUGAGUGAUGAUAGCUGAUAGGUUGCUUUGGAUUGUGGAGUCAUAUGUUUGAUGUUUUCGGUGCUGAAACCGCUUAGUUGGAGAAUAAUCUCGUCAGUAGAGCAUCAUGAGAAGCUUGAAUGGAGAGAGCUUAAUGAUGCCAUAUGAUUGGAAGGAAUCCUAUUUUAAUUUCCUUAUUGGAGGGAGAAUACCCUCACAAUCAUCUUCAUUAUCUUGAAGGUAGUUUGAUAUAGAGUCAUCUGACUCAGCAUAAGAGUCCUCUUGGGAGAAGCUUGAACUGCUUUUGUCAAGGAUUUUCUGAAAUUCUUGAGGGGUUUUUGCUAUUGCUAACAUGGUUUGGAGUUGCUGUUUCUUAAGAAGAAACUGUGCAAUAUCAUAAGAUGAUGAAGCUUGUGUAGGAUGCUUUAGGAAAUAUUGCUUUAUUGCUUGUAGUGAGGUAUCAUUUUUCAAGGCAUCCCACCACUUAGACUUGAAAGUCCUUCCAAGGGUUGGAAAGGCUGCUGAUUCAUCUGCUAUAAUGAUAUAAUCCCACUGGACUAUCCAGGCAAGGCCAAAUUCACUAAAAAAGAAUAAUAAUUGGGGAAAACUGAAAGUUCUCUAGGGAUAACAAAAGAACUUUGGAAUAGCUCAAAGCCAUCCAAAAUGGGUUUUGGGAGAAUUUUAAUAGUUGGACCAAAAUAUGUCCACCAAUUGUGGAACCAAAAUGGAAAAGAGGGGAGUUGAUGCUUAGAUGGGAAAUAGAACAUCCCUGAAUGAUGGAAGUCCUUGUUCUGGAUCAGAAAAGCAUUGAACCAUACUCUUUGGUAGUCUCAAUAAUUGAAAAUUUUAGGUUUUGAAGGCUUAGAAAAUUCUCUUGAAAAAUUAGGAUUCCCACCCCACUGCUUAACUGUAAGGAUUUUAUAAAUAUGGUAAGUGGAGAAUGCCAAAUCCAAAUUGCUGAAUUUAUCAGCAUUGUGCUUGAUUUUAACAGAGCCGGUUUCCAUAAGGAUUGCUUCAUAAAAUUCUCUUGUUUUUAAAAGAUCACCAAAGGGAUAAUGAAAAUUUUCAUGAAAAGCUUUUGCUGCAAUAUCUCUAGGGUUUUUAGAGAAAAACUCUUUUUCAAUAACCAAAAGAGGUUGAUUUAAAUCUUUUUGCCAAUAUCUUGCUUUUGCUGAAAGAGGUGUGGGGUUGGCUACCACCACAAUUUGCUUAUUUGAAAAAGAAGAGCUUGAUGCUAAUUCAUUUUGAGAGGGAUUAGCUUUAGUAACCUGCUUAAAGGUCUGAGACACAGUAAUAGUUGGAUACUGAGUAGCCUUGACUGGUUUAGAAGGAUUCGAAGGAUCAUAGUACAAGGACAAAAUCUUAUUAGGCAUAUGGUCAGAAGAAUGAAGCCUUGCUUCUUCUUCUAGCUCAACUUGUUGGCUCCAAAGUAUUUUAUGGGGAGAAGGUUCUUUGCUGGUUUUAGAAGACUAGGAUUCUGGAAGUUUAGGAGCUUGGGUAUUCUUUUUAGGGGCCAUGGUUUCGUGAAUCCUGUAAAAUUCACAAGUUAAGAAAUCAGGGCUCGAAGAAUGUUCUCCUUUAAUAUACUCAAUUUGUAAAUUAAAAUUGCUUAAAAUAGCUUGAUAUAUAGCAAAAAUAUGCUUAGAAGUUAUAUUCUUAACAUCCUUUUGUAAAACUAAUUUUGCAAAUUUACAAUCAACUCUUAAUAAAAACUUUUGAUUCAAAAGAUCAUCUUGAAAUUUUGAAAUGCAUAAAACAACGCUUAAAGUCUCUUUUUUAAUGAUGUUAUGAAUGAGUUGGGUAGUAUUCCAGGUUCUUGAAGUAUACCUAACUAACAUCUCAAGGUUACCAACACUUUGCUUAAGAAUCCCACCAUAACCUAUGUCUGAGGUAUCGAUCCCAACAAACUCAAAGGUUUCUGGAUUGAUAGAGCCUAAACAUGGUAGGGUCUUGACUUUGGACUUAACAUCAAUAAUGAAAACAAUGGUGAAAACAGAAAACUGGUUAAAGUUUUCAUCCAUUAUAUUCUGGAAUUCUGAGGUGCAUUCUUAAGAUCAAAGGGCAUUAUGAACCAUUCAUAAUGUCCAAGAGAUACCACAAAGGUGGUCUUAUUUGGAAUAGGACACCUAAUCCAACUUAAUGUAUCAUUAAGAGGCAUGUAGUUGACGACUAGUCUAGGUGUUCCUUUUUCUGAUUCAACUUGUUCCUGAACAUAGAAGGUUGAACAACUCCAAAGGGACUUAGACUUCCUUAUCAACUUUUUAUCAAGAAGAUCCCAAAUCUCCUUAUCACAAUAGCUUAACAAACCCUUGUUCAUCUGGAUAGGUCUUGAUUUAGUGGGAAUAUUCUUGUCACUAAAGUCUAGUUCAUAAGGUAAUUCUACCUCAUGUUGUUUCCUAUGCCAAAAUGCAUUAGGAAUGUUAGAGCAAACUUCUUCAACAAUCAGAUUAAUUUCUUGCUCAUGACUUUCCUUAGCUUGAAUCACCUGAUCCCUUAAGGUGUUUAUAUUUUUCUUAUUAGGUGGUUGGCAAAUUCAAAAAUAAUUUCCUUAUCUAAGAGCUUUGUUCUUAUACUUUGGUCAUCUACCCACAUGGGAUAGAUGGAGCUUAAAAAGGGGAUUCCAAGGAGAGCUUUCUCCUUAAGAUCCUUAACUAGAAUGAAGGUUUGCUUGAUGCAAAUGCCUUGGUUAUUUAUGUGAGCAUCUGACAGCUUAUACUCAAUGUCAAGCCUUUUACCAUUAGCUCCAAAGAGAGAUUCUUUGGUUUUCUUACAAAACUUAAUAGGACCUAGACCUUCUUGUAGGCAAUUCAAAGCUGUUCCUGAAUCAAUCAAAGCAACAAUAUCAAUGACAAAUUUACUCUUAAUUACUAUAGUAAGGGAGACUUUCCACCUCUGGAAAAUAACCCUACUAACAGUAUUUAAGUAUCCAUCCGUCUUUUCAUCAUUAGCAUGUGAAGAUUCUAGAACCUCUUCAAGGUUUUCCUAGUUAUCAACAAGAUUUUCUAUAACAAUCCUAUUUAUUUGUUCUUGGAGAUCUGAAAAACCUAAGCUUGUGUAUUGUCUUAAAUCUUUAAUUUCCUUCUUAUACUGUCUUACUUCUUCUUGAAGAUCCUUAAUGGUUACGUCUUUGGUAGACUACUGGUUAAAUCUUCCUAAGAUUUCAUUUAAGUUAUAAGAAUUUACUGUCUUCUUAAUCUCUUGCUUAUCGACAAAUUUCUUAAAAACUUCAUAAAGAUCUUGUUUAGUUUUUUCAUCUUCAACUUUCCUUAAAACAUCUAGGACAAGUUCUUGAUCUUGGCUUAUGACAUUUAUAGUCUUAGGUUGGCAAUCACAAUUAUCCUUAAUGUAUUCUUCUUGGUCACUAGAAGUUUGGCUUGAGAUUUCCUCACCACUACUAUCUAGUUGGUUAAUACCAUUUUCAUUAUCUGAAUCAAUCCUUGAUUCAGACUCUGUGGAAUUUAACAUUACUUUACAAAGCAUAUCUUUUAAGUCUUCUGUGACAUUUAAGUUAUUAAUUUUCUGCUUAACCCUACAAUCUUUCUUAUAGUGGCCUAUCUUACCACACUUAAAACAAACUGGCUUAGAUUGUGAAGGAGCUUCUAGCUUUUUAUGGGCUUCUUUGUUCAUCAUUCUUUGGAUGUGCCUUUGUUUCUUAGUUUCAUUCAUCCUAUAGUUGCCAUGAGUUCCUCUCUUGUUGUGAUAGGACUUUUCCUUACUAGGCUUUGUACUUACUUGUUUCUUACGUUGCUUAGAGGGGGGCUUAGUUUCUUUUUGGUUGAAUCCAAACUAGCUACAAAAUGAACCAAACUCAUUCUUGUAGAUCCUUUGUUCAUUUUUCAUCUGUUGCUUAAGCUUAAAGUCAUUGCACAGUUUAAUUGCUUCUGAUGUGACAAUGCUUAUAAUUUCUCCAUAAGAAAGCUUAUCAUAAGGGAUUUGUCCAUUAAACUGUUCCCUUAUCUUAAUCCUAAUCCUCUCAGAGAAAAGUCUAGGUAGUCCUAAGAUGAAUUUUUCUUUCCAAAAAGACUGGUUAUAGUUUGAUCUUAGUAUGACUUUGGUUAGGAAAACUUCUCUAUACCAUCUAAAGUCAUGAAGCUUGGGACACUUAAGGUUGGUUAAGAGAUCUACAAUCUUAUCCUUAAUCUUUGCAGGAUCUCCAAUGAAGUGCUUUGAAAUUGAAUAGAUUAGAGUAGCCACUACAUCCUCUAUAUCUUGUCCAUCUUCAUCCUUAACCACUUCAUUUUCCUCAUUAAUCCUAUAGGCUUUUAGGAUACCAUUUCUAUCCUCAAAGGUGAGAUAAUUAUCCCACCAACCCUAAAGUUGACCUGUAAACCCAACAACAAUUGUUUGAGCUACAGCAUGGCCUGACAAUCUAUUGUUUAACUUAUAGGUUGUACUAACCAUGGUCAUUUCUUGAAGCUUAGUGAGUAUGUUGUACUCAAUCAUACCAUCUAUGUUCCAUUCAUAGAUAGUGUCACUAGUGUAGGAAGCUUGAGUAUGCUGGUUUCUUUCCUCAUACUACAUAUCAGGAAAAGUUGGUCUAGGGUAGUAAUUCCUAGUUCUUGGUUGUUGAUAAUCCUCAUAACUGUUUGGUUAGGAGGUUCCUUAAAAAUCUUAAUUAGUUCAUCAGCCUCUGCUUCAGAACUAAUUUCUCCUUUAACCAUAUUGAUUCUCUUGUGAGAUGGUUGAGGUGUCUCAGAGACAACAAGGCUAUCCUUAACCUUUUGGCUUAUCCUAUCAAUGAGGGCUUGAUCAAUAUGGAGAUUCUCUAGGAAUUUCUUAGAGAAUUCAAAAGGCUUAAAUAAAGACUUAUUAUCUUUCUUAACAAACGUAGUCUUAAUGUAGUCUUGUGUUUCAAUGAUAUCCUCAAACUUGUUGAGUUGAUCGCCUGUAGUCUUAAGAAACAUGUUAGUGUAGUUGUUUUGUUCCAUGAUUCUUCUAACGUCAACAACACUAUCAAUUCCUUUAUUCUUUGGCCUAGUCUUAAAAGGUGAAGCUUUGACUAUGGUUCAAUUAAUGUUCUUUUAUAUCUUAGCUUCUAGAGGGUGGAUGGAUUCUAUGAUAGUAUCGUCACUAGUUUUCCAUAUCUUAGUUUUUUUGGAUGUGUCAUUGACACGCUUACUAGGGUAAUCUAGAUAUUCCUCUUGUUUGAAGAGUUCAAACCAGAUCCAAUACUUAAUGUUCUUCUUUUCUUGUCUUAAGUAUGUGUAGAAUUCUUCUUGGUAGAGGGUUCUAAUGUCUUUAAGGACCUUGCUAAAGAACCAAACUCUCCUUUUCUUAUUGACUUCAGAAUAGAAGUCUUUCCUUAAGAGGUCCUUGUUGAUUCAAAGUCUUCGUUAAUUAGGCUUACAGUGUUAAUCAACUGAGAAUAAGUAGGAGACAUAUCAGGAGAUUCGUCCUGAUGUGAUUCUUGAGUAAACUCAUUUUCCUCCAUGUAAAAGGGUUUGGCCACGUUGGUGUGACUUCUAACACCUGUUAGCUUAAUAUUCUUAGGAUUUGCUGAACUAGAUCCUUCCUCUAUCCUAGUGGUUCUUAUUGGGAUAGAUGAACUUGAAGCUCUAGAGGGCUCAUAAUAUGAAAUUCUAAGGCUGCUAGAAUGAUGAAAAGAGUUGGAGAAAAUUAGAUCUCGUUCUCCAUCAGGAUAUUGAACAAUCUGUUCAAUUCUUUCAGAUCUUUGCUCUAUGGCUGGGACAACAUUAGCAAAAUGCCAAUUUUCUGGAAACUCAACCUCAUUCCACUUGAUUUUCAUGGGGACUAUGAAAUUAGACUUGUUUAUCAUAUCUAAGUGGAAGAUAGUGGUUUCACCCUUGGGACUGGUGCACAAUGCUCCAAAUCCAACGCUUAUGGUCAUGCUCUUAUAGGCAAAUCUGGUGAUGAUGGAAACAUGAUUGUUUCCUUGCUUGAACUUAAAGUCAUGGGUCUUAACAUGAAGGACAACUGAAUCUAAGAUGUUGACAUCUCUUAGUCUAACUGUGAAGUUAGGGAAACACUGGAAAUAAACAGGACCAUCAUUUAAUCCUGCUUGGGUAGCUCCAAUAAUAGAAUCUCGGUAAUCAAGAUGUCUAUUAUCUCUUAAACACAUGACAAUAAAGGUGUUUAGACCUAGUCUUGUCAAGGGCUUAGCUGCAACUUGAAUCAUGCCAAAGUGUAUGAAGUUGUAGUCUCGCUUAUGCUUAUCAAUGGACUUACUAUCCAAGAGUCUUAUGACUUGAUCGUCGUGUUCUAAACUUACUGACAUUUCAGGGGUUUUAAUGGUGUAAUCUGUAAAGAACUUAAAGGUUCCUUUCUUAUAAAUUUCUUGAUUAGGUACCUUGGGUAACUUCCAAUCAUCUAAAUCAUCUUGGAUCUUAGGAUAAUUGAUCUCUUCAUUGUUUACUCUUGAGAAUUUGUGGAUUUCCUAGACAUGGUUCUGAAAAUCAAACUCAUUUUAAGGUUUUAAUCUAGAGCCUAAUAGCAGAUUAACAGACCUAGUGAGUAAUCACCCCAACCCUUUUCCAACCUUAACAAACGCCUAUCUCCAGCUAACAAUGGGCUCAACUCGGCAAGGAUCGCACUCAGGCACACUACUAUCUUUCCUAGGAUAGAUCAAAACACCCAAAACAAACCCGACUUCCUUUUCCUAGGAUAUAUAUAGUAUUUUGGGUUUGAGUAGGAGUUCAUGUUUUGUAUGUAAUUGUAGUCUACGUUGGACUAGGUUGUUUGCUCCUAAUUGAAAUAGGAAUGGUUGGUGUCACAUCUCAUUCAUUUUCUCAUCUAUUUCCAUGUUUAGAUAACUCAAGUAAUCAUAGGAAUGAAAUUAAGAAUGAUUUGAGGGAAAUGAAAUCUCACUUGUAAGUGGGAUCUCAAUUCAUCAUUAAUAGAAGGUAUUUUGAUUACAUAGUGCAAGUUAUUUUUAAAAACACUUUUCAAAAAUUGAAAAACCAAAAACUCUCUUGGAUAAGUUGUUUUUAAAAAGAAUUUUUGUAUUUUUAUUUUGUAAAAAAAAAAAAUAGUAAUUCAAUUUAUAUAAUAUAAAUAGACUUUAAUUUUAUUAAAAAUAAAAAUAAUUUUUUAAUUACAAAUAAAUUAAAAAAUAAAUAUUUGUAAUAAAAUAUGAAUAGUAAUAUUAUAAUAAAAUCAUAAAUAAAUUAAAAAUAUUUUUAAAAACAAAUAAGUUUAAUUUUUUUGAGGUACAAAUGAGCCAAAUUUUUCAUUAGGUACACAACCAACAAUUUUUAUUGGAAACAUUCCUCAAAAAAGAAUUCGUUUCCCAUAUAGCAAAGAUAUUUAUUAUUUAGUAUCUAACCAUCCGUAGUAAUCAUAUCAAUUCUACUAAGUUAUUUAAUAAUUCAUUUAUAUAUAGUACUCAAUUAUGAAUUUUUUUAUUUGAUGUAUAAUUAAUUAAUCAAUGUUUUGAAUUUUGAAUUAUUCUUAAAAUUUAAAACAUUAAUUAUGUCUAUUACUUUUUAUAGUCAUUAUAUAUAUAUAUAUAUAUAUAUAUAGAGAGAGAGAGAGAGAGAGAGAGAGAGAGCUUAAAUUUAUCUUUAAAAAUUAUUAAAUUUAUUAAUAAAUUCAAUACAAAGACUCAUUUGAUUUGAAAUUCAUUUCUUUAGUGAAAAUUUUGAAACUAAAUAGUACUUUGUUUUACUUUGUUUUUAAAUCAUACUCACAAAUAAGUUUUUAUCAUUUAGCCAAAAAAUCUCAAAGAUGUUUCUAAUUUUAUUUAUUUAUUUAUUUGUAAAUGAAAAUAAAAAAUUAGUUUAAACUAAAUAUGCGGAUAUUAUUGUUAAUUUAUUUCAUUUUUUAUUUCCAUUGUUAUUUAACAUUGAAACGGAAACAAAUAAUCAUUCCAAUCUUACAUUCUUAUAUGCAUCUAAACACAAGAAUUGAAAUCACCAAAUUCAUAUUCAAGGCAAAAUAGAAAUGGAAAAAAAAUAUUCAUUUUCAUUCCUCAUUCUCAUGUGCUAAACAUGACAUUAGUUCUACUACCUAUUUCACCAUUCUUCUUGAUAAAUUUGGUAUAUGCAAUAUUGAUCUAAGUGUGAGGUGAAUAAGAAUGAUGAUGGGAUGGGCUUGGAAAUAAGGGCAAAGUUUCUAGGUGCUAUCUAGAGGGGCAACGCGACUUUUUCAAAUUUCGAAUAUUUGUUCUCAACAUAAAGCAAAACUUUACUCACACAAUAGAUAAGACUCUGUUUGUUUUCUUCAUCCACGACUAUAUAAUGUAUAGCUCUUACUCAAGGGAUGAGCUACUUACUAUUAAGGAUUGGGUAAGAUAUUGCCUAAUGGCCAAGAAGGCAUGUCAAAAAAUAAAUCUAAUCACCAUAAAAAAUAAUAGGGGAAAAUUAAUAUAUUAUGAAUGAUGACUUUACUAUUUCUCUAUAUACAUAAUUAUAUAUUUUGAAUUUUCUCACUAGGUAAUGAGAUUCUAAAUCAACUGAAACAUAAUUAAUAAUUUAUAUUUUUAAUGAAUCUUUUAAUUUUUAAAAAUAAUUUAAAAUUUUAAAAAACAAUUCAAUUAAUUACAUAUUAAAUCAAAACAUUUCAAAAUAUUGUGUUUGUAGAUGAGUACUAAAUGCUUGCAUAUAAUAAUAAUAAUAAAAAAAUUGACUCAUUUAGAUGUUAAAAAAGUUAAAUGUUUUUCAUUAUUCAUUUUAAGUAAAAUAUUAUUGACAUUAUUAUUAUAAAAUUAUUAUUAUUCAUUUUUAACAAAAAACAAAAUAAGUUAUUCUUUUACCAAGAUGUCAAUAUCUAUAUUUUUCUAACAUAUAUUAAAAUAGUAUACUUUUCUUUUAUUAAAAAUAAUAAUUAUUAUUAUAUUAUUAUUCAAGUUUUAUUAAAAAAAUUUAUCUUUUAAUUCAUUUGUAAUUACAAAAUAAUUUUAUUUUAUUAAGAAUUUAAUUUAAUUACGCUUUUUUUUUUUAUAAAAAAAACAGUUAUGCUUUUACCAAGAUGUUAAUAUUCAUAUUUUUCUAGCUAACAUAAAUAGAAUAGUACACUUUUUCAUAUAAAAAAAUAAUUUAUGAUUUUAUUAUAAUGUUACUAUUCACAUUUUACUAAAAAUAUUUAUUUAUUUUAUUUAUUUUUAAUUAUAAAAUAAUUUUAUUUUCAAGAAUUUAAUUUUAAAAAAAUAGAAAUCAUUUAUUCUUUUACCAAGAUGUUAAUAAACAUAUUUUUCUAACAUAUACUAAAAUAAAAAAGUUUACUUGUUCAUUAAAAAAUAUAAUUUAUGUUUUUAUUAUAAUACUACUAUCUAUGUUCUACUAAAAAUAUUUAUUUAUAAUUAAAAAAUAAUUUCAUUUUUAAUAAGACUUGAACUAAAUUAAAUUUAUAAUUUUUUUUUAAAAUAAAAUAGAAAAUUAUUUUUUAAAAACAACUUAUUGAAAGAAAUUUUUUAUUCUUUACUUUUAAGAACUGUUUUUAAAAGCAACCUAUAAACCCCUUUGGGUCUGUUUGGCUAUGUUUCAUGCAACUUGUUUUUAAAAAUUGUUUUUUAUUCUUUAAUUUAAUUUUUUUUAAGUUAAAGAAUAAAAAACAACUUUCUAGUGUUUUAUAAAAAUGAGAGCUUUUGACAAGUUGUUUUUAAAAACCAUUUUUAAAAAUAAAAAAUAAAAAACUUAUUUAGAUAAAUUGUUAUAUAUAUAUAUAUAUAUAUAUUUGUAAAAACAUUUUAAAUUCAAUUUAUAUAAUAUAAAUUUAAUUUAAUUUAAGUCUUAUUAAAAAAAAAUUGUUUGGAUAAGUUUUUUUUUUUAAAUAGUUUAUUAUUUUUGUUUUGUAAAAACAUUGCAAAUUCAAUUUAUAUAAUAUAAAUUAAUUUAAUUCAAGUCUUAUUAAAACCAAAAUAAUUUUAUAAUUACAAAUAAAUUUAAAAAUAAUUUUUUUAGUAAAACAUGAAUAAUAAAAUUAUAAAUUAUAUUAUUGUGGACCCUGCAUUUAUGCUCAUGCGCUUCCACUUGUUGGCGAACUCAUUUUUUAUUUGAAAAUGAUUUAUUUUUUUAGAAAAUGACUUAGAGUCGCCACUUAUUUUUGUUUUAUUUUUAAAGGGCAAGCAAAAUAAGAAAGAAAACCCUAAGUGUGACUCCUUAUUCGAAAAAGGUAGUCUGUGUAAAACCGGAUCAGGGUUCAGGGAUCAGGUUACUUAUUGGGAAGGUAUGACAAUGACCGUAGCACUCCUCUAAGUCCUUAAAAACGGGCCUCUACUAAAAAAAAUAAAGUAAUCAUGGCAAUCAGUAAGGAAAUCACUGGAUACCCAGAACAAUUAUGCACAUGUGAGAAUUAAAACAUGCAUAAGAAUGGACAAAGUGAGAGUGGGUGCGUACCUUGACAACGAACCACAAUGCGUUAUCAAGAAAUGGGGUUAGUGCACGAUCAAUGAACAUAAAACACGUCACACAUGUCACUAAGCAGAGUGAGAAAUCAUCAGAUAUUACAAUUCAAUCAAAUUUAUUUUUAGAAGAAACAUCUGUUGAUGUAGAGCCCCUACCAAAGCCUAAUUUAUUUUUGCAUGAAUCAAUUUCAUAAAUUCAAUCGCUUGGAAUUACAGAAUUAAAUUCAUGCUUAUUUUAAAACAUCUUUUUAAAAUCAUGGAAGAUGUGAAAAUGGUUUUCCAAAGAGAAAAUGACAACUGAUUUUAUUGAAAAUGGGAUUUUGGGGACCUAAACGUUAAAGAGGGAUUAGGAAUUGAAAAUUAAAUCAUUUGAAAAUUGAAUUUUUCAAAAAUCAGUUUUGAAAGCAUGCAUGCAAGUAUGGACUGUGAAAGUGGGCCUAGGGAGGGUGGCCAUGCAAAAUGAGGUCAUACACGUGGGCCUUGGGUACAAUUGGGACUACUUUGCUGGUGCCAGUGGUGCUUGCAGCUGUCAUCCAUGAUUUCUUCAUUGGGAUCAAUUUCCAUUCUUACUGCCAAACAUUCCAUAACAAUUGACCAAACUAGUAACCCUGACCUUGCAUGAAAAUGAACGUUACCUAGAAACUCACUGCCAGUGAGAUUCAUUGCUCUUUCAAAAGGUCUCAUUUUCUUUCUCAUCCAAUUGCUUUAAGGAGCAUUCUAGCGUCACGAUUGGUGACUGCGCAUCAUCUAGAGCCUUCUUUCUUCUCAGAAUCAGGUUUGCGUGCAGAGGCCUGUGCUUGUUCAAGGUUGACCUAAAUUCAUCUAGGUUUAGAACCGACCAGUUGAGCUUGGGGAGCAACGACAAGAAUAUCAGUCACUUGCGAAGAGAAAACUCGAGAUCUUUCAAGUAAUGCCUGACAUAGAUUCCUCCAACCUGUGGCCAAUAUCUCAUUCCUUGUUGGCCAGACGCCUAUUAGGGCGUAUCUCAAUCAAUAAUAUGAUUUUUCGUUUGUUCACAAUAAAGACCGGAAGCCAUGGUUGUGAUUUAUGCAGUACAGAAGAAGUUGCCAUGGCUGGUAUCCUUACAAAUUCUGGUGUUUCUGCUAUCUGUUCAAGUGCAAAACACAACAGCUUUAUCAAGUUUGUCCCUAACAACUGAUAUUGAGCCCUCUGGAGGAAACCUUGAUAAAUUCAUAAUCACUUUUGACUCAUGCAUGGGCUGCCCAUCAAAUUUUCCUAGCAACGAGACGACUGCUGUCAUCUACUGCAAAGAGAAUUUCUUCUCGCAAAGACAAGAGGAGUUUAAGAAUACACACUAUUCUGCCAUUUCAUUUCCUCUUUCUCCACAACCAACAUAAACCAUAGUGUCUACAUUAGAGUACUUAGAAAGAGCUUAACUGAUGACCGUUUUUCCACAACCAAAUGCCCCAGGUAUGGCACAAAUUUCACCGAAAACAGAAGGGAAAAGGGCAUCAAGAACACGCUGUCCUGUAAGUAGUGGGGUAUCAGGACUACUCUAGGGAAGUUAUUUCUGUCAUUUUGAAAAAGAAAAAUUAAAGAAUGUACACAUGCUUUCAAGUGGACUGGAGCAUUCUACAUAUCAGGUGGUCUGUAGCCACAUGUGCCACUUUGUGGAAGUUGGAACAGUCGAUCACUAGGCUAUUUAGUGUGGCCAAGCCACGUUAAUCAAGGACAAGUCUUCAUACUUAAAAGUCAAAUGGUGCCUUUAGUCUCAUUACACAUGGCUAUUUAAAGAUGAACUAAUCUUUAGUGUAAUGUGAUUAAGACAGUACUAACUGAUCAAUAUUUUUUCUAAUUUUGGAUGCAAAUGCUUGCUGGCUUCAUCAUUGGAUGGGAUAAAGGUGCAUUCAUGACUCUGAAUACUUGCAGUAAUACUUGCAGUAAUACUUCAUUCUCUUUUUUCUCGAUGAGACUUCUUGGCACAAUUUUGCUUCUCAGCAACCUACCUCUCCAUGGAAAAUGAGUUGCGAUUGAUGGUACUGGAUAUUUUCUAGGAAGCUAAAUAUAGAUAUAUAGCACUCAAUGUCAACGAUAUAUAUAGCAUUAACAGUAUAUGUCUCAAUGCUCAUCAGCUACAAGCAAGGGACAAACACUUACAAUGAAUAACUCACGUCAACAUUCCUAAACAGGACAUAGAAGUGACAGAUCUAUAUAUAGAACACUGCAUAUGAGUCACAAGAAAAGAUAAUACGGGUGCAUAGCAGCUCUUAUAUUACAUAUUACUCAUACCGUUCAAAUUCACUCAGUUGGGAUGGGUGGGAGAAGGAGGCCUCUGGGGUGGCUUGUGCGUGUGAGAAGUGGAAGAAAGUUGAAUGGAAUGAAACUGAAAAACAGGGUAGAAUAGAGGUUUCUUGAAUCUUCUGAAAUCUUUAUUUUUCUGAGAUUUAUUCUCUGUUUUUGUGAGUCGUGACUCUACAUAUAUACAUGUAUUUAAAGUUAGUUAUGCCUUAUAACUAAUUAUCUAACAGUACCAAAACUAAUCAUCUAGUUGCAUGUUUCUAAUUAAUGCUAUUUAGUUACAACUAUAUAUGGCUUAACAUCCUCUCUCAAACUCAAAAGUCUAGCUAGAACAGUGAGUUUGCUUCAUAGAUUGAGAAAUUGUUGAAUAGGUAAGGCUUUGGUAAGAGCAUUAGCAAUCUGGUCAUAAGAAGGAAUGUGUUGAACCACCAAAGUCUUAUUGAGCACCUUUUCCUGAACAAAAUGGCAAUCUAGUUCCACAUGCUUAACUCGAGAAUGAAAAUAGGAUUGGCAGCAAGAAAGGUGGCUGAAAGAUUGUCAUAGAACAAAACAAAAUAGGAGAAUAAGAAGAUGAGAUAGAAAACUCCUGAAGAAGAUGUUGAAUCCAUUGAAGUUCAAAAGCAACAUUUGCUAAGGCCCUAUACUCAGCUUCAUUGCUGGAACGAGACACAACUUUCUGCUUACUGGAGUUCCAGGAGACUAGAUUAGAGCUAAAAAAGAUGCAAUGACCACUUGUACUUCGACGAUCAUCAGGGCAACCAACCCAAUCAACAUCAGCAUAAGCAGUAAGUUGAAAAUCAGGAGAAGAAUAAAAGGAAAGACCAAAGGAAGUAGUGCCCUUAAGAUAAUGCAACAAUCGUUUAACAACUUGCCAAUGAAGAUCAGUUGGUUAUUGCAUGAAUUGGCAAAGUUUAUUGAUAGAGAAAGAGAUGUCAGGCCUUGUAAUGGUACAAUAUUGCAGGGCUUCAACAAUGUUGCGAUAUUGAGAAGGGUCAGCCAAGAGGGAACCUUUAGAGGCAGAUAAAGUGUGAGAGGUAGUCAUUGGUGUAUCAAUAGGUUUAAAAUAUGGAAGACCAGCACGAGUUAACAAGUCCUGAAUAUAUUUGGUUUGGGAAAGAUGAAGAGAAGAUCCUUGCCAACAUACUUCUACACCCAAGAAGUAAUUCAGAAUACCAAGGUCCUUGAGAGCAAACUGAAAGUGUAAAGACGAAACCAUUUGGUGGACUAGCACGGUAUUAAGACCACUAACAAUAAUGUCAUCAACAUAGAUGAGAAUAAUGAUCAUGUCAGUCCCUUUCCGAAGAGGAGCUUGCUUCAGACCCUACAAGGCUUUGCGAAGUUUACAGAAAAAACCGGGUUUAGAAUGAUCAACAAAGCCUGGAGGUUGAACCAUGUAAACCUCUUCUUCUAACUCACCAUUGAGAAAGGCAUUAUUAACAUCUAAUUGUUCCACUAACCAACCAUGAGAAAUAGCAAGAGAAAGAACAAUUCAUAUAGUAGUUGGUUUAACAACAAGGCAAAAGGUUUCAAAAUAAUCAAUACCAUAUGUUUGAUUAAAACCCUUUGCAACUAAGUAGGCUUUAAAACGAUCAAUUGAGCCAUUAGCUUUGAGUUUCAGCUUGUAUAUCCAUUUACAACUAAUAAUGCGUGUAUUAACAGGUUUAGGAACCAAUGUCCAUGUGGAAUUGGUGAGAAGAGCAUCAUACUCAGUCUUCAUAGCAGCUUGCCAAUUAGGAUGCAAUAUUGCUUCUUUGAAAGAGGAGGGUUCGACAACAGUAGUUUGGAUAGCAAGGCUAAAUAUUUUUUUGGGUUUAAAAAUACCAUUUUGGCUACGAGUAACAAUAGUUCGGUUUGGAAGUGAAAGAGGAUCAGUGGAGGAGGCUGGAACAAGGGAUUGUGGUAAAGUAGGAAAGGAAGGUGGAUGAGAUGGAACAAAAUCAGUAGGGACAAUAAUGGGAGAAGAAAAAUUAGGUGGAGAAUGAUGAGGAUUCCUUGAAGAUGGUGUAGGAAUAGAGAGAAUACCAGAAUCAAGAAGUGUUAAAGAAGAGUUGGAUGAUGAUACUGGUUGACAGGAUAAAGACUUUGUUAAAAAUGGAAAUCGAGUUUCAUCAAAUACAACAUGACGAGAAGCAUAUAUCCGAGAGGAAGCCAUAUCCAAACAGAGGAAUCCCUUGUGUUUAGCACUAUAACCCAAAAAACAGCAAACAACAAAUAUAUUUGCUAGCUUGUGAGAAGCAUAAGGGCGAAGAUAAGGAAAACACAAGCAUCCAAAACUUCAAAGAGAUGUAUAAUAAGGUAAACGAUUAUAAAGAACUCCAUAAGGAGAAUUUUGUGAAAGAACAGCAGAGGGAAGGCAAUUUAUGAGAAAAAUGGCAGUUUGAAAUGCAAAUGACCAAUAUUUGAGAGGGUAUACCAGCUUGUAUUAACAAAGAAAGACCAACUUCCACAACAUGACGAUUCUUUCUUUCAACUCUUCAAUUUUGCUAAGGAGUAUAAUGACAAGAGACUUGAUGAAGAAGACCAUUUGUAGCCAAAUAAUUCUGAAAAGCUGAAACUGAAACUCAUCAAAUUGAUUUUUAGUAUCAAAUUUUCUUCAGACUGAACACAUUGAUUUUUAGUAUCAAAUUUUCUUUCAACCAUGGCUUGAAAAUGUUGGAACAUAAGUAAAGCUUCAUCUUUAGUUUCCAAAAGGUACAACCAUGAGAAUAUGCUAAAAUCAUCAAUUAGCAAGAGGAAAUAUUGAGCAUUACCAUUGACAGAAACUAUAGGAGUUGCACCCCAAAGAUCAACAUGGAUGAGACCGAAUGGUUUUAUUGCUCUAGAAGUGGAUAUUUCAAAUGGAAAACGAUGGCUUUUAGCCAACUGACAAGACUCACAUACAGAGUUAUUAUUGUCAUGUUUCAAAGGUAUUUUAUAAAGAGAUAAGAUUUUGGAAACUACAUUAAUAGAGGGAUGACCAAGUCUAUUAUGCCAAAGCCUCAAAGAACCAACGGCUAAAGUACUACUAGUAGAGUAAAAUACUAGUGGAUGACCAACAACUCUUGGUGUAGCAAGAAGUUUAUAGAGACCCUUCUCAAUUUUUCCUUGAAGAAGAGCAAGUCUCGUUUCCUGAUCCUUUACCACAAAAUGAGAAGAACGAAAUUCAAUAAAGGUGCCAUUGUUUGAGUAAAAUCGUUGCACGCUAACUAAGUUGGUGGUAAUAGAAGGAACAUGUAAGACAUCAUUGAAAAACAAAGAACCACUUGAAGAGGCAAGAGAAAAUUUACCAAUAUUUGCAAUGGAUAAACCCUUACCAUCUCCAACAAUUACUUUGUCACCACUGGUAAAUGGAUUAUGGAUUGUUAAAUUGUUAAGAUCAGAUGUGAGAUGAUGGGUAGCCUUUGUAUCAAGAAACCAAUAAGUGUCUCCCAUUGUUGCAGAAGUUGUAGUCAUAGCCUCAGGAUUGUUAGAGGUGGAAUGUUUAGAAUCUUUUGGCUGAUAAUCAGAGUUAAACCGAUACCAGCAUUGUAAAGCGGUGUGUCCGAACUUACAACCGAGAGAAAUAAUCUUUACUUAUUCUCUAAAAACUGUUCUUUAUUCCACACAUUAUUUCUAAAAACUGUUUCUAGAUAACAAUGACAAAAUAGUAUUAGGAAUUUUUAAAAAUAAAAAUUGUUUUUAAAUUACAUGAUCUAUAUCAUUCACAUUUGACCAUUAUAGCUUUGUUCAGGAAAACACUUGAAAGUAACCUUAUCGUGAUAAGAGAUAUAAGUUGGCUGUAGUUUCAAACUGAAAACAGAGGAUGGCAAUAGAAAGCAAAGCAUUAGUUAUCUGCAAUCAGUGGUGAUCAUGCCCCAUGUCAAUUUCGGACCCAUAUCUUAAAACCGUAUAAUUUGCAUUUCAACAUUUCUGAUUUCUCAGAUGUUUCAUACUCCACAGAAGAACAUUGUUUGUGAAAGCAUGCAUUUAUGCUGGAUUUUGGAUGAUGUGGGAACUGGGGCAAGGAUCAUAUGGAAGAGUGGUCGAUUUUUUCUGUACUUUAACAUUUGAAAUAGGAGCAGCACGGGCAUUUGUGGGGCUUAAUUGAUUUUGAAGCCUGAAAUUGCGUUUCUGUCAUUUUGUAAAAAAUAUGGCAGAUUCCAUGCUCUCAUAUGUUUGGUCUGUGGCCAUGUAUAGAUGCCACUUAGUGACCAGUUUGUAACUGUCAAUCAUAGUGUUUUGACUCUGGCUCAACAACAUCAGCCAUUGACGGAUUUUCAUACAUGCAAAUCAAAUAGUCUUCUUCCUCCCUUAGGAAUUUCGGUUUAAAUGUUAUUAAGCAUACAUUUGGCUGACAAUUAUUAACCACUUCAUGAUAUGGUUUCUUACCCUUAAUCAAUGGUUUCUAAGUGAAUAUAUGCAGAAGGAAAUCUGAACUGUAGACAGCAGUAUUGAUAAUUAUCAAUAUUCUUUAUAUAAGAGAAUAAACAACGUCAUAGUGAUCGUCGCCUACAAGAAAGGUACAUUUCCCAACAAGAUGUAGUUGUGACUGGUACAUGGACGUAAUUAACUCGUAGAAAAGGAUAAGACCAGUGCACGGCAGCUCUUAUUUUACAUGCUAAUUAUGCUAACCAAAGUCACUCAGUUGGGAUGGGAGGGAGAUGGAGGUUUGUGCGGUGGCUUGUGGGGCGGAGUUGGUGGCUUCUUUUCAGGAGCUUGUGGCUUUUUCGGAGCUGAAGGAGGCUCAAUCUUAUGAGGCGGCUUGUACGAGUCUUCUUUACUCUCGACAGGAGGGUGGCCAGGGUUGUGACCAUAAUGUGGUGGCUUCUCUCCCUUAGGUGGCUUGCCAACUGGGGUUGGUGGCUUGUGUUCAGGAAGUGGUUUCUCUCCCUUGGGAGGUUUACCAAUUGGGGUUGGUGGCUUGUGUUCUGGGAGUGGUUUCUCUCCCUUGGGAGGUUUAGUGGGUGACUUGUGUUCUGGAGGUGGCUUCUCCACCGGAGGCUUGUGCUCCGGUGGUGGCUUCUUGGUUGGAGGGGGCUUGGGGUAAUCAGCAAGAGAUGGGGGGGUGAGAACCACCACUCCAAGGAACAACACUAGCAAGUAUGUGGGAGACAUUUCUGAGUUUGAGCUGAUCAGAUGAUGCAAAACUAGAAGAAUUACGUGACCUUUUAUAGCAAGUAGCUCCCAAUACCCACAUGACACGUGUUACUGUGACCAUAAAUAUUAUAGGGUCCAUUUGUGCCCUACCGGGUUGAAAACUUGGACGCUUGGCCGAGGACACACCGAACUAUGGAGGACUAUUGACGUGUGAUCACAGCUUUUGGAUUUUUCUUCCUGUGCAGCUGUCUAGCGGUUGGCAUUAUUUUUUUAAUCUUAAAUAAAGGCAUAGUUAUAGAGUACAUUUAUAUAUCUUCAGAUAGCCAUUAAUAUAUUUGAUGAAGAAAGACAAGUGCAUACAACAUGUAUACGGCUUGCUUCAAUCGAGUACAUUUAUGAUCAGUUUUCCAGUGCAAGUAAACCAGUUUUUUGUUCCACAACUAUUUUGGAAUCUUGUUUAUCAGUUUCUAUCAUUAUAAUGUCACAUAGGCUGCAAACUUGGGCACCCAAAGAUCUAGUUGGGCAAAUUUGUUUCAGAAUUUCAAUGGUGGAUUCAGUAAUUGUUAAAAGGUGUUUCUUCAUUAAGGAAAGAGUCCUGUAAAAAUAUUGUUAAAAGGUGUCAUAGAAACUAUAAUAAUUAAAUAACUUCUUUUCCCCGUGGGUGGUGUUUCUUCUGGGGAUACCCAAAAUGAGUUCAGAUUAAAAUUGGUUCGAGUCAAAGCUGUCUCUUUUGUCCAGAAAUCAACUAUUUUGCGCAUUGCAUGAAUCGAUAAAGAAAAAAUGAAAGCCAAAUCACACCUCCCCUGCAAAACCUAAACCCCGGUUGCUAACUUUCUAUGUUUCAGUCCUAUUCAUACAGGAAUAUUGGUUCAAGUUUGAGAAAAAUGGCAACUUACCUAGGGAUUACUUGGUUGUGGUUUGCGACGACUAUUUACGCAACCAACCAUGAGUUUGACUUUAACGUCAUGGGUUGAAGCCUCCUACAAUCGUGUAUGAUAGUUCAAAGCUCGUAGUAGAAAUUAUACAGGAAGGAAGAAACCUCCAAAGCUAGCUCCAAAAGAGAAUUAUCACAUCGAUAGCUCCAGAGAUUCCCAAGGGGACUGAAUCAAAGACAAGUUCCUCACUUUUUCUUCUUUUGAGGCCAAAUAUGAACCAAGGAUCACACGACCUCAUUCAACUUCAUAAGUUUGAUUUCAUGCAGUUGAACACUGGGUGAAGGCCAUGACAAGAAUUGAUUAAAAAAUUCUACCACUGUUUUAAGUAAUGGAAGAUUAUUAUCUCUGAUUGGCACCACAACAGCACAUGCUGCUAGAUCUUUCUAGACACUCCAUGCAAUGAAAGUACAAUGGAUCUUGUAACGAUAGAAACUAAGCCAUGCUACAGUACUAGAUGACGAGGUAAAACUAUUAGACAUGGGUGGCAGCCUAUAUGGGAGGGACACAAGUCUAAUUGAUUUGCAUUUCAGCGUUCUAGAUGGGUAUGUUUUGGAAGAUUUGUUCUGGAAAUACCGCACCAAGUAGGAUUCUUUUUUCUCUUGAGUGGGUCCACUUGCAUGCCAAUUAUCGAGUUGAAAAGUAGAGCACCUACCUCGUGCUCGUGGAACCGAAGGUCAGUGAAGUGGGGCUCCUUUUGGCCUCUUGUGUUUCUGUUCCAACCAAGGCGGCGGAGGGAAAAACAGCAAUAUGUCUCCGCUAAAUAUCAACGCAUGAUAGCGAAUGAGGGAGAAAAAAAGUAAUUGGCAUCUCAAUCUCACAAACUUGGUACAGUAGUGACAUUAAUAGUCUUCCACAUGGUUUUUAUUUUAUUUUAUUUUAUAUUUUAUAUUUUCCAUUUUUUUAUUUUUUUGUAUGUCAAGGCUAAUGAAUAAAAUGCGUUAGCUUGUUUUGUGAUUGGAACUGCAAAUGUCCAAAUUGGAGUUUCUCCAUUUCUCAGUUCGGAUGGUUAACUUUAUAAACAAGAUAUAGGAAACAUGUGAACGUCUUGAGGAACAAUUCGAAUUAUUGAUUAGAACUCCUAGGUUGAGUUCCAAGAUUUAAAUCAGACCCCUCUAGCAGCUUCAGGGGUACCUAGCAAUUAGAACAUAUUAAUGAAGAUUUAGGAUUUAGACUCCGGAAUACAAAUUAAUAUGUAUCUUAUGCUCUGACUAGCUUCCCUGCAUAUGCACAAAAUGGAGAUGACCCAAAAAAUAGCAGAAUCGCCUUAGUUUAUGUGGUUAAGGUGAUUCUCCGGUUAAUAUCCACAUUGGCUCAUUAUGCAAAUCAACUGAGCUAUUUUUUUUUUAAUGUCAAAUAGGAACUCCUAAUUAACCUAACCAUUGGCCUGUGUAAAUUGAUUUCACAUGCACAAUGUUGUAGUAGAAGUCCACAUUUUGAAUUUUAUUUUUGGAAAGGUAAGGAAAAUGAAGCAUUGUGUAAUUAUAAAAAUAACUUCAUUGGAAUUCACAAGGUUCACCCAAAAUGGAGCUACAUCCGUAUUCUAUCUUACAGUAGACUAUAUAGAUUGUACAAUAGUAAAUUGCAAAUACAAUUAAUAAGUCUUGUGUUUCCUUACUAAUAAUCCUUUGACAUAAACAUUGCAGCACUAAGGUCCUCUUGGGCAGACACCUUGCACCCAUGAGAGCACUAAGAGGAAGCAAGGCGGAGUCAUGGGUGCAAUGUCAUGACUUGUUGCACUAAGAGAGGCUUGGUGAUGGCAUAGUGCUGCAGUAGCAAGAAUGUUGCCUUGGCAGGGACACGAUCUAGGGACAGAUGCCAAGAAAGGCUUAGCACUCACAUGAGUUGCACAAAGAUGAAUGAAAUAGAACAUCAAAGAGACAUCUUGGCAAGCUCAAGAAAGACAUGUGGGUUGGUAAAUGAAUGGAUGCAAGAGGCAACAACAUGAGGAGUUUCAAAUGGAUAGGGAAUGAGUCAAAGACAUUUGAAAGCUACAAGUUGGAUUCUAAUUACGAUUGCAAUUUGAGUUUGAGUAGGAGUUUAUAUUAUGAUUGUAAUUGUAGUAUGAGUUGGACUAGGAUUGCUUAUCCCUAGUCAAAAUAGGAGUUGUUCAUGCCACACCCUAUGAAAAGAGUUUGAGUAGGGACUAGGAUUGCUUGCUCCUAGUCAAAUAUGGAGUAGGUGGUGCCACACCUAUAAAAAAAAAAGGGACAACAUGAGAGAGAGAGAGAAUGAAUUCACCAAAGAUAUUGUGGGAGUUUUGCUUUGUUACAUCUUGUAUUAUUAUUUAGAAUAGUAAUAAAAUACAAGUUGGGGCUAGAGCCCCAUAAUCUCGUGUGCCUUUGUGGGUUAUUCUUUAUUUGCCAUCUCGUGUGGAUUGGAUUAGAUUGAUGAGGCGAAAUAUUAUGUGGGAAAUUUAUGUUGGGACACUUACCAUAACCAGGUAAAAUCUACCAAGUCUUUUGUAAUAUCUUCUACAAAUAUUUUAGACCAGUUCUUCACAAAACAUCAUAAUAUGUUUUGUGUUUCUCUUGGAUUUUGAGUUGAAUUGUCUUAGAUCAAUUGAAUGCAUCUCAAUAUUAUUAUCUUGUUUGAAGGCUUGAUGAUUUUCCAUUUAACUUUACUUUCUUUAGGUUAUGCUUGAUUCCUUAAAAGUACUAAGGAAAACAAAAAAUAAAAAAAAAUAAAAAAUGCAGAGGGUUAGGACAUGUGUUAUCUAAUUGUCCUAUCCAAAGAUAUUAAGAAAGUCAUGUAGGAAAGUAAUUGAAAACUAGGUCAAGAAAGGAGCAAAAGGGAAUUGUUUUGGUAUUUUCUUUUUUAUUCUUGAAGGUGGCAGAGCUAAAAUUUGAGAAAUCAAGCAAAACAUACUGAAAUUACAUUGAAAGAAAGAAAAUGGUAGUUAAUGUCUUGCAGUACAUGAUAAGGACUUCAUGCAUGUAGUGUGACGACCCAUGUCUUGGACUGAUGCCACACUCACGGUUACACUUAUACCCUUGGUUCUCUCUUUACUACCUUGGCUAACCUAGAUCAGGCUAUGAGAUAGGCUCCUCACCACACCAUCACUUGCCCAGUAAUUAGUGACAUUUUCAAGCAAUGAGGUAACAUGGUGACACCAAGAGGGUUUAUCCCUCGCCCCAACAAGUCUAGACUCGGUCUCAAAAAAAUGGAGAAAAAUGAGGUGUCGUUAUGCAGAAAUACAACAACCAUGCCUUCCUUAUUACUUAGAUUCAGAAUGUGAAGGUGAAAUUGAGAAACAGAAACUCUUGAAACCAGAAUGAAAAUUGAUACUUUUACGAAGAAUUACAACAUUAGAGGAAGACUACAUUCUUCCUCUAUAUUCCUACGUUUCUACACUACUUCUACUCCACUCCAUAUUUCUACAUACAUCUUUAAUCAGUUUUCCCUCCUUUAUAUAGAGCCAUCUUCACACAAAUUCCGCAAGGUAGAAAAGAGGAAUGAAACUUGGAGCAAGGUUCGACUACUGGUUGUCGCUUGUCAAGGCUGGAAUUGAACUUUUUUUCUUGGCUUUUCUGGGCAUAGGUAGUAACUUGUGGUUCCUUUUUGGAAUGAAAAUGGUACAGCUAGAACAUGUGGCACUCUCUUGUUGGAUUAUGUGUCAAACAUGUGGCAGCCAUCUAGUGGAGAUUAUUUCAAUUUUGGGAUGGAGAGUUGGCAUCCAAUUGCAAAGAAAUAUGACAUCUACCAACAUGCAAUGUAAACCUAUAUAGAUCAUAUGGAGAUAGAGAGGAAACAUAUAGAAAUGGAUAUAUACCUAGAACUAGCUUUUUAUUAAAUGAGACGGAGAGCCAACAAUGAAGGAAAAUCAAAAUUUUUGGCUCAUAUCAAAGAAUUCACAUUGUGUUACCCUAGGUUUUCUUAAAGCUUGCACAAAGCCAAAAAGCACACAAAAAAUUAUAUUUUCUAGCUCUCUACCUUGGAUGGUCUCUUGAUCCUACUUGGAGAUGUGCAUAAAUAAAAGGAUUUGAAAAUGACAAUUGACUAAGUAUGUAGUCAAUCAAUUACUCAUUAAUUGACUAGUUGAUCAAUUAACUUUGCAACAUCAUAUGCAAUCCUAAUAGCUAGUCAUCUAAUCAACUAGGUAGUAAAUCAAUAGGCCAAAAAUAUGUUUAUAAUGACUAUUUUGUACAAAAACCACCUAUAUGGUUAAAUAUAAUGCAUUUCAUUUAUAAAUCUUCUAAUUCUUGAAUAACGAUCCUAUCAUCCUUUGAAAGUUUUUAUUACACCUUUUAUACUUUUGUUCUAAAACUUACACAUGUACAUCACCCUUAAUUGUACCAUGAGAACCUAGCUUUUUUUUUUUUUUUUUUUGUAAUUCAUCAAAGUUAGCUUUUGUAUUCAUUACUGUACUAUUUUUAUUGUAACUUAGAAAGCGAGUGUUUUCAAGUGAGUGAAAUUGACUUAUAAAUAUUGUAAAGAUUCAUUGAUGUGUAUCUUAAACUAAGUGUACAAGUUGAAACAUUUGCUAGUAGAUUUUCUCAAGAUUUAGAAUAGAGCUUGAGGCUAUUGAAAUAGGUGGGGUUGCACCAAACCACAUCACAUUGUUGUUUGCACCUUUUUUUCACUCUCUUUUACUUAGUUGCUCUAUAUUUGUUGUCUAGUAAUAUCCUAUAGGCUUGAUGGGUUAGGGAGCAUCCCUUUGUGAAAAAUUUUCAUUCAAUCCUUAGUUGUAUCACGCAUAUAUAAAAUGCCUCAUUGUUUUAAUGGUAUUCAGUCGUGGCAUCACAGAUAUGGGCAUCUAAAUUUUAAAAGUUUGAAACUUUUAUCUAAAGAAAAUAUGGUGCUUUGCCUUUUUGUAAAGCAUGUUGAUGAAAUCCAUGAGAAUUGUGUACUUGGGAAGCAACAUCGAGAUGACUUUUUUUUUUUUCAUUUUUUAUAAUGCGACACCUAAGUCCGGUUUCUAAAUGCUGAAGUGAAAGGGUAGGUAUGGACCAUUGAAAUCUGAUCACAACUUUUGGCCUUUUCCUUUCUCUGCAGCCAUGUUGUCUCUUUUUUCUUUUGCAUGAUUUUCUUACCUAAACAGAAUCAUAGACUUGUUUAAUCUCUAAAUGGUAUUUCAUCCAGCUUUAAGCUACUGUAUUAUAUCUUGGUGGAGGACUUUUAAGAGUGAAACCGACAUAGAGCACAUGCAAGUGGGUAUAUGGGACAUGAAAUUUCUUCUUAUAAAGACUGCAUGGUUUUUAUAUUAGAGUUGUUGAGGCGCAAUGUAUUUAGCUUGUUUUGCAGUUAAAUUAAUUGGAUAAGUAGACAUUGUCGUUUCUAAAUUUCCCACCUAAGAUAGUGACCUUAUCCUUGACUGCUUGAUGAGAUACACAAACAAUUAUACCUUCAAAAUCUACUGUGAAGUGCUUCAUGUAUGUGUGAAGUAUUAGAAAUUUCUUUCUUGGCAACUUGUUUUUUCUUUGCCCUCUACUGAUAGGUUUGACUCAAAUUAAAUUCCCUGUCAUGCUAAUUAAUUUUCACGUGCAUGCUCAAAAGGAUCACGUCAACUCUGGUUUCUACUAUUCAGGUCCAUUCCCAGAUAAACUGGUUCAAAUUUGAGAAAAUGGCAACAGCCCUUUAGUGAUGUUGGUUUGGAGCCAGUAGCCAAACCCGCCCUGAGCUUUACCACUAAUGUCAAGGGACAAAGCCAUUUGAACAAAAACAAUAGCUUCAAGAGACUGAAUCGUGGAUGAAAUCUGAUCCACAUUUCUUCUCAUUUUGGGAACAAAUGAGAACUUAACUACAAAGAUUCUACUGCCUCAUAGUGCUUUUCCUGAUCUAAGGUUGGUUCGUUUCCCAAAUUGUGAGGUACGUGCCAUUCUCACGCUCAGGAGUGUAUCCACGUGGUGGACAUAAGAUGGUGGCUUAAUAUCUGGUGUCGGUGGCUUUACUUUACUAGGAGAGUAGUGUGUCUUCAUCUCAUUCACUGCCGGAGGGUGGCGUAAGCAGUGACGCUAAGGUGGGGCACAGUCAAUAUCAUUUGCAUUUGACCAUUAUAGUUUUCUCCCGGCUUGAAAGUAACCUUAUCGUGAUAAAGGAUUACUAGCACUAGUUCAGAUGACAGUCAUGUUAAAUUCGGACCAUGUUUGUGUCACAUUAUCAGCAACCAUGUGUUUAUGGUUCAUGCUAUCUGCAACUAAACUUGAUAUAUAACCACGUGAACUUCAAUCUAAAUUCUGGAAGUACUCUUGUGAUAGAUGGUGCCUGUCUGCAGAGUCCAUCAAUUGAAAAAUGGAGUGAGUGUAUCUAUAAGAGGGAAGGCUUGGCAAAUGUUCAGUUUUCUGGGAACUCAACAAGGAUCUAAAAUAGAUUGUUUUCUUUGCUGAUUUCAAUGGUUGAAAUUUGAGAAGAUUGUGUCCACAUAACACAACUAUUACUGGUCCUUCUGUUGCAAUUUAUCCUCUAAGGCUCUAACAUGUCUUCCAAUUCCCACUUCCCUGUUACUCCAGGAAAGCUAUUUCUGUCAUUGUGAAGAAGAAAAGAGAAUGUACAUAUCGAUGGUUUUAAGUGACUGGGGCAUUCAUAUCAGGUGGUCUGCAGCCAUAUAUGCCACUUUGUGAAGGUUGGAACAGUCAAUCACCAGGCUAUAUUAGUGUGGCCCAGCCACUUCAAUCAAGGACAAGUCUUCAUACUUAAAGUCAAAUUCUGCCUUUAGUCUCAUUAUAAAUUGCUGUUUAAAUAUUAAGCAAACAUUUGUUUAAUGCGAUUAAGACAGUACUAACUCAAUACUUGUUCUAUUUUUGGAUGCAAAUGCUUGAUGGUUUCAUCAUUGGAUGGGAUAAAGGUGCAUUCAUGAUUAUGAAUACUUGUAGUUAUAUUUUCAUUCUCUUUUUUCUCAAUGAGACUUGUUGGCACAAUUUUGCUGUUCAGAAACCUACCUCUCCAUCGAAAAUCAGUUGUGAUUGAUAGUACUGGAUAUAUUCAAGAAAGCUAAAUAUAGAUAGCACCAAAUAUUAUCGAUAUAAAUAGCAUUAACAGCGUACGUAUGUCUCAAUGCUCAUCAGCUAUAAGCAACGGGCAAACACUUACUAUGAGCAACUUGCGUCAAAAUUCCAGAAUAGGACAUAGAAGUGACAGAUCUAUAUAUAUAUAGAACACUGCAUAUGAGUCACAAGAAAGGAAAUUACGGGUGCAUAGCAGCUCUUAUUUUACAUCCUACUCAUACUGAUCAAAGUCACUCAGUUGGGAUGGGUGGGAGUAGGAGGUUUGUGGGGUGGCUUGUGCGGAGGAGUUGGCAGCUUCUUUCCAGGACCUGGUUGCUUCUCUGCUGGAGUUGAAGGAGGCUUAAUCUUCCGAGGUGGCUUGUAUGAGUCUUCAGCAUUCUCAGCAGGAGGGUGACCAGGGUUGUGACCAUAAUGUGGUGGCUUCUCUCCCUUAGGUGGUUUGCCAACUGGGGUUGGUGGCUUGUAUGAGUCUUCAGCAUUCUCAGCAGGAGGGUGACCAGGGUUGCGACCAUAAUGUGGUGGCUUCUCUCCCUUAGGUGGUUUGCCAACUGGGGUUGGUGGCUUGUGUUCUGGGAGUGGCUUCUCCCCCUUGGGAGGUUUUUCCAAUGGGGUUGGUUUGUGUUCAGGAGGUGGCUUCUCCACUGGAGGCUUGUGUUCAGGAGGUGGCUUCUCCACCGGAGGCUUGUGUUCAGGAGGUGGCUUCUCCACCGGAGGCUUGUGUUCAGGAGGUGGCUUCUCGAAUGGGGGAUGCUCAGGGUAAUCAGCAAGUGAGGGGUUGGUGAGAACCACCAUGCCAAGCAACAGGACUAGCAAGUAUGUAGGAGACAUCUUUGGGUUUGGACUUAAGACAGUGGAAAACUGCGAGAAUUCUCUAGCCUUUUAUAGCGGGUCGACCCAGUACUCACAUGACACGUGUCAUUAUGACACAUGUGCCAUGGGGUCGAUUUGGGUCCUACAGUGUUGAAAAGUUGGGCAUUUGAGGUGUGAGCACAACUUUUGGCCUUUGCUUUCUCUACAGCCGCCAUGCUUUUCCCUUUUUUCCUUUUCCUUUUGUUUUCCUCCUGCCUCGUGUUCUCAACUAAACACAAUUAGGUUGUUUAAUUGUUAAAUGAGAUUUUUGUCUGUCAAUCAUAUUAUAUCCUAUCAAGAGAGAACAGAGUGUAAUGUAGUACACAUAACACGAGGCAGUAGUAAUUUUAUCAUUUAUUUUUAUAGCUUGGACCACCGCAUUUUUUCUUCUAAAAUAUUCUGUCUUGUUAAGAGACGCAAUAAUACACAAUUUUAUCUGCCAUUCAACAUUUACUGUAAAGUUCUUUUAUCUCUUUGUAGUUCUAGAAAAGUACAAAAUGGAACAUCAUGUAUAUGGUGCCUUCUGUCCUAAAAAAGAAACUGGACAAAUUAUGAACUGCAUGCUAAAAAGAGGCAAAGGAGCUUAAUUCGCAGCAUAAUUAUUUUGGUUUCUAGAGAGCCCGGGGCCUUUUGGUUGGUUUGGGGUCAGAAAAUGAACAUCAUAGGGAUUGUGCCCUUAACUGGCCUUGUUACUACAAAGAAAUUGCCAUAGAAAUUUAUUCCAGGCUGAGUAUCUCCGGAUAGACCCCAGAAAAGAAGAGUCAUAAUGAGAAUCAACCUUUGUUGAGUUUGAUUCCAUGCCUCCAUUGUGUUCAUUUCAUGAAUCUGAUUUGCAUUUAACAUUACAGUUUUGUUCUGGAAACAAUCAAAGGAGCAUCGUUUGCUUCUUGGGUGACCCAUAGUGGUGGGUGGGUCGAUUUGCUUAGUUGAAAAUUGGACAAUUGGCUCCAUCGCCUACCUCUUGGAUUCCAUGCUCGGAUAAAACGACAACAAAUAAAUAUUUAUAACUUACAACUGGGGAAAGGAAAAAAUAGUACUAAAUUCAUGGUACAUGAUAGUGAGAGAAGGGGGUGUUACACUCAGCUAAAGUUCUUUUCUAAAUAUUGCAUGGUGUUUAAUUUUAUGUGUCGGCGCGCGUGUGAAUGGAACCUGCAAAAGUCCAAAUUGGCGUUUCUCCAUUUUCCACAUAGGAUGGUGACGUUAAUAGACAAAGAUACAAUAUCUGUAGACAUUGCUUAAAAAUCGAUGUGAAGUAUUAGAAAUUACAGGCCACUGUACUGGGGGAGCGGCUGCCCCGCCAAAGGAAGAAUGUAGCAAUUUCUUCUGUUAGCCAGGCCUUAGGAUUUAUGCAUGGGAUGCCUAAUAACAAACAGAGAAAAUAUGCUUUUGGGGAAGGUAUCCAACAACAGACACCAUCAUUCAGAUGGUGGGAAGGUAUCCAACAGAUGCCAUCAUUCAGAUGGUAACAUAUAUAUACAUUUAUUAGUGAGUUUUUUUAAUACCUAUAAAAAAAAUAUACACUUUGAUAUUGUGGCUGAAUCCAUUACAUACUCAACUAACCUUGCUCAUUAGGGAUUUGACGUAACAAGGGCAACGUUGCAGUAAAAGCUCGAAACUUUAUGCAGGUGACAUUACAUUUGGUAAAGAAGAGGAAAAUAAGGAAAGCCAUCCAUAAAAGCAAAAUUCCUCAUGGGAUGAAAUUCACAAACUUCAUUUACGUUAGAGUCGCAUCCAGGCAAUUAAUUCCACAUUAGACCGCCUUUUGACAUGUGUACGGAUCUUUUUUCAAAAAUUAUUUAUAAAUAAUUGAUACUUACAAAAAUAAUUUAAGAUUUAUAAAGGAUAAAAAAAUAUUUUCAAAUCUAUGACAAUUUAUAAAAUAUUAAUAAAAAAUUAUCUCUUAAACUUAGUAUAGUUUUAUCGUAUUAAACUUUUAUUUUGAACAAAUAAUUUUAAUCUAAGUUUUAAAUUCUAAAAUUAUUUCCUUAAAAUAAAAUUUUAAAAUUCAACACUUCAAUUGAAAUUGUCUUUUAAAAAAAAUAUCUUCUUAUUUUAAUCCUUAUAAACUAUAGUUGAUUGAAAAUACUAUUGAAGUUCUCUCUUCAAAAAAAGUCUUAUUUUAAUCUUCAUAAAUUGCCCUUGAUUUGAAAAUAAACUUUGGGUUAUCAUAUUUUAAAUAAUAUAUAUAUAUAUAUAUAUAUAUAUAUAUAUAUAUAACAAAUACUCUAUUUUUUUUUUAAAUGAACUAAUUUUAAUUAUAUUUUAUUUUAUUUUUUUAUAUAUUUUUAAUGAUAAACCAAACAUAGAAAAUCAUUUUUCUAAAUAUUUUAAAAUUUCUAAGCAACCAAACAUAAUCUUCAAAAUAAAAGGAGAAUAAGGAGGGACAAGUGAGAAAUGGCGAUUAAAAAAAAGUGUACAAAAGCUCAAUUAAUUUUCUUCUAGUCUUUUAUAUAAAAAAGUAUUGGUAUGUAAAUUAAUAUUUGGAUUUUAAUAGUAUUUUAUUUGUCUUUCUCUAUCUCAUGUAAAAGAGAAUUUAAGAUAUUUCCUAAAGCAAAGCAUUAGUUAUCUGCAAUCAGUGGUGAUCAUGGUCCAUGUCAAUUUCGGACCCAUAUCUUAAAACCGUAUAAUUUGCGUUUCAACAUUACUGAUUUCUCAGAUGUUUCAUACUCCACAGAAGAGUAUUGUUAGUGAAAGCAUUUUGUAACUGUUACUCAUAGUGUUUUGACUCUGGCUCAACAACAUCAGCCAUUGACGGAUUUUCAUACAUGCAAAUCAAAUAGUCUUCUUCCUCCCUUAGGAAUUUCGGUUUAAAUGUUAUUAAGCAUACAUUUGGCUGACAAUUAUUAACCACUUCAUGAUAUGGUUUCUUACCCUUAAUCAAUGGUUUCUAAGUGAAUAUAUGCAGAAGGAAAUCUGAACUGUAGACAGCAGUAUUGAUAACUCUCAAUAUUCUUUAUAUAAGAGAAUAAACAACGUCAUAGUGAUCGUCGCCUACAAGAAAGGUACAUUUCCCAACAAGAUGUAGUGGUGACUGCUACAUGGACGCAAUUAACUCGUAGAAAAGGAUAAGACCAGUGCACGGCAGCUCUUAUUUUACAUGCUAAUUAUGCUAACCAAAGUCACUCAGUUGGGAUGGGAGGGAGAUGGAGGUUUGUGCGGUGGCUUGUGGGGCGGAGUUGGUGGCUUCUUUUCAGGAGCUUGUGGCUUUUUCGGAGCUGAAGGAGGCUCAAUCUUAUGAGGCGGCUUGUACGAGUCUUCUUUACUCUCGACAGGAGGGUGACCAGGGUUGUGACCAUAAUGUGGUGGCUUCUCUCCCUUAGGUGGCUUGCCAACUGGGGUUGGUGGCUUGUGUUCAGGAAGUUGUUUCUCUCCCUUGGGAGGUUUACCAAUUGGGGUUGGUGGCUUGUGUUCUAGGAGUGGUUUCUCUCCCUUGGGAGGUUUAGUGGGUGACUUGUGUUCUGGAGGUGGCUUCUCCACCGGAGACUUGUGUUCUGGAAUUGAUUAAAAAAAUUCUACCACUCUUUUAAGUAAUGGAAGAUUAUUAUCUCUGAUUGGCACCACAACAGCACAUGCUGCUAGAUCUUUCUAGACACUCCAUGCAAUGAAAGCACAAUGGAUCUUGUAACGAUAGAAACUAAGCCAUGCUACAGUACUAGAUGACGAGGUAAAACUAGUAGACAUGGGUGGUAGUUGAUUACUACUCAAAAAGUACUCUUUUAUAGUUUGAAACUAACUGUUUUAAACACUUUUGAGUAGUAGUUAAUAAAUUUUAACUCAAUUGGCACAUUAAGGAACCUAGCAAGGGUUACUAAUAAACUUUUGGCAAGUUUUGGUGUUUUUGGUAGUUAUUCGAUCAUUGAAACAAGCCAAGAAUGAGGGAGAAUUUUGUGAAGUCCAUGGCAAUGCAAGUUAAAGCUCAAAUACACGAAGAAUCCAAGCUUUGGAGCACUACAUAGCCCUUUGCCAAGCCAAUUAGAGAUGCAAGGAACAAAACCAAAGGAAGAAAUCCAACAACCAACAUUUUCGCAUGGUUGUGUGAAAUUUCGCACACCAUGCGAAACCACAAGAGGUAGCCAAAGAAUUUCACAUGGUAUGCGAAAUCUUCUCAUGCACCGACUCCGUUAGAUUUUUAUCUUCAGAUAUUUUGUGUAAUUUCCUAGUUUCUCCUUGUAACCAACCUAGAUAUUUUCUUUUAUAUCUUUUUUUAUAUUUUUUAGGUAACAUCAUAUAUAAGGGGAGAGACAUAAGGAGGAUAUGGAUGUUUUUCAUAGAACACUUGUAAAUUUUCAGUAGUAAGAAAUAUACAAAGCUUUUUGCUAUGCCUUACCUUCUCAUUUUGUUUUCACCUGUCUUUCUAGCCAAACAACCUCUAAGGAUGAUUUCUCAGGGGAUGAGUGGCUAGGUUUUACGUUUCUUGGAGUGAGGGAAGCUAGGUGAAGGACCUGAAUGCAAAGAUGAGAGUUUUCCUUGCUUUAAAUGAAAGUAGUUGUUAAACAUUAAUGGUUUUUAUUUUAAGGUUUAGCUUUAAAUCCCUUAAAAACACCUUGAAUGACCAAUACUUGGUAAGCUUUUCGGAUUCUAUGGAUGCUUAUUGCUAGAUCCAUGGAUGUCUAUUAGUUAUCAUUUACGAGCCUUUGGAAGGUGAUUCAAGGUGAGGGUCUUUAGUGUUUGAAGCCAUUAAUGGGAAGCAAUUACCAUUUUUUCAUGAAUCCUUUGGAUCAAAUCUUAAUUGCUAAAUAUAAAACCGAUUUGGGAAAUAACCAUCCUUUAUGUUAUUAUCCCCAACGCAAGGAGAAGAUCCGGAAUCUUCCCUUUUGUCUAAGGAACCCGAUCCUAGUGACCUAAAGCUCCAAGAGACCUUUUCUUUGUAGUUAACUUCAUUUAUUGUUUUUGCUUAACUUAAAAUCAAUCUUUGCAACCACAAUUCCAUUUUCUUUAAAAGCUAAUUUUUAUAAGGAAAAACACCAUUUUAUUUCCUUCACUAAGUCAACUGUACGAUGAAAACCCAUCCCUGUGGACGAUCCUAGAGCCAUUAUACUAUGUUAGCUAUGCUACCCUAGUGUGAGGUGAUUUAGGUUUUAUAAAUUUUGUUGAUAACACCCAUCUGAGCCAGAAUCAAAUGGCACAACUGAACCAGGGACGAAUCAAAUGGCGCCGCUAUCGAGGAUGGUGCCAAAGUACAUUGACAUGACUUUUGGUGAACACUUGUGAUCUUCAUCACAAGUUUGGUGAUUUUUCUAUUACUAAUUUUUUUCUUUGUUUUUAUUUUAGCUUAUCUUUUAUUUAGUUUUUAGCUAACCUUAACUUUUUCUUAGAAUUGUAUUUCUUCUAUUUUCUUUGUUUUUGUUUCAGUGAUCUUUAGUUGUGCAUGCCCUAUUGGAUAAGAAAUAUUGAGGGAAUACUUGUGAAGAUUGAAAAUCCUCGAGAAACUGAGUUGGAAGUGUGAUUGAACAUCAUGGAUGUUCCACCUGAAGACCAGAAUAGCCAACAUGGUUAAGAGGAUAAUUUCAAAGCAUACCGAUCCAUGAGGGACUGCAUGCAUCCACCUCGUAUGAGUGCACCGUCAUGCAUAGUGCCUCCCACUGAGCAACUAGUAAUCUGACCUCACAUUGUGCCACUCCUACCUACUUUCCAUGGGAUGGAGAGUGAGAAUCUCUACUCGCAUAUUAAGAAAUUCGAGGAGGUUUGUAAUACAUUCCAAGAAGGAGGAGCUUCAAUUGACUUGAUGAGGCUCAAGCUAUUUCCUUUCACUUUGAAGGAUAAGGCUAAGAUUUGGCUUAAUUCUUUAAGGCCAAGGAGUAUCCGAACUUGGACUAAUUUGCAAGCCGAUUUUCUUAAGAAGUUCUUCCUUACCCAUAGGACCAAUGGUUUGAAAAGGCAAAUUUCGAACUUCUCAGCUAAAGAGAAUGAGAAAUUCUAUGAGUGAUGGGAGAGGUACAUGGAAGCUAUUAAUGCUUGUCCUCACCAUGGCUUUGACACAUGGCUCUUAGUGAGUUAUUUUUACGAUGGUAUGUCUUCUUCAAUGAAGCAACUCCUAGAAACUAUGUGUGGAGGAUACUUCAUGAGUAAGAAUCCGAAGGAAGCCAUGGACUUUUUGAGUUAUGUGGCUGAAGUUUUAAGAGGAUGGGAUGAACCAAAUGCUAGAGAGGUGGAAAGAAUGAAGUCUCAACCUAAUGCUAAGGGUGGGAUGUAUGUUUUGAAUGAAGACAUUGACAUGAAAGCAAAGGUUGUAGCUAUGGCAAGGAGAUUGGAAGAGCUAGAAAUGAAGAAGGCACAAAAAGUGGAAGCCAUUUCUGAGACAUCAGUGCAAGCUAUGCCUUGUUCCAUUUGUCAACCUAAUGCUAAGGGUGGGAUGUAUGUUUUGAAUGAAGACAUUGACAUGAAAGCAAAGGUUGUAGCUAUGGCAAGGAGAUUGGAAGAGCUAGAAAUGAAGAAGGCACAAAAAGUGGAAGCCAUUUCUGAGACAUCAGUGCAAGCUAUGCCUUGUUCCAUUUGUCAAUCUUAUGAGUACCUAGUGGAGGAGUGUCCUACAAUUCCAGUAGUGAGAGAGAUGUCUGGUGAUCAAGCAAAUGUUAUUGAUCAAUUCAAGCCUAAUAAAAAUGCUUCAUAUGGCAACACCUACAAUUCAAAUUGGAUGAACCAUCCAAAUUUCUCUUGGAAACCAAAGCUACCUCAAUACACACAACCUGCUCAAGCACCUUAGCAAUCCUCGAAUCUUGAACAAGCUAUUGUGAACCUUAGUAAGGUUGUGGGAGAUUAAAAGUCCAUCAAUGCUCAACUGAAUCAGAGAAUUGACAGUGUAGAGAGUACAUUGAACAAAAGGAUGGAUGAGAUGCAAAAUGAUCUGUCUCAAAAGAUAGACAAUGUCCAAUAUGCAAUCUCAAGGCUUACCAACCUCAACACAGUGCAAGAGAAAGGAAAGUUUAUUUCUCAACCUCAUCAAAAUCCCAAGGGUAUCCAUGAAGUGGAGGCUCAAGAGAGAGAAUCUUCAAAGGUGAGGGAAGUCAAAGCAGUUAUCACCUUGAGGAGUGGUAAAGAGGUUGAUCAACCCACAUCCAAGCCAAAGCAUAAUGAAGAGAGUUUUGUAGAAAAAGAAAAGAGAGGAAAAUAAAGGAAAGAGAAUAGAGAAAAGUACAAAGAAAGAUGACCAUGAGUCUAGUGUGGAUGAAGAGCCCAAGAGGAUAGUGAUCAAGGAAAAUAUGAUGAAGAAACACAUGCCUCCACCUUUCCCCUAAGCUUUGCAUGACAAAAAAGGAACCAAUAAUACAUCGGAAAUUUUUGAAGUAUUGAGGCAAGUGAAGGUCAAUAUCCCUUUGCUAGAGAUGAUCAAACAAGUGCCGACAUAUGCAAAAUUCUUGAAGGACUUGUGCACUGUAAAGAGAGGGUUGAAUGUGAACAAGAAAGCUUUCUUGACCGAGCAAGUGAGUUCCAUCAUACAGUGCAAGUCUCCAGUGAAGUACAAAUAUCCGGGCUACCCUACCAUCUCAGUGAGUAUUGGAGGUACUUGUGUGGAAAAAGCUUUGUUGGACUUGGGAGCAAGUGUGAAUUUGCUACCCUACUCUGUCUAUAAGUAGUUGGGACUUGGAGAGUUGAAGUCAACAUCCAUCACCCUAUCUCUGGCAGAUAGAUCAGUGAAGAUUCCAAGAGAGAUGAUAGAAGAUGUCUUGGUUCAAGUUGACAAAUUCUACUAUCCAGUGGAUUUUGUUGUUCUUGAUACGGAUCCGAUUGUCAAAGGAACUAAUUAUGUUCCUAUCAUACGAAGACCCUUCCUAGCUACAUCAAAUGCAAUCAUCAAUUGUAGGAAUGGAGUCAUGAAACUCACGUUUGUCAACAUGACAUUAGAGCUCAACAUCUUCCAUUUGUACAAGAAGCAUAUCCAUUCAGAAGAAAAAGAAGGUCUAGAGGAAGUGUGCAUGAUUGACACUUUAGUGGAGGAGCAUUGUGAUCGACAAUGCAAGAAGAUUUAGUUGAGAGUUUUGGGGAUCUUGAUGAAGGGUUACUUGAACCCUCAGAUUUGCUUGCUACCCUACUCCAUUGGAGGAAGAGAGAAGAAAUUCUACCCUUAUUCAAUGAGGAGGAGACACAAAGAGCUGCUAAAGAUAAGCCCCCAAAGCUUAUUCUUAAGCCACUACCCACAGAGUUGAAGUAUGCAUACUUGGAAGAAGACAAGAAGUGCACUGUUGUUAUAUCUUUAGCUCUUACCAUUCAUCAGGAGGAUUGUCUACUUGAAGUCCUUAGAAGAAGUAAGAAGGUAAUAGGGUGGCAAAUUUCUGAUUUGAAAGGGAUCAGCCCUUUUGUCUGCACCCAUCAUAUUUACAUGGAGGAUGAAGCUAAGCCAAUUCAUCAACCUCAGAGAAGGUUGAACCCUCACAUGCAAGAAGUGGUGAGAGUUGAAGUUCUUAAGCUACUUUAGGCUGGUAUUAUUUACCCCAUAUCAGAUAGCCCAUGGGUGAGUCCUACUCAAGUUGUGCCAAAGAAGUCGGGGAUCACGGUGGUGCAAAAUGAUAAGGGAAAAGAUGUCUCUACAUGUCUCACUAUAGGUUGGAGGGUGCGUAUCAAUUACAGGAGGUUGAAUGUAGUGACAAGGAAUGACCAUUUCUCGUUGCCCUUUAUUGAUCAAGUGCUUGAGAGGGUCUCUGGGCAUCCUUUUUAUUGUUUCUUGGAUGGCUACUCGAGGUAAUUUAAGAUAGAAAUUGAUGUUGAAGACCAGGAGAAGACCAUUUUCACAUGCCCAUUUAGAACCUAUGCAUAUAGGAGAAUGUCUUUCGGCUUAUGCAAUGCACCCACAACUUUCCAAAGAUGCAUGUUAAGCAUUUUCAAUGAUAUGGUGGAGCAUAUUAUGGAAGUCUUUAUGGAUGAUAUCACCAUAUAUGGAAGUGCAUUUGAUGAAUGCUUGGUCAACUUAGAAGUUGUUCUGAACCGAUGCAUUGAGAAAGACUUAGUGCUUAAUUGGGAGAAGUGCCAUUUCAUGGUACACCAAGGGAUUGUCCUUGGGCACAUCAUCUCCAAGCAAAGCAUUGAAGUUGACAAAGCAAAGGUUGAACUCAUUGUUAAGUUGCCAUUCCCAACAAAUGUCAAAGGAGUAAGGCAAUUCCUUGGCCAUGCCGGGUUCUAUAGGAGGUUUAUCAAGGAUUUCUCUAAGCUUGCAAGGCCUCUUUGUGAAAUAUUGGUGAAGGAUGUUAAAUUCAUAUGGGAUGAUAGAUGCCAAAGGAGUUUUGAAGAAUUGAAGCUAUUUUUGACAACCUCACCAAUAGUGAGGGCUCCCAACUAGCAACUGCCCUUUGAGGUAAAGUGUGAUGUCAAUGACUUUGCUAUAGGAGCUGUUCUUGGGCAAAGAGAAGAUGGAAAACCUUAUGUGAUCUACUAUGCGAGCAAGACAUUGAAUGAGGUGCAAAGAAACUACAUAACCACCGAGAAAGAAUUGUUAGCUGUAGUUUUUGCCUUGGAUAAGUUUCGUGCUUACUUGGUGGGAUCCUUCAUCGUGGUUUUUAUUGAUCACUUUGCUUUGAAGUAUCUAUUGACUAAGCAAGAUGCUAAAGCAAAACUGAUUAGAUGGAUUUUCUUGCUUCAAGAGUUCAAUCUCCAGAUCAAAGACAAGAAAAAAAUGGAGAAUGUGGUAGUAGACCACAUUUCAAGGCUAGCUAUCGCACAUAAUUCCCAUGCUUUGCCCAUUAAUGACGAUUUUCUAGAGGGGUCUCUCAUGUUGGUGGAAGUUGUCCCUUGGUACGCUCACAUUGCUAACUACCUGGUCACAAGAGAAGUUCCAAGUGAGUGGAAAGCACAAGAUAAGAAGCACUUCUUUGCAAAAAUUCAUGCCUACUAUUGGGAAAAGCCAUUUCUAUUCAAGUAUUGUGCGGAUCAGAUAAUAAGGAAGUGAGUUCCUGAAGAAGAGCAACAGGGGAUCCUCAGUCAUUGCCAUAAAAAUGCAUGUGGAUGCCACUUUGCUUAUCAGAAGACAACCAUGAGGGUGCUGCAAUCGGGUUUCUGUUGGCCAUCACUUUUCAAAGAUGCCCACACCAUGUGCAAGAGUUGUGAUCGAUGCCAGAGGCUUGGGAAGUUAUCAUGUAGGAACAUGAUGCCUUUGAACCCCAUUUUAAUAGUUGAUCUUUUUUAUGUUUGGGGCAUUGACUUCAUGGGACUUUUCCCUAUAUCUUUUGGCUACUCUUACAUCUUGGUGGGAAUAGAUUAUGUUUCUAAGUGGGUUGAGGCAGUCCCAUGCAAACACAAUGACCAUAGAGUGGUUCUCAAGUUUCUUAAGGAGAACAUCUUCUCAAGAUUUGGGGUGCCCAAAGCCAUAAUUAGUGAUGGGGGUACUCAUUUUUGCAACAAGCCUUUUGAAACUCUCCUAGCCAAGUAUGGGGUGAAGCAUAAGGUAGCUACACCUUACCACCCUCAAACUAAUGGGCAAGUUGAGUUAGCAAACAAGGAGAUUAAAAACAUAUUGAUGAAGGUGGUGAACACAAACAGAAAAGAUUGGUCAGUCAAGCUCUUCGAUUCACUAUGGUCAUGUAGAACAGCUUACAAGACCAUUAUCGGGAUGUCUCUUUAUCACCUAGUCUAUGGAAAAAAUGCCAUCUCCUUGUGAAAUUGGAAUACAAAGCUUGGUGGUCAAUCAAGAAGCUCAACAUGGAUUUGAGCAGAGCUGGGUUGAAGAGGUUCUUAGACCACAAUGAGAUGGAGGAAUUGAGAAAUGAUGCCUACAUCAAUUCAAAAAUUGUAAAAGAAAAAUUGAAGAGGUGGCAUGAUCAGUUGAUUUCCCGCAAGAAUUUUCAAAAUGGAUAAAGAGUCUUGCUCUAUGACUCUAAACUCCACAUCUUUCCGAGCAAGCUGAAAUCAAGGUGGAUAGGUCCUUUUACCAUUCACCAAGUGCAUUCAAAUAGAGUAGUGGAACUACUCAACUCCAACAACAUCGGGAGCUUCAAAGUGAAUGACCAUUGUCUCAAGCCCUUUGUAGAGUCUUUUUUCUCGCGACAAGGAGGAAUUCAUCCUCCUUGAUCCACAUCAAGCUUGACAAGACCAGUUUUUUUUUAUGGACUUAGUCUUUCUAAAGACUAUCGAGUCCAUAACUUUUUAUUUUAUUUUUUAUUUGAGAGUUUUUCGGUAUUAUUACUUGUUUUGUUUUUUAUUUUUCGUUUUACUUUUAUUUGGUUUGAUUUAACUUAGAUUUUUUAUGAUCAAUUGCAGGGGGGAUUUCAAAUAGAGGAAAAACCAAGAUAAUUCGCACACCCUGCGAAAAUUUCGCAAGGCAUGCGAAAUUUAUGGCUCAUUUCGCAUGGGAUGCGAAAUUUCGCACACCCUACGAACCAAUUUCGCACACUUUGUGAAAAUAAACCAACCCUACGAAAUCAUUUCAAAUACUCUACGAAAUUUUCGCAGAGCAUGUAAAAAAUUUCGCAGACCAAACACCAUUUCGCAUACUAUGCGAAAAUGUAAGGGGUCUACAAAACCAUUUCGCACCUCCAAAGCCAUUUCGCACAUUGUGCAAAAAUGAAAAGUCGCCCUAUCAUCCAUUUUUAAACCCCUUGAGCCCUGAAAUCCCCAUUUCGCAAGCACCCCUGUCCUUGCGAAUCCCUCAUUUUCCUCUGCCACCUUGCGACCUUGUCCCUCUCCAUUUGAUAUCGUGCCCUGCGCACAUCUCAUUUCAAAGACUCGCACUCUGCGCCCUCUCAAAGCACGAACCCAAGGCUCACAUUCCAUUUCCGACAUGGCACAGACCCGAGGAGCCCUUCCCGCCCCUUCAUCGAGACGCACACCAAGGUAGAGAGCCUCUUUUGCUCAGAUGCCAAGUGAUUCUCCAUUUCAGGCCACGGAGGCCCUGCGGAUUCCACAUUCCAAGGGUAGAACAGCCACUGGUCCUUCCUCUUCUAUUCCUCAGCGUAGAUAUGAGACGAGGAGACCACCUACUACACAAAGGGCGACUACUUCGCGCCAUGAGAAUUCGGUACGACACCCUCCUGCCAAGAGGGCCAGGACUUCAGGCCCAGGCGAGUCAUCCAAAGCUUCACAGCCUGAGCCUCCUGCAGAUUCCGAGGUUCCUACUGACAUAUCAUCGGAGUCUAUUAUCAAACGCCCGAUGCUCACAGCACCGCCCAUUGAGGGCAACUCUGAUUGUAGAGCGAGACCUUUCCACUUGGAGCUAUAUUUUAAUUAAGAGGCCAUGCCACAGCAGCCUGAGCUCCAAGACUCUUAUGGCUUACUACAGAGGUACCAUCUUGAGGACCUUAUGACUCCUCGUGAGUUCUUUUAUCCCAGAGUAGCACUAGACUUUUACCAGUCCAUGACUACUCGUGGCGUCCCGAGUCCUACCGCGAUGCACUUCACCAUUAAUGGACGUCAUGGUAUCCUCGAGGCCAGACAUAUUGGAGAGGCUCUACAGAUUCCUUUCGAGCUAGAGGACCCAUCUGUUUUCUGCCAAUGGUCCCCAAUAUCUCAGAGGGACAUGGUCCAUAUUUUAUCCAGGGGGACAUCUACAUAUUCGAUCCUUCUACGGAAGGAGCUUCGACCUGGGAUACUCCUCGUAGAUGUGGUGCUACUUUCCAACCUCUUUCCCUUUUAGCAUUCGAUACAUAGGCGAGGAGCUAUUUUGGACGCUUUAUUCUGUAUAUCAGAGGGCUUCUACUUUGGCCCGCACCACUUGAUCAUGGUUUCCCUCAUCCAUUUUGAGGAGAAGGUCCAUAGAAAGAAGCUUCAGAGGGCGAACACCAUUCCAUUACUAUUCCCGAGGUUGCUCUACUAGAUCUUGGAGUACAUGGGCUUUCCUACUGAGCCUCGGCUUGUGUGCCGCCGCCUUUGUCAAGAGCGAUCCACUCUCGACAAAUGGAAUCAGUUGGCGGGCUAUUCUACACCUCCAGGAGCCCCUCCCAUGGUAGCACCUCUAGUGUCCCCACAGGCAGAGUAGGGCAAGCUCCCGGUAGAGACUGCACCCCUAGUGCCCACACCUGAGGCUACUUCUGCUGUUCCGCCUACGACUCCUACUGUUCCACCAGUUGGUCCUUUUACAUCUGAGUCUUCCAUCAACAUCUCGACUUCGGAGUUUCGCGCCCUUGUGCAUACCUUUCAGACACUCACCACCACACAUACUGCUCUCUUCUAGAAAAUGGCUGAGAUGCGUGCCCAUCAGGACCAGCAGACUACUAUACUCCGCCAAAUUCAACAGCACCUGGGACUUCUGCCUCUGCCUCAGCUUGACCUUCCCACAUCAUCAGAGCCUCUAGCUCCAGUUGAGGAUACUAUUCCACCUGAGGACACUACCACAGUAGAGGUUCAGAUUCCACCACCUCAGGAGGCCACCACAGCUACAUUAGAGGAUGCAUCAUCUCCACCUGAGGCUCCCACUACUUGAUCAUAGGACAUCUCUUUAUCUUAUUGUAUUUACAUAUUAUAUUACUGGAGAUUUGUCUUUGUUUUGAUACUUUAUAUUCUGGCAUUGAAUGUAUUGCCUAAUGAUAUCUCAAUUGUACUUUCUCAUAUUAAUAUAUAGACAUCAAUUUUUUUUAGUAUACUUAGGAUUUUUCUAUUUACUCUACUCAUUACUCUUUUGUUUUUUUUUUUUUACUCAUGUGGUUUCUCCUAUACGACUCAGACUCCAUUUCACUCAGGAGGUACCACUUCUUCCCUUUAUUUUCAAUUGCUCUUGAAACAUUGAGGGCAAUGUUGAUCUUGGUUGGAGGGAGAGUUGAGGAAGGAAGUGAUUACUACUCAAAAAGUGCUAUUUCAUAGCUUGUAAUUAACUCUUUUAAAACACUUUUGAGUAGUAGUUAUCACCUUUUAACCCAAUUAACAUAUUAAGGACCCUUGCAAUCAAUUCUAAUCAAAUUGUGUUAAGUUUUGGUAUUUUGAUAGCUUUUUUAUCACCAAAGCAAUCCGAGAUUGAGGAUAUUUAUUUGGAAUCCAUGGCAAAAGAUGUUUGGACAGGACGUCCGGACACACCAUCGGAGGGCGGCGGAACGUGGGCUGUGGCAGGCUGUCGGAAUGACGUAGCAAGGCUUGUGCACUUUAGCCAAUGAUCGGGAUAACAUAUCCGAAAUUCUGCUCCGCCGACAUUCCACCCGGAUGUCUCACAUCCGGAAUUCUGCUCCGCCGACAUUACACCCAGAUGUCUCACAUCCAAAAUUCUUCUCCGUCGACAUUCCAUCCGAAUAUUUCACAUCCGACGCUUGACGCCGGAUGGGAGAGGAGGGCGUUUCAACUUCCCCGGUCAGACAUAUCCGAAUCCUUUGAUAACGCUUACCCGGAGAGUUUCGCAGCCAUUUUGCACAGUGCCGCGGUGUUCUCUUGAAGCUUCCCGAUAUGUGCGACCGACAUUUUGAGAUAUUUUGCUUUAGAUAUUUGAUGUCUAAAUCCCCAAACUCUCCUUGUAACCCACCAAUUAUAGGAUUCCUUAGUUAUUAAGUUUGGAAAAAUGGUGAAUAACCCCUUAUAUAUAGUUUGCAAUUUUCAUAAAAAAGAUAUGUAGAAUCUCGGGAGCUUGUUCCCAGAGAGACGCAUCCUUUGUACAGUUUUGGAAGGAAGUAAAAUACAGAGCACUUGCUCUGCUUUUCAUAUAUAUUUUUGUUUUCUCGUUCUUUUUAUUUCUAGCCAAUCAAAGUCUGAGGAUUUUUCCUCAGAGGAUGAGAGGCUAGGCUCUUCGUCUCUUGGAGUGAAGAAAACUAGGUAAGUUUCCACAUGCAUAAAUUGAAAGUUUUGUUGUUUUAGUUUUUAAUGAAGAGAAAGUGUGACCCGUUAAUGGUUUUUAUCUUUUUAGUUAACUUAAAACGCCUUUAAAUCACCCGGGCCAACACUUGAUAAGGCAAGUGGUCUCCAUCCAUUGAGAUGCACUAGUUUAUCUCUUGCGAGCCUUUGGGAGGUGGUUUGAAGGUAGGAUUUUCUAGAAUAACCAACACUUGAUAAGCUUUUGGACUCUAAGGAGACAUCCAUUAGUUAUCUCUUGCGAGCUUUUGACGGGUAAUCCAAGGUUAAAGAUCACCUUGAAUGGCAAGUACUAGGUGAGAGGUAUGAGCCAUUGCAAGAUGCAUUAGUGAGAGGGAUUUAGUGUUUGAACCCAUUAAAGGGAAGCAUCUGUACCACACCGGUUCGGGAAAUAACUAUAUGUUAAAUCCCCAAUGAGAGGAAAAGAAACAAGUGACCGGAACUCCCUUUUUGUAUAAGGAACCUGAGCCUAGUGAUCUAAACUCCAAGAAACACUUUUCUUUGUAAGUAAAAUCAGUUACUAUUUUUGGUUAGUUUAAAACCAAACCUUUUUCAUUCAAACAUCUUUAUGUUUUCUUUUAAAGCUAACCUUGAAAUGAAAAGGCACCAAUUCAUAUUUGAAUUAAUAUCAAUUGUGAAGUGAAAACCCAUCCCAGUGAACGAUCCUAGAGCCACUAUGCUAUAGUAGCUUUGUCUUUGCUACCCUAGUUCAUGGUUUAAUAGGUUAUAAAUUUUGUUGAUUACUCCCACAAUCAAAGGAGCACCAGUUGGACAUGAAUCAACUGAGACACUAAUUGGGCACAAAUCAGGAAGUUUUGUUAAUAAUGCUAGGUUAAUUUGUUAAUUUAGUUACUUUCUGCUUAAUUUUAAAAGUUUUCACUUUACUUUCCAUAGUUAUUAAGGAAAAAUUCUCAAAAUGAAAUGGGAGAAAUUGAAUUCUUACAUUUUUACUUGAAUUUUAGAAUUUGUAUUAUGCUUAUUGAAGCUGAUGAAUUAUUGAAACUCCUAUUGAAUUCAACCUUAUUUCUUCCACUUUAAUCUUACCACACACGGUGCACAUUAGGUUCCGAUUAUAAGAGGUGCGUUCUUAGCCUAUUGGAGGUUGGUCAAUUUGUUAAAGUUUGAGAAAGAUCUAGGUUAGGGGAGAGAGAAUAGUCUGACAUACUAUAAUCGAAAACUAAUAAACUUAACACUUAGAUCUUUGUGGAAGAGUAAGGAUUGGACCUUUGGGAGUGGAAAUUCGUUUGAUGCUUAAAUUUGCAUAAUGCUUACACUUUAUAAAUUGUGAUUAGGCAAGAGAUUUGAUGACUCUUGUUCAAGGUUGGGUUUUGCCUCUUUGAUGUUCCAUGAGAGAGUAUAAUCCUCAUCAUGCCACUUGAAAUUUUUUUUGGAGUGAUUAACAUGAUUUUGUAAAUUACUUUACUGUCUAUUUUUUUUUUAUCUCUCCUUCAUUGCUAAUGGACUAGCAAUAUGUCAGUUGAGGGGAGUGAUUACUACUCAAAAAGUACUCUUUUAUAGCUUGAAACUAACUGUUUUGAACACUUUUGAGUAGUAGUUAAUACCUUUUAACUCAAUUGGCACAUUAAAGAACCUAGCAAGGGUUACUAAUUAGUUUUUGGCAAGUUUUGGUGUUUUUGGUAGCUAUUUGAUCAUUGAAACAAGCCAAGAAUGAGGGAGAAUUUUGUGAAGUCCAUGGCAAUGCAAGUUAAAGCUCAAAUACAUGAAGAAUCCAAGCUUUGGAGCACUUCAUAGCCCUUUCCAAAGCCAAUCAGAGAUGCAAGGAAGAAAACCAGAGGAAGAAAUCCAACAAUUAGCAUUUUCGCAUGGCUGUGCGAAAUUUCGCACACCAUGCGAAACCACAAGAGGCAGCCAAAGAAUUUUGCACACUAUGCGAAAUUUCGCAUGGUAUGCAAAAUCUUCUUGUGCACCAACUCCGUUAUAUUUUUAUCUCAAAUAUUUUGUGUAAUUUCCUAGUUUCUCCUUGUAACCAACCUAGAUAUUUUCUUUUAUAUAUUUUUUAGGUAACAUCAUCUAUAGGGGGAGAGACAUAAGGAGGAUAUGGAUGUUUUUCAUAGAACACUUGUAAAUUUCCGGUAGUAAGAAAUAUACAGAGCUUUUUGCUCUACCUUACCUUCUCAUUUUGUUUUCACUUGUCUUUCUAGCCAAACAACCUCUGAGGAUGAUUUCUUAGGGAAUGAGUGGCUAGGUUUUACGUUUCUUGGAGUGAGGGAAGCUAGGUGAAAGACCCGAAUGCUAAGGUGGGAGUUGUCCUUGCUUUAAAUGAAAGUAGUUGUUAAACAUUAAUGGUUUUUAUUUUAAGGUUUAGCUUUAAAUCCCUUAAAAACAUCUUGAAUGGUCAAUACUUGGUAGGCUUUUUGGAUUCUAUGGAUGCUUAUUGCUAGAUCCCUGGAUGUCUAUUAGUUAUCAUUUAUGAGCCAUUGGAAGGUGGUUCAAGAUGAGGGUCUUUAAUGUUUGAAGCCAUUAAUAGGAAACAAUUACCAUUCUUUCAUGAAUCCUUUGGAUCAAAUCUUAAUUGCUAAAUAUAAAACUAGUUCGGGAGAUAACCAUCCUUUAUGUUAUUAUGCCCAACGCGAGGAGAAGAUUCGGAAUCUUCCCCUUUGUCUAAGGAACCCGAUCCUAGUGACCUAAAGCUCUAAGAGACCUUUUCUUUAUAGUUAACUUCACUUAUUGUUUUUUCUUAACUUAAAAUCAAUCUUUGCAACCACAAUUCCAUUUUCUUUGAAAGCUAAUUUUCAUAAGGAAAAUCACCAUUUUAUUUUCUUCCCUAAGUCAACUGUACGAUGAAAACCCAUUCCCAUGGACGAUCCUAGAGCCACUAUACUAUGUUAGCUAUGCUACCCUAAUGUGAGGUGAUUUAGGUUUUAUAAAUUUUGUUGAUAACACCUGUUUGAGCCAGAAUCAAAUGGCGCAACUGAACCAGGGACGAAUCAACAACUUAUAUGGGAGGGACACAAGUUUAAUUGAUUUGCAUUUCAACGUUAUAUAUAGGUAUGUUUUGGAAGAUUUGUUCUGGAAAUACUGCACCAAGUACGAUUCUUUUUGUCUUGAGUGGGUCUACUUGCAUGCCAAUUAACGAGUGGAAAAGUAGGAGCACCUACCUCAUGCUCGCGGAACCGAAGGUCAGUGAAGUGGGGCUCCUUUUGGCCUCUUGUGUUUCUAUUCCAACCAAGGCGGCGUAAGGAAAAACAACAAUAUGUUUGUGCUAAAUAUCAACGCAUGAUAGAUGUUUUUGUUUUUUGGUAUGUCAAGGCUAAUGAAUGAAAUGCUUUAGCUUGUUUUGUGACUGGAACUGCAAAUGUCCAAAUUGGAGUAUCUCCAUUUCUCACUUCGGAUGGUUAACUUAUAAACAAGAUAUAGGAAACAUGUGAACAUCUUGAGGAACAAUUUGAAUUAUUCAUUAGAAGUCCUGGGUUGAGUUCCAAGAUUUAAAUUAGACCCCUCUAGCAGCUUCAGGGGUACCUAGCAACCUAUAGCAUAUUAAUGAAGAUUUAGGAUUUAGACUCUAGAAUACAAAUUAAUAUGUAUCUCAUGCUUUGACUAGCUUCCCUACAUAUGCACAAAAUGGAGAUGACCUAAAAAAAUAGCAGAAUCUAGCUUCCCUACAUAUGCACAAAAUGGAGAUGACCCAAAAAAUAGCAGAAUUUCCUUAGUUUCUGUGGUUAAGGUGAUUCUCCGCUUAAUAUCACAUUGACUCAUUAUGCAAAAUCAACUGAGCUAAUUUUGUUUAUUUAUUUAAUGUCAAAUAGGAACUCCUAAUUAACCUAACCCUUGGCCUGUGUAAAUUGAUUUCACAUGCCCAAUGUUGAAGUAGAAGUCCAUAUUUUGAAUUUUAUUUUUGUAAAGGUAAGGAAAAUGAAGCAUUGUGUAAUUAUAAAAAUAACUUCAUUGGAAUUCACAAGGUUCACCCAAAAUGGAGCUACAUCCGUAUUCUAUCCUGCAGUAGACUAUAUAGAUUGUACAAUAGUAAAUUGCAAAUACAAUUAAUAAGUCUUGUGCUUCCUUACUAAUAAUCCUUUGACAUGAACAUUGCAGCACUAAGGUCCUCUUGGGAAGACACCUUGCACCCAUGAGAGCACGAAGAGGAAGCAAGGCAGAGUCAUGGGUGCAAUGUCAUGACUUGUUGUUGCACCAAGAGAGGCUUGGUGAUGGCAUGGUGUUGCAGUAGCAAGAAUGUUGCCUUGGUAGGGACAUAAUCUAGGGAUAGAUGCCAAGAAAGGCUUAGCACUCACAUGAGUUGCACAAAGAUGAAUGUAAUAGAGCAUCAGAGAGACGUCUUGGCAAGUAAAUGAAUGGAUCCAAGAGGCAACAACAUGAGGAGUUUCAAAUGGAUAAGGAAUGAGUCAAAGACAUUUGAAAGCUACAAGUUGGAUUCUAAUUACGAUUGCAAUUUGAGUUUGAGUAGGAGUUUAGAUUCUGAUUGUAAUUGUAGUAUGAGUUGGACUAGGAUUGCUUAUCCCUAGUCAAAAUAGGAGUGGUUCGUGUCACACCCUAUGAAAAGAGUUUGAGUAGGGACUAGGAUUGCUUACUCCUAGUCAAAUAUGGAGUAGGUGGUGCCACACCUAUAAAAAAAAAGGGACAACAUGAGAGAGAGAGAGAGAGAGAGAGAGAGAGAGAGAGAGAGAGAGAGAGAGAGAAAGAGAUAAUGAAUUCACUAAAGAUAUUGUGGGAGUUUUUCUUUGUUACGUCUUGUAUUAUUACUUAGAAUAGGAAUAAAAUACAAGUUUGGGCUAGAGCCCCAUAAUUAAUCUCGUGUGCCUUUGUGGUUAUUCUUUAUUUGUCAUCUCGUGUGGAUUGGAUUACAUUGACUUAGAGGGCUUCUAAGCACCACCUUUGUGGGUUAUUAUUUAUUUUCCAUUUCUUGUGGAUUAGAUUAGGUUGACUUUGAGGGCUUUUAAGCACCACCUUUGUGGGUUAUUCUUUAUUUUCCAUAUCGUGGGGAUUGGAUUAGGUUGACGAUGAGAAAAAUUAUGUGGGAAAUUUGUGUUGGGACACUUAUCAUAACCAGGUAAAAUCUGCCAAGUCCUUUGUAAUAUCUUCAACAAAUAUUUCAGACUAGUUCUUCACCAUAAACAUCAUAUUGUGUUUUGUUUUUCUCCUGGAUUCUGAGUUGAAUUGUUUCAAGUCAAUUGAAUGCAUCUGAAUAUUAUUAGCUUGUUUGAAGGCCUGGUGAUUUUCCAUUUAACUUUACUUUCUUUAGGUUAUGCUCACUAUAAGAAAAAUGAGAAAUAAUGACGCUUUUUACGCGUUAAGAAAGGCAACAGAUGAUGCUUCUCUAAAGCGUCCUCUUCGGCUCUGUCAUUAUAUGUGUUAGCCAAUAAUGACGCUUCUAGGAAGUGCCAUCUUUGAAUAAUGUUAAUAACGACACUCGUAAAAAGUGUCAUCUUUAAACAUAUUCUGGUCAAAUAAUUUUUACAAAAUUAGUAAUCUUCAAGCCGUUUCUGAAUCAUAUCUGAGCCUAUUUCUGGGGACCAGAAAACCAUCUUUUUUCCAUUCGCCUGAGAGGUCUGAUUAGCAUUUCUGGAAUCAAUCUCUAAACCCAAGCUUCCCUCAUCUACCCAUUUAACCCUCAUGCCCUCCUGUUUGAACAACUUUCCCACUAUAUACACAAAUUUUUUACCUUCUGUUGUUGGUAUUCGACCUCUUCCCAUUCCCAGCACAGAAUCCACCAUUAGUGCCACUUUGUGAAUAAAAUCAUCGAACCAGAUCUUUCGGGCGGAAGAUGAGCUCCAGAGAAAUAAAAUUUUUGGGGUCUUCCCAGCAUGAAAGUCAUAGGUAGCAUUAAUGACAUCAAGAAAUGGGGCACUGUUGAGAAAAAACAUGUUCCCAUCAACCACCCAAGAAUUGUACCAGACUCCAAACACUUCUGGAUUACAUAUGCCUUUACUAAGAUAUAUUUCUUGAUCUCCAUAUCAGAAUCUUGGAGACUCUUCAUUUUAUGAGCUCUGACACUACUGUGAAAUUGGUCCACAUCAAUCACAGGAUGACCCCUUCUAGCAAGAUCAAGCAGGAAGUCUGAAUUCGGGCCCAUAAAAAUGUAGUUCUGAAUAUUGAAACUCUCAAAGUGGCACAACAAAUUCCUUAUGACUCUUUCAGAUGCUCCAAACAGGCUCACAAGUAUAAUGGUAUCCUGUUUUUGCACAGAGUAAAGAAAAUAUCCGAGUUCUUCAAAACUCCUUACAACUAUUCCAGGAUGUACUUCUUUGAAACAGAAAUCGUACCACUUUAGCUUAGUCAGAGGUUGAAUCUAAAAUAACAAAACCCAAACUGAAAUCAAAAUCGAAAUCAACCCUAAUAGAUUUCAGAAACAACAAAUUAAAAGAGUAAAGCACAAAAGGGGGAAAACACAUAUGAAGCAAUCUCCAUACAAGCCCUAACCUUAGAUAAACCCAAAAAAAAAAAUCAAAGCAGAGAGUUACCAUAGAGCAUCUCUGUUUCAAGCUUAGAAAAUGUUUAAUGCCAUUGAUAACUAGUUGGCUAGUGGUGGACUUCAAGCUUCUCUAUUUCGGUGUUAGUAGCUCUCAAUGGCUAUGGUGAGAACAAAGAAAUGAGAGGCUUAGGGUUUGGGAUGUGAGGUUAUUGAUGAUGAUGAGGAUAAAGUUAUGGGCUCUUGGAGGGGUUAGGGAAAUUGAAGAUGGCUGAGAGUAAAGGCUAGGGUUUUUGAGAUAGUUAAUAGCUUUUUAGGGUGUGACUGUCCAUAGAUAGAAGAUAAAUGAGGGUGUGAGAAUUUAUAGAUCUCUAGGUGAUAUGGCGGGUGUGAGAAUGAAAUUUUAGAGGGAAUUGUGUGUUUGGUAGAAAUUUCACACAUGCAUAUAUAAUGUUUCAGAACAUGGCACUUUAAAAAUACGACAAGGAAGAAAUUAUUUAUUGACGCUUAAAUAAAGCGCCAAGGUCUCCAACAUUUUUGCAAUCAAUGACGUUUGUAAAAGGUGCCAUUGAAUAGGAGUGCCAUUGCUUUCCCACAAAGCAUCAUUGUUAAUCAAGCCUUUAAAAAACGCCAAGAUAUGUUGCCACUUAGGUUAAAUAUUGACGCUUUUAAAAAACGCCAAGGAAAAAAACGUCAUUAUUCAUGUUUUUUGUAGUAGUGGCUUGAUUCCUAAAAAGUAAAGGAAAGCAAAAAGUAAAAAAAUAAAAAUGUGGAGAGUUAGGACAUGCGUUAUCUAAUUGUCCUAGUCCCAAAUAUAUUAAGAAAGUCAUGUAGGUUACUUGGAGUAACGAGUCAAGUAAAGCAAGCCUUCUAGUGUUUAAGACAUUAGAUAUUACCGAACUGAUUAUGUCAUUAAUGUAUUGCAUUUGUUGUUUCUAAUAUAUAGAAGAAGAUGAAAUUAUUGGAAUAAGUGGGAAAUAGGAAUAAAUCCAAGGUACCAAAAAGUCACUUUAUCUUAGAUGUUGUUGGAAACAUAAGUGAUUUCACAAUAACGACUAUGAGACAAUCAAGGAUUAAUAAGAUAGACUUUAUAUGAUAUACCUCCCAAUUAGAGCCUAAAAAUAUGGAUGAAGCACUUAGAGAUGAAUCUUCAAUUUUUGUACUAUAGGAAGAAUUAAAUCAAUUUGUUAGCUAUUCUUUGGAUAUUUGAUUCAUCACAAGCUACAAAUCACUUUUGAUGACCAAACACGAAACUAAGAGGAUUGGGCCCAAUUCGAUGCCUAUCAACAAUGAUUUGUAUUCCACCUCAUUAAUUAUUCAAAGUUGGGAAGCUAGGUCUAACCACUUUCUCUACCUGUUCACCCUUAGAGGAGCAGAAGAAAAUUCUAACUUUGGUGCCUAAUGCCUUUGACAAUCUUUCGACAAAGAGAGUUCACUAAUUACUUUGAUUAUUUCUCUGUUGGUCACUGGGGGACAAGACUUUUGUAAUGAAGUCAACUAGAACUUGCCCUUUGAGGGCCAUUCAUGGACGAUAUUACACCAUGAAUUCCCUUAGGUCAUGUUUGGUAUGUGAGAAUGAGGAGUGGAAUGGACAUCUUAUUCAUUUUUUCAUCUAUUCAAAUGUUGGGAUAACUCAAGUGACCAUGAGAAUGAAAUCAAGAAUGAUUCAAGGGAAAUGAAAUCUUACUUAUAAGUGUGAUUUCAAUUAAUCUCUAAUAGAAAUUAUUUUGAAUCAAUAGUGCAAGUUAUUUUUAAAAACAUUUUUCCAAAAUUAAAAAAAUCAAUUUUUUUUUUUUCGAUAAGUUGUUUUUAAAAGGAUUUUUUUUAUUUUGUAAAAAGAAAAUUGUAAUUCAAUUUAUAUAAUAUAAACUAAAUUUUAUUUUAUUCAAAAAGAAAUAAUUUUUUAAUUAUAAAUAAAUUAAAAAUAAAUACUUUUAAUAAAAUAUAAAUAGUAUUAUUAUAAUAAAAUCAUAAAUAAAUUUAAUUUUUUUUAUAAAUAUUAUAAAAAUAUGGAUAUUAACAUUGGAUAAUUGAUUUAUUUUGUUAAAAUAAAAAAUAAUAAUUUUUAAUAUUAUUUUAUGUUAAAUGAAUUUUAAAAUAAAGAAAGUUUAAUUAUUUUAAGGUAUAGAAGAGCCAAAUUUUGCAUUACAUACAUAACAAACAAUAUUUAUUAGAAACAUUUCUCAAGGAGAAUCUUAUUCCAUCUCACAAAGAUACUCGUUUAUUCGAUGUUUGACCAUCCGUAACAAUCAUGUCAAUUCUACUGAUUUAAUAAUUCCUUUACAUUUAUUACUCACUUAUGAACAUGGUAUUGUGAUUUAUUUAUUUAUUUGAUGUAUAAUUAAUUAAUCAAUUUUUUAAAUUUCAAAUUAUUUUUAAAAACUAUUCAUUAAGGAAUUUAAAGCAUUAAUUAUGUCUAUUAUUUUUUAUAGUCAUUAUAUAUAUAUUGAGUUUUAAUUUAUUUUUAAAAAUUAUUAAACUUAUUAAUAAAUUCAAUAUAAAGUCUCGUUUCAUUUGAAAUUCAUUUCUUUAGUGAAAAUUUUGAAAAAAAAAUUGUUAUUUAUUUUACUUUGUUUUAAAAAAAUUGUUUCUAGAGAACAAUAAUCAAAUAAUGGUAUGAAUUUUUAAAAACAAUUUUGUUUUUAAAUCAUAUGCCCAAAUAAUUUUUUUUUAUUUAGCAAAAAACUUUGUUGUAGUAUGUGGCUCAUAUUGAGGGAAAGACAUAUAUGGAGAAAAAUGUGCAAAUGUUGGAGUGGAGCGGAGUGGAAUGACGACAUUUGUCAUUCAAACUUGUAUUUUUAUUGUUAAGGGUGACCGAUAGGUUGGUACGGUUUAGGGGUAUUUUUGGAAUUUCAUUACCUGAGGGUUAGUAUAAAUACCAUUUUAUGUAACCCUAAUUUUACAUAUAAUGUAAGUUUUCUUCCUUGUUCUUGUGGACAUAGGCAAUCCGUCGAACCACGUUAAAUCUGUGUGUUUUUUUUUCUUUUUUCUUUUUCUCUAAUUUCUUCACCAGGAAUCGUUACACUAAGAUCAACAAACUCUCAAAGAUGAUUUUUAAAAUGAAAAAAAUAAUGUAUAGUGUGAGAAUUUUUUAUUUUUUAUUUUUUUAAAAUGAAAAUAAAAAAUUGCUUUAAGGUAAAAGUGUGGAUAUUAUUGUUAAUUUAUUUCAUUUUUCAUUUUCAUUUCCAUUGUUACCUACAAUUGAAAUGGAAACAACUAAUCAUUACAACCUUACAUUCUUAUAUGCAUCCAAAUACAAAAAUUGAAAUCACCAAAUUCAUAUUCAAGGCAAAAUAGGAAUGAAAACAAAUAUUCAUUCUCAUUCUUUAUUCCCACGUGUCAAACAUGACCUCAAAGUUAUAAACAUGAACAAGAAGUCCUUGAAACACCAAUGAUCUCUUCUGGUAUAUAUAUGAGCUUGAUUGACAACUGUUUUAAAUACAGUUUUUUUUUUUUUUGUUUUCAAAAUCAAAACAAAUUUAUUUUUAUUUUUUAUAAAUAGUAGUUUUUUAAUAUUUUUUUUAAACCUUAUUAUGAAAAUAGGAUGUUUUCUAAUAUCAUAUUUUAAUUAUUUUCAAUUAUUUUCCCUUCUUUUAAGGAGGGCUAUUUUAAAAAUAUGAAAAAUGAUACAAAAUAAAGCAUUACAAAUAAAAAUCAUUUUUAAGAAAUAUAUGAAAAUAAUUUGAGAACAUUUGAAGUUCCUUAAUUAAACUUUUGUUCUAGAAAAUGCAAGAAAACUGUUUUUGAAAAUUGUUUUCAUAAUGAUAUGCAUUGAUCGUUUAAAAUUUAAUUACAUGAUAAAAAGACCUAUGUAAAAACCAGAGUUAUAUAAUCAGUCAUAGAUCAAAUCUACUAAAUAUGAAAAGUAAGUACAUAGUUGUAUAUGACUUAGAUGGAGCCUUCUCCGAAUGACAUUCUUUAGUCGGUACUCAUAUUUUUUUGUUUCGUGUCUUCAACAUAACACCUCAUGAUCCUUAAUAAAUCACCUGAAAACUAUAUUAGCACCUUAUUGUUUAAUAUUUCUCUAAAUUUUUUUAUUAAGCAAAUAAAUUCCAAAUUUAAAAUGACAAAUAAAAUUUAUUAAUUUUUAAAAAUAAUUUAAAACUCAAAAACCAAUUUAAUUGAUAUUAAAAGUCAUGAAACUUAAUAAUAUUAGAAAGUCAUGUAUCCAAAUUUAUUUUAAAUGACUUGUUUAAUUUCUUGUUUAUAUAUAUUAUAUUUUUAUAAUUUUUUUUACUAUACAAAUAAAUUUUAAAUUAAACAAAACUUAAUGCGUUGAAUUCAUUAACGAGUCUAAUAAUUUUUAAAAGUUACUUAAAAUUUAAAUACUAAAUCAAUUAGUACCACAAAUUCAUGGAAAAAAAUUGAUUUAUUACUACUAUAUUGUUUCUCUAUUGCAUAGAACCAUUAUUUUUCAAUUUUUUCAUUUGGCAAAUGAACAUCAAAUUAAACAAGACUAAGUGUAUUAAAUUCAUUAAUGGGUCUAGUAAUUUUUUAAAAUAAUUUAAAAUUCAAAUAUUGAUACUCCAAAUUAAACAAGACUUAGGUGGUGUUUGUUUUUUGGUUGAAUAGAAAAAGGUAAAAUAUUUGACUUUUUCUAUUUAGUUAAAAGUAACUUGUUGACAUCGUCCAAUAUAAUUAAAGUAAACCUAUUGAGGGCAAGUUCACUUUAAUUAUGUUGGACGAUGUCAACAGGUUACUUUUAACUCAAUAGAAAAAAUCAAAUAUUUUGACUUUUUUUUUAACUCAAAUAAUAAAUCCAUUAAUACAAAAAAAUUAUGGAUAAUUUGAAACUUUCUUUCUUUUUUUUUUUUUUUUUGCUACACAUAGCUAUAUUUUUAUAAAUUUUAUCAUUAGAGAAAUGGAUUUCAAAUCAAGUGAAACUUUGUAUUGAAUUAAUGGAUUUAACAUUUUUUAAAAAUAAUUUGGAACUAAAAAAAAAAGAUUUAAUUACUAAGAAAAUCAUAGAUCAAAACUAAUAUAUUCUGAUCCAUGAUUUUAUUAUUUUUCCUAUACAUACAAUUAUAUUUUUAUAAUUUUCUCACUAGGUAAAGAUAUUAUAAAUUAAGUGACACAUAAUUAAUAAUUUAAAUUUUUGAAUGAAUCUUUUAAUUUUAGGAAUAAUUUGAAAUUUAAAAAGUUGAUCCAAUUAAUUGUAAAUUAACUUAAAAUAUUAUAAAAUAUUAUGUUCAUAAUUAAGUACUAAAUGUAUAUAUGUAAUGAAAACUUAACUAGUUACAUGUUACAAAAGCCAAAAUUUAUUCAUUCUUUAUUUUAAAUAAAAUAUUAUUAAUAAUUAUUUUUUUUAAAAUAAUAUUUAGUAAUUAUUGUUUUUAAAUUAUUAUUAUUAAUUUUUAAUAAAAAAAUUGCAAAGUUAUUAAUAUCAUUAUAUUUCUAACAUAAAUUUAAAUAGUAUAUUUUUUAAUAUAUAUAUAUAUAUAUAUAUAUAUAUAUAUAUAUAUAUAUAUAUAUAUAUAUAAUUUAUGAUUUCAUUAUAAUAUUUUUAUUCAUGAUUGACGAAAAAUUAUUUAUUGUUUAAUUUAUUUGAAUUGCAAAACUAUUUUUCAAAAUUCAAGCGAGAAAAUAGGCCUGGAUUUGAAUUUCCUGUAGAAGAGAAGGAUGUGGAGAAUAUGUUGGGAGUAUUUGUGGAUAAAGAAAAGGCCAGGGUACUGAGAAAGGAGAGAGAACUUGCUCUUGCCAAAAGAGCCCUGCACAGGUAUUCUACUGAUUCUAAUUAUCGGUUCUUACAUGAUCAGAUUUCAGAUUUAUUUGCUGAGCUUCUGAAAUCUGAUACAGUAUUUAAACUCCGGUGAGCUUUACAAGAUUAGUCUCGCAUCCAAUUCCAAAUGGUGUCCCACAAUUGAUUCUUCUUAUGAUAAAUCCACCUUGAUAUGUGAAAAUAUUGCUCGAAAGGUUUAUCCUCGCGAGGAAUAUCCAGAAUACUAAGGAAUUGAGGAGGCUCACUAUGUUUAUAGAGUCAGGGAUAGGUUGAGAAAACAAGUAGUUGUUCCAUUACAUAAGGCCCUGGAGUUGCCAGAGGUUUUCAUGUGUUCGAACAAGUGGGGAUCACUUCCCUACAACCCUGUGGCUUCAGUGGCCAUGAAAUCAUACAAGAGCCUCUUCUCAAACCAUGAUACAGAGCGGUUUGGUGAGUAUCUUGAGAAAGUGCAAACUGGGAAGGCUAAGAUUGCAGCUGGUGCAUUACUUCCCCAUGAGAUUAUAGCUUCAUUGAAUGAGGAGGAUGCCGAGAGAGUUGCCGAGCUUCAGUGGGCAAGAAUGCUGGAAGAUUGAUCAAAGAAAGGGAGGCUCACAAAUUGCAUUGCAGUAUGUGACGUAUCAGGAAGUAUGAGUGGAACUCCAAUUGAGGUGUGUGUGGCUCUGGGGCAGUUAGUUUCAGAGCUCAGUGAAGAUCCAUGGAAAUUAAGGUAAUGUAAUUACUUUCAGUGCAAAUCCUGAGCUUCACAAGAUCCAAGGAGACAGCCUUGUAUCCAAGACUGAAUUUGUGAGGAUGAUGGAAUGGGGUGCCAACACUGACUUUCAGAAAGUUUUGACAGAAUCUUACAAGUAGCAGUGGAGGGAAAUAUGAGUGAAGAUCAAAUGAUAAAGAGGGUUUUCGUUUUCAGUGAUAUGGAGUUCGAUGAAGCUUGUGGGAGGUAUAACUAUUGUGACUAUGACUAUGAUAUGGAGGAAAUUGACGAGAGUCAGAAGGCAUCUCAGAAGUGGGAGACAGAUUAUGAAGUGAUACAGAGGAAAUUCCAGGAGAAAGGAUACAGAAAAGUUCCAGAGAUAGUGUUUUGGAACCUUAGAAACUCAUCAGCGACUCCAGUGACGGCCACAGAGAACGGGGUGGCCUUAGUAAGCGGGUUUUCAAAGAAUCUGUUGACCUUGUUUUUGGAAGGAGGUGGAAUUCUGAUCCCUCAGGAUGUGAUGGAAUUCGCCAUCUCUGAUGAAGAUUACAAGAAACUUGUUCUAUUUGAUUAAGAUAUCAAGAGAUUUAUCAAUAAUAAUAUAUUUUUUUUCUAUGUGAAAUACAUAUAAUAUUAACUGUGGAGUUAUCAAAGUUCUGGAGGUUUAAUUAUUUCUUCUUUUCAAGUUUUGUUUAUUUAAGGUUUUCUUUGUCUUUGUUAGGAAUUCCCCUUGGGUGGACCCAGCUGGGGAGUUGGAUUGAGGAAGUAAGCAGGCGAACUUGUGUUCUUCUAUGGACAGAGAAAAAAAAUAAAAUAAAAAAAUAAAAAAGGAGGUUAUUUGCAUUUGGAUGUCGUGGUUUGAGGGUACAACUACAAGCUCGAAAUUGUACAUAAUGUGAAAACUCCUGUGUCCAUUGCUGAGAACAGCAUAAAUGAUGGUGAUUUUCAAGUUGUGCCUGGUAUUCUACAGGAUGAAACAAGAAAGGAUCCAGGUGGUAUAUUGAACAAUAUCCCAAUCAUGUUGGUGGCAUCUUUAUUUAGUUAAUGGUAUUCAUUUGGUGGAAGCUGGUUGUUUAUGAUGUUUUUAAUUUUUUUUAACAUGAAGUUCGAUCAAAUACGUAUCUUAGUAUGUUUUGUUUGAGCUAAUUGGCAAAUGCGCUUUAAACAUGGUCACAUGGAUGCAGUUUUAUUUGUGAAAUGAUAAUAGUCGAUUACUUGGUCAGUAAGGUUUAUAUCUCUAACUUCAACAUCUUAUUGUAGUCUUUUAAAAUGUCAAAAGUUUAAUGCUUGAGAAAUUUUGGAAUGGAGACAUUCUAAACAAAGUUAAUAAUCCACAAGACUUGGUAAAACCGAUCAGAUGAUGCUUACGUACAUCAAUGCCUUCUUUAAGCCAUAUCCUAUUUUCAUUGAACGGGAUGUGCCAUCUAGUUUGGUUCUUUAAGCCUCCAAAUCCUAAACCUAGUCUCAAUUUAGAGCAAAUUUAGGGUGCAGGGCCUGCAUGCCUCCCCCUCCCCCUUCCACAAAUAGUAGUGACCUUGCUAUGCCUAUGCAUUGUCAAUGCCUCAUUUUCUAUGGUCUCCAAUGUAAUAUCUUAGUUUCAAUGUCUCUUUCCUUACUAUCUCCAAUGCAAUAGAUUGAUUUCAAUACCUCUUUACAACUAAGACCUCCAAAUUUUCUUGGUUCAAACCUACCAGAAUUUUUCUUCUCCUUUGCUUUCUAUCAAUAUUAGUUCCCCUAAUUUAAUAUAUACUUCUUUAUUACCUUCAACUCUACCUCUCUUUCUUUCUCUAAAAGCUUCCUCAAAGAUUUAAUUGCUUUCUUGCAUGUUUUAAGAAAACAAACAUGCUCAUAUUACAUUACCUCUACUUGAGAUCUACCUUAUACUCUACCUUCUUUCUUUACCUCCUAUAUCAUCUACUACAUUAGCUUCAAAAAUAUUAUUUAGUUUGAUACUAAAUAAGGCUCCUAAUCCUACUCUUCCUUCAACAAACUUUCUUUUUACAAGUUCCUUAAACUUUAUUUUUUAUUUUUUAUUUUUUGGAAAUUCGGGUUAGAAAGAUUCCAUUACUCUUACCUAAUAUUUCAACCAUCAAGUUGAAUCCACUUAUUGCCUAAAUCCAAGGAGUCUGCCCUCCACAAAAACAAGGAAAUUGAUCCCACAAUAACAAGGAGAUUGCCUUCCACAGAAACAAAGAGAUCUCCCUUCACAGAAGCCGAAUACAUUGCAAUCUAUUUUCUUUCUUGUAAGAUCAAAUCUUCAAUCGAGCUCCAUCUUAUGGGGGCAUAUUAGAGAAAUUUAAUAUUAUCCUUAAUUUACAUAUUAAUAUUUAUCUAUUUAUUAUAUAUUGAAUUAAAAUAGAAUAUAGAAUUUGAAUCAUAGUAGAAGUUUACUAUAAGAUUGAAUUACAAUAGUUAAUAGAGUUUAAAUUAUAAUAACUCAAAUACAUUUAUAUAUAUUUGACCUUACGAGAUUUUCUAUUUAUGUAUUUGAACUACAAUCCUUAUGAUCCUUAGGUCUCUAUACCUUCGUGAUGGGCUCCUUGACAUUUCAUAGGUUGUGCUACACAUGCAUUUGAAAUUUAGAGUGCAUUUGACAGUGAUUCUGGGAAGUGUUUUUGGCAUUUCUAACACUUAAAAUUUUUUAUUUUUCAAGUAUUAGAAAUGCUACAAACACUUUUGAAAAUUACUGUCAAACACACUCUUAGGAGCGCAUAUAGUAGAAAACUAGAAAUUGUGGUUUUUUUAGGAUUUACUGUAAUGUCAUUAGGAGGGUAGUAAGUUGAAACUGAGUAUGAAUAAAUAUUUCUUUCUUUGGGAUGUUCUUCUGGUAGGUGCUGAUGAAACUGUUCUUUUUACUGCCAAUGUCACAUAUCAGCCAGAAAUUGAAAAUUUCAGUCAAGGUGUCCUCGGUUUUAGUGGUGAGGAAAGCUAGAAAUUUUAAGGUGAAGUUCUGUUAAAAACCUUAAGUAGCUGGGAUAUCAGGCCUGUUUUGCUUGAAAAAAAAAGUUGCAAGAUAACUCAUAUGCCAAACAGGUUCUGAUAUUGUGAAUCUAUCGGCAGACAUCAGUAAUCUCAUCUUCUGAGAUGGAUGUUGGGGGUGCAUGUGGUGGUGGAGGGGCAAGGUUUCAUUUGGUUUAUUUUGUUGAUGGAUAUUGUCUAGCCCCCUGCGCCAAGUUUGAGGGGUGGUGGGUUGUGAUGGCCCUACAAUUACUAUUAAUUUCUUCCUCUUUUACCGAUUAAAGUGUCCGAACAGUCGAAGUUACCCUUAUGCAUGUCAACUUGAUCACUUACCUCUUCAAUGGAGUUUAUGCUGGUUCAUUUAGGAACUGAUUUUUAUUGUUAUGCAUUCUAUGCUGAUGUUUAGGCCUCUCCAUCAUCACUAUAUACAAAAAUUCUAGGUUGAUACUAUAGGUUGAGAUUUAUUUUUUAAAUAAAAAAUAAUAAAAAUAAAAAUUAUGGUGAUGUUUAGUUGUUUUAUGGAAAAUUUUAACAAGUUAUUUUUGGGCAAGUUUUCAAACAAAAAGAAAAGUAAAAGUUGUUUUGACAAAAACAUAUAGAAAAAAAAAAUCAUAGAAAAGAAAUAAUUUCCCCAUAUUCUAACUUUUUUUAAUUUUUCUCAAUGGGCAAAGGAAUAUCAAAUCAAGUUUGAGUAGGAUUUCUUAAUUUUUAAAAUAACUUACAAUUAAAAAAUUUUGGUGUUUUCAUUUUUGGACAAUUUUUUAUUAAGCAAAUGGACUCUGAGUCAUGCAAGAGAUAUGGUUGAUUAAUGGGUCAAACAAUUUUUUUAAAAUAAUUUAAAACUCAAAUACAUAAUCAAUGUCACAAAAUUUAUAAACAAAAAUAGGUUUAGAGAAGAUCUACACAUAAUUUUACUUUUCUAAUUUUAUUUUAUUUUAUUUUUUUGUUGGAAAAUAGUCUUCAAAUCAUGUAAGAUUUAAUAGGUUAAAUUUGUUAACAAUAAAUUUUAAAUUAUAAAAUAUAAUCUGGAACUUAAAAAUCAAUUCAAGUAAUGCUAAAAAAAAUCAAAUUUGGUAUAGAAUGACUACGUAAAAUUUUUUACAAAACAAAUGAAUUUUAAAUCAAGUGAGAUUUAAUGCAUUAGAUUUUUAUCAAAUAUAGUAAUUUUAAAAUUUAAUUUGGAACUCAACAAUAGACACAAUAAAUACCAAAAAAUAAUGAACCAAAAUUGGUUUGGAAUAACUCCACAACCUCUUUUUUUUUUUUUUGGUGCACACGAAUUUUCUUACUAGGUAUAUUGCUUUCAAAUUGAGAAAGAUUUACUAUUUAGAUUUUUUUUUUUAAUGAGUUUAAUGGUAUUUUAAAAUAAUUCAAAAUUUCAAAAAUUGACUAAUUACUAUUAUAAAUUCAUAAACCAAGACUAAUUCAAAAUGCAUUGGGGGCUAAGGGGGUUGAAAAUAGGGACAAUGGGAUGGGUUUGGGACAUGACACUCAUAUCUCAUUUCCAUUCCAAUUACAUAGUUAUCUCCCAUCCUUAUCCCAAACUUGUGUUGGAGCAAGUUGAUUUGUUCCCAUCUUUGUUGAUGAAAUGACUAAUAACCUCAUCCCCUCCUUAUCUUAGAUGUACAUUUUGUCAAAUUUGAUCAGGUAUGAUUGAUCCAAGCCCUAACCCUAAUUGGUAAUGACUGGAUACUACACCUAAUUGCAUUCUUCUUUCGUCGCAAAAUAAUGAGAUUAUAAUAAUCUAGCAAAUAAGAAAAAAUAGUAUGGAAGUUCAAUUUAACACCAUAACUAUCAAUAAUUUUAAGCUUAUAGAUGACUUAAAUGAUUAAAAACUAAUGCAAAAUACCAAAAAAAAAAGUUCAUAUAAAGAAUUCACAAGAGAACAAAAUGAACAAAAACCAAAUAUGAACAUGGGUCAACAUUAGUUAUGGAUUUGGAUUCCUUUCAAGGCCAAUCUUUGAACCAAGACUUCAUCAAAUCUACUACUUCAAAGGCUUUUGUGUUCUUCUUGGGUUGUGCUCUCAAACAAAGACUUCAAGGUGAUGCUCUAGAUGAUUGCAUUACACAUAUUUAGGGUGGAGAGAUUGGAGAAGCUUGAAGAUGCCAACGAUGGGUACAAUUGAGUGGUCAAUAAGAACAAUGUAGCCUAUGACUAGUUUGAUGUCGUGGUACAAGAGUUUUAGGCAUUGAGGUUAAAGCAAGAGCAACAUGGAAUUGAUUUUGGAGUCUUUCAAUUAGUGUAAAGGAGGAAGAAGUGGUAUUGAUUCUAGAAAUAGGGUUUUAGGUGGUGCGUUAGAGGAUGAAGAAGAAGAAAAAGAAGGAUCUGUUGGAAUUAGUGUGAGUGUGAAGAGAGAAGUAUAUAAAUAAGGGGAAGUAAAAGCAAAGUUCUAAAAGCUAUAUUUUUUUUUAUUGUUGGUGUAUGGUUGCAUGAUUAUCCCUAUAAAUAAUAGGAGUUUUUUUGGUAUUCUACUAGUAGUUGAAGGAUAAUUUCAUAAAUUUAUAUUUAGAGUGGGGUGGGGUGAGUUGUGACAAAAUUCAUACCCGUCCUAAACCUUGGUUCAGAUUUUUAAAAUAUCCUCAAACUUAUCAUAUACCCAACUUUUAUAUUUCAUACUUGUCUUGAUAGAGGCAGGUUAGGCCGGGUUACUUGAGUAACCUACAUAAUUGUCAUCCCUAGUUGAAAUACACUUUUUUGGCAGUGGCCACCAACUGAGCUAGAAGCUUGAUCGAUUGACCUACAAGAUUAGUUCUCAUCAUUUUAAAAAAAGUUUUGGCCUUGGUUGUGAGUGCAAUUGAAUCUAAACUGGCAUUUCCUUAAUGCAUCUACUUCAAUCCUAAAUUUCUUACUUCCUAAGCCUCAAUUGUUGUUAGGAUUUUGGAAAGCCCAUUUCCUUAAAUUGUAAAUUUAAGAAAAAAUAAAAUAAAAGUGAGACAUUUCUUGAUUGAAUAUUGUUAAAGGUCCCUUGGCAUUAAGACUUGGUUGAAGCCUUGGAAGAUUAGUGGAACUCUCAACUUGUGUUUGAAUCUUGAGGAGAGUGGACGUAAGCCAAAAUUUUGUCAAACCAUUAAACAAAUUGAGUUUGAAUCCUCAUUUCUUGAUUUCUUAUUUAUUUGCUUUUUCUUAUUAUUACUUGAAUUGUCAUUUGCAUUCAUUAAUGUUAAAAUUGGUUAUAAUUAACCAACACUAAUUCUCUUUCCCCUUCCCUUUCUUGGGUGUAAACCUAGGUUGGAUUAACUAGAUUAAUUUAUAAAAUCUAUUAAGAUGGUAAAAGAAUAAUUAUUCUUAACACACAUAAGAUCAUCUUCAAUCAAAUGACUCAUUGGCUAAUAUGUUGAAUUUGCUUAUUACUUGCAACUCAAAAUUGUGUUCUAGUUGAUAUGUCAAGUCCCCAGUGUAUGGACAUUAAAUUUGUAGUACGUGAUGGUAAUUAGAUGGUCCAACUCCAAGAAAGUGAUUGAAAACUAGUUCAAGAAAGGUGCAAAAGGGAAUUGUUUUGGUAUUUUCGUUUUUAUUCUUGAAGGUGGCAGAGCUAAAAUUUGUGAAAUCAAGCAAAACAUACUGAAAUUACAUUGAAAGAAAGAAAAUGGGAGUUAAUGUCUUGCAGUAGAUGAUAAGGACUUCAUGCAUGUAGUAUGACCCAUGUCUUGGACUGAUGCCAACUCACGGUUACACUUAUACCCUUGGUUCUCUCUUUACUACCUUGGCUAACCUAGAUCAGGCUAUGAGAUAGGCUCCUCACCACACCAUUACUUGCCCAUUAAUUAGAGACAUUUUCAAGCACUGAGGUAACAUGGUGACACCAAGAGGGUUUAUUCCUCGCCCUCCUCGCCCUCAACAAGUCUAGACUUGGUCUCAAAAAAAUGGAGAAAAAUGAGGUGUCGUUAUGUAGAAAUACAACAACCAUGCCUUCCUCAUUACUUUGAUUCAGAAUGUGAAGGUGAAAUUGAGAAACAGAAACUCUUGAAACCAAAAUGAAAAUUGAUACUUUUACGAAGAAUUACAACAACAUUGGAGGAAGACUACAUUCUUCCUCUUUAUUCCUACAUUUCUACACUACUUCUACUCCACUCCAUAUUUCUACAUACAUCUUUAAUCAGUCUUCCCUCCUUUAUAUAGAGCCAUCUUCACACAAAUUCCGCAAGGUAGAAAAGAGGAAUGAAACUUGGAGCAAGGUUCGACUACUGGCUGUAGCUUGUCAAGGCUGGAAGUGAACCUUUUUUCUUGGCUUUUCUGGGCAUGGGUAGUAACUUGUGGGUUCCUUUUUGGGAUACAAAUGGCUAGAACAUGUGGCACUAUCUUGUUGGAUGAUGUGUCAAGCAUGUGGCAGCCAUCUAGUGGCGAUUAUGUCAAUUUUGGGAUGGAGAGUUGGCAUCCAAUUGCAAAGAAAUAUGACGUCUACCAACAGGCAAUGUAAACCUAUGUAGAUCAUAUGAAGAUAGAGAGGAAAAAUAUAGAAAUGGAUAUAUACCUAGAACUAGCUUUUUAUUAAAUGAAACGGAGAGCCAACAAUGAAGGAAAAUAAAUUUUUUUGGCUUAUAUCAAAGAGUUCACAUUGUGCUACCCUAGGUUUUCUUAAAACUUACUUUUAUGAUAACAAAAAAAAAAAAAAACAUUAUUGUUUAAUCCUUUGUUUUAAACGCAUGUUUAGCAAGUUAUAAAAUGUAAAAAUCUUUCUAAGUUCAAAUAUGAAGAUAUGACAUCAUUUCAAGCAAGAUAGUCUCUAGGAAUUAAUGUAAAGCUAAAUUAAGGUGAAAUUAAAUUAGUUCAAUGCAUUAAUUUAAGAAACUUGACCUAUCAAAAGUACAAAAUUAGAUGAAAUCCAUUUCAAUGGUUAAAAUGAUCAAAAUCAAACUUUUUCUAAGUAUUUUUUAAAAGUAUCAAUAUUGAAAGACAAUUUUAUAUUUAGUCAGAGUUUGGACAAAACCAAAAAGCACACAAAAUCCAAGCGACCAUCUCUAGCUUGGAUGGUCGCUUGAUCUCUAGCUUGUGUACUUGGAAAGCAACAUCGAGAUGAUAUAUAUAUAUAUAUAUAUUUUAUAUAAUAUUGUUUGUCCAAAUUCCCUAAAAAUUAGGCCACCACAUGUUCAUAAUUCUCCCUUCUUGAAUUUGAAAACUCGGACAAUUGGACAAUGCGACACCUAAGUCCGGUUUCUAAAUGCUAAAGUGAAAGGGUAGGUAUGGACCAUUGAAAUGUGAUCACAACUUUUCUCUGUAGCCAUGUUGUCUCUUUUUUCUUUUGCAUGAUUUUCUCACCUUAACAGAAUCAUAGACUUGUUUAAUCUCUAAAUGGGAUUAAUUUCAUCCAGCUUUAAGCUACUAUAUUAUAUCUAGGUGGAGGACUUUUAAGAGUGCAACCGACAUAGAGCACAUGCAAGUGGGUAUAUGGGACAUGAAAUUUCUUCUUAUAAAGAUUGCAUGAUUUUUAUAUUAGAGUUGUUGGGGCGCAAUGUAUGUAGCUUGUUUUGCAGUUAAAUUAAUUGGAUAAGUAGACAUUGGCGUUUCUAAAUCUACUGUGAAGUGCUUCAUGUACGUGUGAAGUAUUAGAAAUUUCUUUCUUGGCAACUUGUUUUUUCUUUGCGGUCUACUGAUAGGUUUGACUAAAAUUAUAUUCCCUGUCAUGCUAAUUAAUUUUCACGUGCAUGCUCAAAAGAAGAGUAUGACCUUAGUGCACCAAAAUCACUUUGAUUAAUUUGUGAUAGGUUUUUGUGCAUCAUGACAUUAGCCUUAUUCAUUUAGAUAAUGUUUAGUUUUUAGAAAGUAUUAAGAAAAGGAAAAUAAAUAUUAAGAAAAAUAUUCUUAUAUUUGAUUGUAUUAUGAAAAAUGUCAUAAAAAAAUCAAAUAUAAUUUAAAUUAAUUAAUAAUUUAUACAUUUUCAAAUUAUUUAAUCUUUAUAUUGAAGAUAUAAUAUAAAUGAAAUGAGUUUUAAGUAUUAUAUAAAAGUGAUUUAUUGAUCUUGCAUAUAUGUAUUUCUUUUUUUUUUCUUCUAUUUUUUUUCUUUAUUUUAUUUUCCUUAUGUUUUCCUCAACAUUUUCCGGAACCAAACAUAGCCUUAGGAAAUCCACAAUUACCUUCAACUGAGUAUAUUCGGUUGUUUUAGCAAUGUUAGGCUGCUAACUUGUGUUGGUACGAACCUGUUAAGCCUAAAGAUGUAAUUAGUUAGGAUAUUCUUUUCCCUCUAGUCUUGUAGCUCCACGUGUAUAGUUGGUUAGGACCUCAUUGUAUAUAAUGCCUGCCCUGUUAUUGUUGAAGACAACAGAGAUAAAUAAUAUUAACAUUUUUCCUCUCAUCUCUCUUUGUUUCCCUCUGUUUUCAUCUCCUCUCUCAUCUUGGUAUCAGAGCCUCCAUGGAUUCUUUCAAAGAAACCUCCGAAUCACCUUCUGCUAGCAUUGUUAAUGUGCAAAACCCAUUAUCUCAGUCAAACAACCUUCCUUCACCAGCAGCCACACCCUCUUUUUCUUUCUUGUCUAUGAAUCAACCUCUCACAGUGAAGCUGGAUAAUGGAAACUACCUCAUCUGGAAGAAUUAGCUUCUGAAUGUCAUCAUUGCGAACAGACUCGAUGAUUUCAUUUAUGGAACUCGACCCUGCCCUCCUUGAUUUCUCAAUCUGCAACAACAAACCCUCACUCCAGAGUACUCGGUCUAGCAGAGAUACAAUCGACUUCUAAUGAGUUGGCUGUACGCAUCCUUGUCCGAAGAUAUAAUGACUCAGAUUGUUGGGUAUUCAACAACUGUGGAGAUUUGGAACGUCCUUAAUCAGAUUUACUCUGCCUCUUCAAUGGCGUGGGUUACCGAGCUUCACACCAAGCUUCAAACGCUCAAGAAAGAUGGACUCUCAGUUGGUGAAUAUAUUCAAAGGCUCAAAUCCAUUUGCAAUAGUCUUGCAGCAAUAGGAGAACUAGUUUCUGAGAAAGACCAGCUUAUCUAUUUGUUCAAUGGAUUAUAUUGUGAGUAUAAUUCUUUUGUUACCUCCAUUCAAAAUCGAUCUGACCAACCAACUAUUGAGCAAAUCCAUAGCCUAUUGCUUAGCUAUGACUUUCGGCUUGAACAACAAAACUCUGUUUCUCUCCAUUAUGCCCAAGUCCGUAUGGCUCAUCUGAACAAGAAACCUUAUAAAUCAACUCCUCAACCUACAUUCAAUCAUAUUCACAUUCAACCUAGAUACUCUUCUCCACCUUUUAAGCCAACCACUAGUCAAUAUCAACCCAGGAUUUUGGGCAAACCACAACCACAACCAUGACAGCCUCAACCUCAAUGGAAACCACAUUUUUCAAUCCAGAAUCAAAAGCCUCAGUGCCAAAUUUGUGGUAAAUUUGGACACACUGCUCUUAUUUGCUUCCAUUGCACAAAUUUGAACUAUUCACCCCAACCUUCUCCUAAAUCUUUCAAUACUGUUCUCACCACAAAUUCCCAGCUCCCUAAUCCUCCAAAAUUUUCUUACCCUACAAUGGCUCAUCCUGCUGCUACGCAUAACACGAUUCCUGAUACAAAUUGGUACAUGGACUCAGGUGCUACACAUCACUUUACUCCGGACAUCAACAUGCUUGACACUGUGACACCAUUUAGUGGUUUAGAACAGGUGACAGUUGGGAAUGGUAAGCAACUCUGUAUCUCACAUCUUGGUACUGCAAAACUACCAUCCUCGUAUUCUCCUCUUGUUCUACAUCAGGUAUAUCACACUCCAAAAAUUUCAAAUAAUCUUAUUAGUGUUAGAAAAUUGUGUUCUGAUAAUAAAGUUUUUGUUGAAUUUUAUGCCACUCAUUUUCUUAUCAAAGAUCAAGUUUCGAAGAGAGUUCUCUUUCAAGGUCAACUUGAUAAUGGCUUAUACAAAGUUCAGUCGUCAUGCUCUCCUUCUACUAUUUCCUUUCAUCCUCAAGUUUUCAUAGCCAACAUCAAGGAUCAAAAUUUGUGGCACAAGAGACUAGGCCACCCAGCUUUAUCUGUUAUUAAUCAAAUCUUGGAUUCUUGUAACAUUGCUCGAACACAGAAAAUUGGUUUUAAUUUUUGUAGUUCUUGUCAAUUAGCAAAAAGCCACAGGCUUCCUUUUUCUCUGUCUCCAUCCAUUGCAGAAAAACCUUUUGAGUUAAUUCAUACAGACCUAUGGGGUCUUUCUCCUGUUCGCUCUAUUUCUGGUGCUCGUUAUUUUUUACUUUUCAUUGAUGAUCAUACUCGUUUUACUUGGUUUUAUUUGCUCAAAACAAAAGAUGAAGCAUAUCCUACUUUUCUCAAGUUUCAAGCUCUCAUUGAAAAUCAAUUUAAUACCAAGAUUAAGGUUGUCCAAUCUGAUUGGGGAGGUGAGUUUCGAUCUCUCUCCAUACUGUUUUCAAAUAUGGGCAUUGUCUAUCGUUUAUCAUGUCCAUACACCUCACAACAGAAUGAGUGGGUUGAGCGAAAAAAUCACCAUGCGGUUGAAAUGGGAUUGUCCUUUCUUGCUCGCUCGGGUAUGCCCUUAUCUUAUUGGCCUUAUGCCUUUCAAACUGCCACUUACCUUAUUAAUCGUCUCUCUACCCCUGUGCUGCACCAUCAAUCCCCUUACUUCGCACUCUAUCACAAAUUCCCAGCUUAUACUCAUCUUAAGGUCUUUGUUCCUCUUGUUUUCCAUAUUUACGCCCUUAUAAUACCCAUAAACUCCAAUACAGGUCACUGGAGUGUGCUUUUCUUGGUUGCAGUUCACACCACAAAGGUUAUCUAUGUCUUGACAUUCAUUCUAGCAGGGUGUAUAUUUCUCGCCAUGUGAUUUUUAAUGAAGAUUCUUUUACAUUCAAGAAUUUGAAAUCUUCUCUCUCUUAGUCUAUUUCUUCUUCCUCUUCUUUAUUAGUUCCUCUGUUCAUUUCCUUGCCUCCCCUCUCCCCAUAUCCUCCUAUUUCUCCAUCUAUAUCUCAUUCUUUUCUCUCUUCUUCUUCUACCUCUAGUACUUGUUCCCCUCUCGUUGCUCCUACCUCUCUUCCUCCCUCUUCACACUUUGUGUCCCAUCUAUUCCACCUCCUUCUCCACCUUCUUCGAGUGUGGACCUGCUUGUACCUUGUGUGAAUACAAAUUUACUUACUUUUUCUCGCACUCACAAUAUUCAUCCUAUGGUGACCAGAUCUAAGGGUUUGUAUCUAUAAACCUAAGUUGCUAUUGAGUGUCUCCAUAGGUUCUCUCACUAAGCCUACUUCCUUUCUUCAAGCUAUUAAAGAUCCUUCAUGGAAGCAAGCCAUGGAAUUGGAGUUUGCUGCCCUUCAACACAACAAGACCUGGCAUCUAGUUCAUUCACCUUCCUCAGGCAAAGUAAUUGGUUGUAAAUGGGUCUAUAAGAUAAAGCUUUAGCCUGAUGGCUAAUUGAGAGAUACAAGGCCCGCUUAGUAGCUUAGGGUUAUCAUCAAACUGAAGGUAUUGACUACUUCGAAACAUUCAGCCUGGUUGUCAAGCCUUCUACUACCGUAUUGUGCUCAGUCUUACUUUUUCCCAGAAUUGGUGUAUUAGACAGCUGGAUGUUCAUAAUGCCUUCUUACAUGGUGACUUAGCUGAAGACGUUUUCAUGGAACAACCACCUGGAUUUGUUGAUCCUCUCUAUCCUACUCAUGUCUGCAAGUUGGAUAAGUCUCUCUACGGUCUUAAUAGUCACCUCGGGCUUGGUAUACUAAGCUGAGUACUUCUCUACUACACUUGGGAUUUGUUACUUCUAAGAAUGACUCUUCCUUAUUUAUUUGUCAUUCGUCUCAUGGGUUACUUCUUGUUCUUGUCUAUGUGGAUGAUAUAAUCGUCACUGGGAGCCACUCUCCUCAAGUUACUCACCUUAUCCAAUAGUUGCAUCAUCAGUUUUCUUUAAAGGAUCUUGGUCAUUUACACUAUUUUCUGGGCUUGGAGGUUCAUCACACCCCUACUGGUAUUCACCUCAGCCAAGCAAAGUAUAUCACUGAUCUCCUUACCCGGGCGGCUAUGUUGGAUGCCAAGCCAUGUCCCACUCCUAUGUCCUCCAACACAUAUCUUUCUCUUCAUGAUGGAGUGGCUCUUGAAAAUGGUUCAGAUUAUUGAAGUUUUGUUGGUGCCCUUUAGUAUUGUACCAUGACACGCCCAGAUAUAGCUUUUGCAGUAAAUAAAGUGUGUCAAUUCAUGCACCAUCCCUCUGAUGUUCACUGGCAGGCUAUAAAACGUAUUCUCCAGUACUUAAAGGGCACAUCUCAUUUUGGUCUCUUCCUACAGCCUUCCUAUGACUUCAACAUCACUUGCUAUACAGAUGCCGACUGGGCUUCCUGCCUUGAUGACAAGUGUAGCACCAGUGGCUACUGCCUCUUUCUUGCCUCUAAUCUGGUUUCUUGGUCAUCUUCCAAACAAAAAGUGGUCUCCCGCUCCAGCGCCAAAUCAGAGUACCGAGGGGUAGCAAAUGGGGCUGCUGAAAUUGCUUGGACUGAAUCUCUUCUUUGUGAACUUUCCACCCACUCGACCUCCCCUCAUUGUCUGUGACAAUAUCAGUGCCACAUACUUAGCUGUCAAUCCUAUUUUGCAUGCCCGCACCAAAACAUGUGGAAAUCGACUAUCACUUUGUCUCGGAACGUGUUCUUCAACGCUCUCUCUCUCUCCAGUUUACACCUUCGGAUGAUCAACUUGCUGAUUGCAUGACCAAGCCUCUCUCCACCCAACGUUUCAUCACUCUACGCUCCAAGCUCACUGUUCUCACUAGACCAAUGAGCUUGAGGGGGGAUGUUAAGCCUAAAGAUGUAAUUAGUUAGGAUAUUCUUUUCCCUCUAGUCUUGUAGCUCCACGUGUACAGUUGGUUAGGACCUCAUUGUAUAUAAUGCCUGCCCUGUUAUUGUAGAAGACAACAGAGAUAAAUAAUAUUAACAUUUUUCCUCUCAUCUCUCUCUCUGUUUCCCUCUGUUUUCAUCUCCUCUCUCAUCUGAACCAAAUGAUCCAUGUUAACCUUGGCUUGGUUUGAUUUGGCUCUAUCUUAGAGAGCUCAAGGAUCACGUCAACUCUGGUUUCUACUAUUCAGGUCCAUUCCCAUAUGAACUGGUUCAAAUUUGAGAAAAUGGUAACAGACCUUUAGUGAUGUUGGUUUGGAGCCAGUUGCCAAACCCGCCCUGAGCUUUACCACUAAUGUCAAGGGAGAAAGCCUUUUGAACAAAAACAAUAGCUUCAAGAGACUGAAUCGUGGAUGAAAUCUGAUCCACAUUUCUUCUCAUUUUGGAAACAAAUGAGAACUUAACUAAGAAGAUUCUACGGCCUCAUAGUGCUUUUCCUGAUCUAAGGUUGGUUCGUUUCCCAAAUUGUGAGAUGCACGGGCCAGACUUCAGAACUCUCACGCUCAGGAGUGUAUCCACGUGGUGGACAUAAGAUGGUGGCUUAAGAUCUGGUGUCGGUGGCUUUACUUUACUAGGAGAGUAGUGUGUCUUCAUCUCAUUCACUGCCGGAGGGUGGCGUAAGCAGUGACGCUAAGGUGGGGCAUAGUCAAUAUCAUUUGCAUUUGACCAUUAUAGUUUUCUCCCGGCUUGAAAGUAACCUUAUCGUGAUAAAGGAUUACUAGCACUAGUUCAGAUGACAGUCAUGUUAAAUUCGGACCAUGUUUGUGUCACAUUAUCAGCAACCAUGUGUUUAUGGUUCAUGCUUUCUGCAACUGAAAUUGAAAUUGAUAUAUAACCAGGUGAACUUCAAUCUAAAUUCUGGAAGUACUCAUGUGAGCGAUGGUGCCCAUCUGCAGAGUCCAUCAAUUGAAAAAUGGAGUGAGUGUAUCUAUAAGAGGGAAGGCUUGGCAAAUGUCCAGUUUUCUGGGAAUUCAACAAGGAUCUAAAAUAGAUUGUUUUCUUUGCUGAUUUCAAUGGUUGAAAUUUGAGAAGAUUGUGUCCCACAUAACACAACUAUUACUGGUCCUUCUGUUGCAAUUUAUCCUCUAAGGCUCUAGCAUGUCUUCCAAUUCCCACUUCCCUGUUACUCCAGGAAAGCUAUUUCUGUCAUUGUGAAGAAGAAAAGAGAAUGUAGAUAUCGAUGCUUUUAAGUGACUGGAGCAUUCAUAUCAGGUGGUCUGCAGCCAUAUAUGCCACUUUGUGAAGAUUGGAACAGUCAAUCACUAGGCUAUAUAUUAGUGUGGCCCAGCCACUUUAAUCAAGGACAAUUCUUCAUACUUAAAAGUCAAAUUCUGCCUUUAGUCUCAUUAUAAAUUGCUGUUUAAAUAUUAAGCAAACAUUUGUUUAAUGCGAUUAAGACAGUACUAACUCAAUACUUGUUCUAUUUUUGGAUGGAAAUGCUUGAUGGUUUCAUCAUUGGAUGGGAUAAAGGUGCAUUCAUGAUUAUGAAUACUUGUAGUUAUAUUUUCAUUCUCUUUUUUCUCAAUGAGACUUGUUGGCACAAUUUUUCUGUUCAGAAACCUACCUCUCCAUGGAAAAUAAGUUGUGAUUGAUAGUACUGGAUAUAUUCAAGAAAGCUAAAUAUAGAUAGCACAAAAUAUUAUCGACAUAAAUAGCAUUAACAGCGUACGUAUGUCUCAGUGCUCAUCAGCCAUAAGCAUGGGGCAAACACUUACGAUGAGCAACUUACGUCAAAAUUCCAGAAUAGGACAUAGAAGUGACAGAUCUAUAUAUAUAGAACACUGCAUAAGAGUCACAAGAAAGGAAAUUACGGGUGCAUAGCAGCUCUUAUUUCACAUACUACUCAUACUGAUCAAAGUCACUCAGUUGGGAUGGGUGGGAGUAGGAGGUUUGUGGGGUGGCUUGUGCGGAGGAGUUGGCAGCUUCUUUCCAGGACCUGGUGGCUUCUCUCCCUUAGGUGGUUUGCCAACUGGGGUUGGUGGCUUGUAUGAGUCUUCAGCAUUCUCUGCAGGAGGGUGACCAGGGUUGUGACCAUAAUGUGGUGGCUUCUCUCCCUUAGGUGGUUUGCCAACUGGGGUUGGUGGCUUGUGUUCUGGGAGUGGCUUCUCCCCCUUGGGAGGUUUUUCCAAUGGGGUUGGUUUGUGUUCAGGAGGUGGCUUCUCCACUGGAGGCUUGUGUUCAGGAGGUGGCUUCUCCACCGGAGGCUUGUGUUCAGGAGGUGGCUUCUCCACCGGAGGCUUAUGCUCUGGUGGUGGCUUCUCCACCGGAGGCUUAUGCUCUGGUGGUGGCUUCUCGAAUGGGGGAUGCUUAGGGUAAUCAGCAAGUGAGGGGGCGGUGAGAACCACCAGGCCAAGCAAGACCACUAGCAAGUAUGUAGGAGACAUCUUUGGGUUUAGACUCAGAUGGUGCAAAACUAGGAGAAUUGUCUUUUAUAGCGGAUCGCACCCAAUAAUGAAAUGACACGUGUCUUUAUGACCCAUGUGUAAUGGGGUCGAUUUGGGUCCUACAGUGUUGAAAACUUCGACAUCCACUUUUGGCCUUUUGCUUUCUCUACAGCCGCCUUGCUUUUUCCCUCUUUCCUUUUGUUUUCCUCCUGCCCCAUUCUAUCAACUAAACACAAUUAUGUAGUUGUUUAAUUCUUAAAUGAGAUAUUAUCCGUCAAUCGUAUCAUAUUUUAUCAACAGAGAACGGAGUGCAAUGUGGCAAUCCAAAGAAAGAAGAUCCAUAAUGCAGCUGUAAUUUUAUCGUUUACUUUUAUCUCUUGGACCACUGCAUUUUUGUUAAGAGGUGCAAUAAUACACGUCUUUAUCUGCCAUUCAAUGUUUACAGUAAAGAGAGGGCACAAAACUCUUCACUGCUCUGCAUGUGUCCCAAAAAUGCAAUUGGACAAAUUAUGAUUUGCAUGCUAAAAAGAGGCAAAUGAGGUUAAUUCGCACCAUAAUUAUUUUGUUUUCUGGACCCCGGGGCCCUUUGGUUGGUUUGGGGGUCAGAAAAUGAACAUCAUAGGGGGUUUUUCCCUUAUGUGCAUUUGUAUCUGAUGGCUUUAACUCGCCUUGUUACUACAAAGAAAUUGUCACAUAUAGGAACUUAUUCCAGGCUGAGUAUCUCCGCAUAGACCCUAUAAAAGAAGACAAGUCAUAAUGAACAUCUAACCUUUGUUCAAUUUGAUUCAAUGCCCCAUUGUGUCCACCUCACAAAUCUGAAUUAUUAUAUCCAUUGAAUACAUAAAUUAAUGAAGAAAAUAUGAAACCCAAGAUACAUCUCUGCACAACCUCAACCCUGGUUGCUAUGUUUCCCUUCUAUUCACAUGAGGAUAUUGAUUACGGAAUAGGGAAACCUAGCAAGGGUUUACUCGGCUCUGGUUUGAUGCUAAUUGCCAAACUUGCAACAAGCCCUGAGUUUGAAGCUCACAGAAGAUGUUAUACAGGCAGGGAAAAACCUUCAGAGUUCGCUGCCAAAGAUAAUUAUUAAGGAGAUAUCACCAAGAGAAUUCCAAGGAGUCUGAAUCAAAGACAAAUUGGUCGUUCGUGGAGGUUCUUACUUUCUUUUGGGUAUAACUCACUGAGGGCACUGUCUUUUUUAUUUUCAUUUCACAUUUAGAGUUCUGUUCUGGAAACAUAUAAAAGGAGCAUCAGUUUGUUCUUGGGUAACCCAUAGUCGUGAGUGGGUCCAUUUGCAUGCUACUUAGUUGAAAAGUUGGACCAUUUGCUCCGACGCCUACCUCCUGGAUUCCAUGCUCGGAUAAAACAAGAAUAAAAAAAUAUUUAUAAUUUACAAAUGGGGGAAAGAAAAAAAUGUCAACAACAAACUAGGAAAAAAGAGUAGUAAAAUUCAUGUCACAUGCUAGUGAGAGAAGGGGUUGUUACACUCACUCGAAGUUCUUUUCAAAAUAUCGCAUGGUAUUUUAUUUUAUGUGUGAGCGCAGUUGUGAAUGGAACGUGCAAAAGUCCAAAUUGGUGACCUUUAAUAAAUAUUUAAAACAAAAAACGAAAAAAAGGAGGGAAAAGGGAUCAGAAAAGAUAAAACAAUGUGUACAAAAGCUCAAUUAGUUUGCAAAUUACUGUUUGGAUUUUGAUAGUAUUUUAUUUGAUGUAAAAGAGAAUUUAAGAUAUUUCCGAAACAAAAGCAUUAGUUUGCUCCAUGUCAAUUUCGGCAUUUCUCAUAUGUUUCACACAUACACAGAAGAGCAUCGUUUUUUAAAGCAUGCAUUUAUGUUGGAUUAAUUUGGAUUUUGUGGGAACUGGGGCAAGGAUCACAUGGAAGAGAGGUUGACUUUUUUCAGUACUUCAAUGGUUGAGACAGGUGAAGGCCUGAUUGAUACUGAAGCCUGAAAUUGCGACUCCGUCAUUUGUCAAAACAUAUGACAGCUUCCAUGCUCUCGUUUGGUUGCAUUGUUCUGUGGUCAUGCAUACAUGCCACUUAGUGAUCAGUCUGUAACUGUCAAUCAUUGGGCUUUGACUGAACAACAUCAGCCAUGUAUAAAUACUUGCAAAUCAAACGGUCUUCUUCCUCCCAUAAGGAAUUUCGGUUUAAUUAUGAAGCAUGCAUUUGGCUGACCAUCAUAAACCACUUCUUUAAAUUGAUGAAUGAUAGUUUUUCAUUCAUUCUUUCAUUCGUUCAUAUACAGAGUAUAUAUAGAGGGUAAUCAUCAUUCUAAGAAUGGGAAAGAAUGAUACAAGGAAAUAAUGAUAUAAAGAAAUAACAACUAAUAUUCUAAUAUCUCAACUUUCCUAAUAUCUAAACAUUCCUAAUAUCUCAACACUAAAUGAUAUAAAGAAAGAAUGAUAUAAGGAAAGCAUUCCUAAUAUCUCAACACUCCUCCUCAAGUUGGUGCAUAGAUGUCAAACAUGUCCAACUUGUCUAAAAAUUUUGAGAACAGUUGACUUGAGACAUCUUUGGUGAGGAUAUCGGUCAAUUGAUCUUCUGAUCGAAUCUUAGGCAAUUCCACAAUCUUAUCAUCCAACUUUUCCUUAAUGAAAAAUCUAUCCAUCUCGACAUGCUUUGUACGAUCAUGUUGUACUAGAUUAUGAGCAAUGUCACAUGCUGCUUUAUUGUCACAAAACAAUCGGAUUGGUUGCCUAGAUAGGUAACCUAAAUCCUAUAAGAGGAGUCUUAGCCAUAAUGCCUCACAAAGUCCUAAAGUCAUACCUCUAAAUUCCGCUUCUGCACUUGAACGAGCGACGACAUUUUGCUUCUUACUUUUCCAUGUCACAAGAUUACCACCUACAAAGGUAAAGUAACCAGAUGUAGAUCGCCUAUCAUCCACUGCACCGACCCAAACAGCAUUAUACUUCUAUACUCUGAUGAUCAACAUUUUUAGCGAACAAAAUUCCCUUCCUAGGAGCAUUCUUCAAAUACCUCAAAAUACGCAUGACUACAUUCAUAUGUUGCUCUCCAGGAUUAUGCAUGUAUUGACUCACUACACUCAAUGUAUAAGCAAGAUCUAGUCUUGUAUGAGCUAAGUACAUUAAUCUCCCCACAAGUCUCUGGUAUCUUCCCUUAUCGAUUGAUACUUGAUUAGGCUCAACACACAAUUUCAGACCUUCUUCUAUUGGUGUAUUAAUAGGUUGACAUCCCGACAUUCCAGUUUCCUGUAGAAGAUCUAAGGCAUACUUUCUUUGAGACAGAAAAAUUCCUUCACUUGAUCGAGAAACUUCAAUCCCAAGAAAGUAUUUCAGACGACCAAGAUCUUUCAUUUCAAAUUCUCUAGAUAGAUACUUUUGCAAAGCUUUUCUUUCUUCAGGAUCAUUUCCUGUAACUACAUGUCAUCCACAUAUAUCAUAAGUGUCGUAAUCUUACCAUGUUGCUUUUUCAAGAACAAAGUGUGAUUUGAAUUACUUUGAUGAUAGCCAAAAGCUCUCAUUGAUUUUGUGAACCUUCCAAACCAUGCUCUCGGGGAUUGCUUCAACCCAUACAAUGACUUCUUCAAUUCGCACACCUUCUGACAUUGCUUUUCUGACACCAUGCAUCCUGGUGGAAGAUCCAUAUAUACUUCUUCAGAUAAAUCGCCAUGCAGAAAGACAUUUUUUACAUCGAACUAUUGUAAUGGCCAAUCUAGGUUUGCAGCUAAAGACAAUAAUACUCGAACUGUGUUGAUCUUAGCUACAGGUGCAAAUGUCUCUGUGUAGUCAAUUCCAUAAGUUUGAAUGUACCCACUAGUCUUGCUUUAAAUCGUUCAAUACUACCAUCUGCCUUGUACUUCACAGUAUAGAUCCAACGACACCCAACUAGCUUCUUUCCUGGUGGACAUUCUACGAGUUCCCAUGUUUCAUUUUUCUGCAAUGAUUUCAUCUCUUCAUUCAUGGUUGCUUUCCACUUUGGAUCAGCUAAAGCUUCCUGCACACUAUUAGGAAUAGCUACAGUAGAUAAUUGAUUUACAAAUGACUUAUUUGAUUCAGACAAACCAUGGUGUGGACCCGCAUUUUUCACGUGCGCCUCUACUCGAUCGGCGAGACUCGCUUUCUAUUUGUGAAAAAUUAAUUUUAGAAAAGUUGGAGUCGCCACCUAUUUUAUUUUUAUUUUGAAGGGAAAAUAAAACAAGAAAGAAAAACCCUAAAAAGUGACUCCAUAGUUUUGGAAAAAGCAUGUCUUUGGGAAACCUGAGUCUAGGUCCGGGGAUCAUGUUACUUAUUGGGAAGGUACCUCUAGGAGGUAGCACCCCUCUAAGCCUUAUGAAGGUCUCUACUAACUAAAUUAAGGGAAGUGUGGCAAUAAAUCGAUUGAUCAUAGAUACCUAAGUAGACUAGGUGAUUUUAAAGUGUGGCAUGUCAAACACAAUCAAAUUGCAAUAAAGGAGAGUUAGGGCGCGUACCUGAACCGCUUCUCAAGCGCUAUCAUAAAACAUCAAUGGUUAAUUUAAAUAAUAUAUCAUCCAGCAUGUAUUUUAUUAGAAAUAAUCAAACAAUGAAACAUGUAUAUCAGAACACUCAAGCAUUAUUAGACAUAAGCAUUAUUUCACUAUUCACAGAAUUCAGAAAGUAGGUGAUAGAGGACAUACCUGGAUAGCAUAGAUAAUUUGUAAUGUGCUUCCUCAAGUUGUAAGGGGUUAGAUAACAAAUAAUAAAAUAUAGAAAUCCUAGCAUGCUCGUUAUCUAAUUAGCAUAGCAAAAGUGAUCACAGUAUACAGAAUCAUCAAUUAUCACAUACAUCUUGUAUAUAAUUCCUAAAAAAAAUAGAUAGACAUGAUUUCAACAAGUGUCAAAUGUGGCAACAAAAAUAAAUUUUGAAAAGAUUUUCUUAUGUAGGGGUUUCACCAAUUCCCCAAAUUAAUAUACACGAAUUUAGCUUAGAAUUAUCCCAUUUAUUUGGGACUACAAGCUUUGAUUCGUGUUUUUGUUCAAAACCAAAAAUUUUUGUUGAAAAUCAAGAAGGAUGCGAACCGAACAAGAUAUGGUUGCAUAUUAUUUUUAAAUAAAUAAAUAAAUAAAUAAAGGAGAUUUUGAUCCUGAGGACUUUAAUGAGUUUUUUUUUUUAAAAUAGAUUUUUAAAAUGAUUUUUUUGAGAAAAGUAUUUUAUUUUAAAAUAAAAGGGAUUAAUUUGGGAAAAAAAUAAAAUAUAAGAAAUAAAAUACCAAACAAAACAAAAAUGAAACCUCAAAGUAAAAUUUUUUUAGUAAUUAACAAAAAUGAUAAUGGUGAUGGUAGAGGGCAAUCUUCAUGAUUUUCCAAUGGCCUCAGAAAGAAAAUCAAAUUAAAUGAAGGAUCACUAACAGGCAAGACAUUCUAAAUUAGACAAACUAACAAAGUAUCAAUUCAUGAACUAACCGCUAGGAUUUUGAAAGCAUAUAAGCUAAGAUAAGGGUGAUCAGGAACUAAUAUUAAUGAUUUUGAAAUAAAAACUAAAAAAAAGGAUCAAUUCGGGUAAGGAACUAAAAUUAUAAAAGUACCUAAACUAAUUAUGACGAGUUUGACUAAAUUAAACUAAAAACAUGAACUUUCAAACAUAGAAUUAAUUUUACUAAUGAACCAAAGCAAACUAAAAAUAUGUACUUUCAAGCAUAGAAUUAAUUUUAUUGAUGAACUAAACUAUAACAAAUAUCUAAACUAAAUAUAAUGAAUCAAAUUAAAUUAAAGCAACUUAAAAACGCAAACUUUCAAACAUAGAAUCAAUUUUAUCAAUGAAUUAAAACUAUAAAUGUAUUUGAACUAAAUAGAUGAAUCAAACUAAAUCAGAGCAAAAUUAAAAAAAAAAAAGAACUUUCUAACAUGAAAUCAAUUUUAUCAACAAAUAAAUGAAUGAAUAACAAGUAAUUAAAAGAAUAGCUACUACAUGAAUAACUGAAUGAAUAAAAUUCAAAUGUUUUCAAUCUGAAGCAAUCAAUCAAAAUUAAAUAGGGAUCAAAUCAAAAUAAUCGAAAUCGGAAAAACAAUAUGCAAUCUUUCUAAAGGUUUAACCAGACAAUUGAAUUAAAAUUAUGAAUAGAAUAAAUUAAUAAACCAAAUCGAAACCUAAAUUGUACCUAAAAAGAUUAAUUAAUUAAACUAAGAAAUCAAAAUCAAUAACAAAACUAAACUAAGGAGUAAAUUAAGACAAGACUAAUUAAAUUAAACUCACAAACACGUUUUAACUAUCAUAUGGAUUAAAACAAAAUUAGCAUGGACUUAUGAAUUACGAACAAAAAUAAUCAAAACUAUUUUAAAAAACUCACCUCUAUUAUAAGAAAAAAUCUGCCUUUGAUGCGUUGAGGUGGCUCCCCUCUCUGUGUGGAUCUCUCUGCUCCCCAGAAAAAAAAUGUCUCUUCCUCCGUUCUCUUUUGUUUCAGCAAAAUAAUAUAUCCCCUGCUGUGGAUCUCUCUACUCCCAGAAAAUAAUAUAUUCUCUCCGUGUCCUAAAGUGGACCUAGGGUGCCUAAGUGGACCUAGGGUGCCUAAAUGGGCCUAGGGUGCCUAAAUGGGCCAAGUGUAUCUAAAUAGGCUUAGGGUGCCUAAGUGGGCCUAAGUCUAAGUGAGCCUAAGUCUAAAUCAAGACUACCAAGGAUCAUAAUAAGGGGUUAGGCAAUCCCUUAACCAAAGUCUCCAAGGUGGCUAAAAAAAAGUAAGUAGUAUGAGUAGCUAUGGGUCACCAAGGAACUACUGUGGAGCAUUGAAAACGAAUUUAAAGACAUGUGCCAAAGGGACAAAAUUGAGGGUCUACAGAUGGUUAGACACAUAGUUGCUCAUGGGAUAUUUGACUUUGGUAAACAAUUCAGAUUCAUAUGUGGGUUUAGGAAUACCUUUAUUAUGACGGUGUGGUAAUCGUUUCAUGAAUGGAUCAGGUUGCAAAUUAAGAACACCCUCAGCAAACAACGAUUGGUUUGGUAUUUCAGUGAAGACAUCUUCGAACCCAAAUUGUUGACCACUCAUAUCCAACUCACCCGCUUCCUGGUUCACUAGUUCAGAUUGUCCAAAUUCAUCAUUCUCAUAGAUAUGAUAAUCAUAAUCGAGAGUCUGAAUUUCCUUAUGGUACUCCCCCUGAAGUUCAGACUUAGAUGAAAAAUACAUCGAAUAUUCAUGAAACAGCNNNNNNNNNNNNNNNNNNNNNNNNNNNNNNNNNNNNNNNNNNNNNNNNNNNNNNNNNNNNNNNNNNNNNNNNNNNNNNNNNNNNNNNNNNNNNNNNNNNNNNNNNNNNNNNNNNNNNNNNNNNNNNNNNNNNNNNNNNNNNNNNNNNNNNNNNNNNNNNNNNNNNNNNNNNNNNNNNNNNNNNNNNNNNNNNNNNNNNNNNNNNNNNNNNNNNNNNNNNNNNNNNNNNNNNNNNNNNNNNNNNNNNNNNNNNNNNNNNNNNNNNNNNNNNNNNNNNNNNNNNNNNNNNNNNNNNNNNNNNNNNNNNNNNNNNNNNNNNNNNNNNNNNNNNNNNNNNNNNNNNNNNNNNNNNNNNNNNNNNNNNNNNNNNNNNNNNNNNNNNNNNNNNNNNNNNNNNNNNNNNNNNNNNNNNNNNNNNNNNNNNNNNNNNNNNNNNNNNNNNNNNNNNNNNNNNNNNNNNNNNNNNNNNNNNNNNNNNNNNNNNNNNNNNNNNNNNNNNNNNNNNNNNNNNNNNNNNNNNNNNNNNNNNNNNNNNNNNNNNNNNNNNNNNNNNNNNNNNNNNNNNNNNNNNNNNNNNNNNNNNNNNNNNNNNNNNNNNNNNNNNNNNNNNNNNNNNNNNNNNNNNNNNNNNNNNNNNNNNNNNNNNNNNNNNNNNNNNNNNNNNNNNNNNNNNNNNNNNNNNNNNNNNNNNNNNNNNNNNNNNNNNNNNNNNNNNNNNNNNNNNNNNNNNNNNNNNNNNNNNNNNNNNNNNNNNNNNNNNNNNNNNNNNNNNNNNNNNNNNNNNNNNNNNNNNNNNNNNNNNNNNNNNNNNNNNNNNNNNNNNNNNNNNNNNNNNNNNNNNNNNNNNNNNNNNNNNNNNNNNNNNNNNNNNNNNNNNNNNNNNNNNNNNNNNNNNNNNNNNNNNNNNNNNNNNNNNNNNNNNNNNNNNNNNNNNNNNNNNNNNNNNNNNNNNNNNNNNNNNNNNNNNNNNNNNNNNNNNNNNNNNNNNNNNNNNNNNNNNNNNNNNNNNNNNNNNNNNNNNNNNNNNNNNNNNNNNNNNNNNNNNNNNNNNNNNNNNNNNNNNNNNNNNNNNNNNNNNNNNNNNNNNNNNNNNNNNNNNNNNNNNNNNNNNNNNNNNNNNNNNNNNNNNNNNNNNNNNNNNNNNNNNNNNNNNNNNNNNNNNNNNNNNNNNNNNNNNNNNNNNNNNNNNNNNNNNNNNNNNNNNNNNNNNNNNNNNNNNNNNNNNNNNNNNNNNNNNNNNNNNNNNNNNNNNNNNNNNNNNNNNNNNNNNNNNNNNNNNNNNNNNNNNNNNNNNNNNNNNNNNNNNNNNNNNNNNNNNNNNNNNNNNNNNNNNNNNNNNNNNNNNNNNNNNNNNNNNNNNNNNNNNNNNNNNNNNNNNNNNNNNNNNNNNNNNNNNNNNNNNNNNNNNNNNNNNNNNNNNNNNNNNNNNNNNNNNNNNNNNNNNNNNNNNNNNNNNNNNNNNNNNNNNNNNNNNNNNNNNNNNNNNNNNNNNNNNNNNNNNNNNNNNNNNNNNNNNNNAACCAAAGGAAGCAUGUUCCAGACGUCGAUGCCACAACCAAAUUUCAGACUUUUUCUUCUCCUCCUUAGAUCCAUCUGCCAUCAAGGCUUGUUGCAACUUAUUUGAAUCCUUUGAUUGCAAGUCCAAGUAUAGAGUUUCCCCCGCUUAAUACGACAACCAAUCGUCUGUCUUGUUUGAAUGUCCUUAAUCACACAAAAUUCAGGCCAAAAAAUGACAAUACAAGAUAAGGCUGCAGUGAUUUGAGAAACUAACAAAAGAUUGUAAUCUAAAGAUGGAACAACUAAAACAGAAUCCAAAUUCAAAGUAUCAGUAAGAGUUAAGGAUCCUUCCCCAAUGACUGGGGUUGUGUUACCAUUGGCUGUGGAAACAAUUUUUUGUGAGGAAGGUCUAAGGGGUGAAACCUGUCUAGAAUCAAAAGUCAUAUGAUCUGUAGCACCAGAAUCAAUUAUCCAUGCACUAUUAAUAACAGGUGUAAAAGUAUUUAAAAACUUACCACAAUGAUCUGUAGCGGCUACUAAUGCAGAGACUUUCUCAACAACAUUAGUCUUUGUUUUUAUUUCGGUAACAGUUGCAAUCAAGGUUUUCUUGGAAUUCUUCUUCCGUUGAUCACGAUUAUUAUCAUUAAUAACAAAGUGUUGAUAGCCUAAACAUGAUCUAAAGGUCCAUGGUGCAAACCCUCGGUUCCUCAUUGUUUUCCUGGUCAUACCAAGAGUUGUUGCUUUGAAAUUGUGGGAUAUCCAGACUGGUGGGAUCAGUUUUAUUGCAGUGAGUGCAUUUGAAUGUUGACUUAUCAAUAUUAGGGCUUGUCUUCGGAUGGUUGAUUGCUGUUGGACUACCAUAGCGACAAAAUAUCCAGGAUUUCAAUUCCAGGGCUCUGAUACCAUCUUCAAAUUGAUGAAUGAUAGUUUUUCAUUCAUUCUUUCAUGUACAGAGUAUAUAUAGAGGGUAAUCACCAUUCUAAGAAUGGGAAAGAAUGAUACGAGGAAAUAAUGAUAUAAGGAAAUAAUAACUAAUAUCCUAAUAUCUCAACUUUCCUAAUAUCUCAAUAUUCCUAAUAUCUCAACUUUCCUAAUAUCUAAACAUUCAUAAUAUCUCAACACUAAAUGAUACAAGGAAAGAAUGAUAUAAGGAAAACAUUCCUAAUAUCUCAACACCACUUCAUGAUAUAUAUAGUUUCUUACCCUUAAUCAAUGGUUUCUAAGUGAAUUUAUAUAGAAAGAAAUCCAAACUGUAGACAGCAGUAUUGGUAACACUCAAUAUUCUGUAUAUAAUAGAAUAAAUAGCGUCACAGUGAUCGUCGCCUACAAGCAAGGUACAAAUACCACAAAGAGUGACCCACAUAGACAUUCCCCAACAAGAUGUAGUAGUGACUGACACAUAGCCACAAUUAACACGUAGAAAAGGAUAAGACCGGUGCACAGUAGCUCUUAUUUUACAUACUACUUAUGCCAACCAAAGUCACUCAGUUGGGAUGGGAGGGAGAUGGAGGUUUGUGCGGUGGCUUGUGGGGCGGAGUUGAUGGCUUCUUUCCAGGAGCUUCUGGCUUUUUCAUCGGAGCUGAAGGAGGCUCAAUCUUAUGAGGCGGCUUGUACGAGUCUUCUUUGCUCUCGAAAGGAGGGUGGCCAGGGUUGUGACCAUAAUGUGGUGGUUUCUCUCCCUUGGGAGGUUUACCAAUUGGGGUUGGUGGCUUGUGUUCUGGGAGUGGUUUCUCUCCCUUGGGAGGUUUAGUGGGUGACUUGUGUUCUGGAGGUGGCUUCUCCACCGAAGGCUUGUGCUCCGGUGGUGGCUUUUUGGUUGGAGGGGGCUUGGGGUAAUCAGCAAGAGAUGGGGUGGUGAGAACCACCAGUCCAAGGAACAACACUAGCAAGUAUGUGGGAGACAUUUUUGAGUUUGGGCUGAUCAGAUGAUGCAAAACUAAAGCAUUACGUGACCUUUUAUAGCAAGUAGCUCCCAAUACCUACUUGACACGUGUUACUGUGACCCAUAAAUAUUAUGGGGUCUAUUUGUGCCCUACCGGGUUGAAAACUUGGACAAUUGGGCAAGGACCCGCCUGACUAUGGAGGACUACUGAGGUGUGAUCACAGCUUUAGGAUUUUUCUUCCUCUGCAGCCGUCUUGCCGUUGGCAUGAUUUUCUUAAUCUCAAAUAAAGGCAUAGUUAUAGAGUUGUUUAAUCUCUAAAUGGGAUUUUAUAUAUCUUCAGAUAGCCAUUAAUACAUUUGAUGAAGAAAGAAAGACAAGUGCAUACAACAUGUAUACGACUAGCUUUCAUGGAGUUCAUUUAUGAUCAGUUUUCCUGUACAUGUAAACCAAGAUCAUAUAUGUUUUUGUUCCACAACAAUUUUGGAAUCUUGUUUAUCCGUUUUUAUCAUUAUAAUGUCACAUAGGCUGCCAACUUGGGCGCUAAAUUAAAGAUCCAGUUGGGCAAGUUCGUUUCAGAAUUUCAAUGGUGGAUUCAGGAAUUGUUUUAUAAGAUAUGCAAAAUAGUAGAGGGAUGAAUAGUGUUUCAUUAAGAAAAGAGCCCUGUAAAAAUAUUGUUUAAAGGUGCCAUAGAAACUAUAAUCAAUAAAUAACUUUUUUUCCCCAUGGGUGGUGUUUCUUGUGGGGAUCAGUGACUGGUUUGAGUCAACGCCGUGUCUCUUUAGUCCAGAAAUCAACUAUUUUAUGCAUUGAAUACAUCAACAAAGAAAAUAUGAAAGCCAAAUGACACCUCCCCCGCAAAAACUAAACCCUGGUUGCUAACUUUCUAUGUUUCAGUUCCAUUCACACAAGAAUAUUAGUUCAAGUUUGAGAAAAAUGGCGACUUACCUAGUGAUAACUCGGUCUUGGUUUGCGAUUUGACUUUAACGUCAUGGGUUGAAGCCUCCUACAAUCAUCGUGUAUGCUAGUUCAAAGCUCGUGGAAGAAGUUAUACAGGGAGGGAGAAACCUCCACAGCAAGCUCCAAAAGAGAAUUAUCACAUUGAAAGCUCCAGUUGAACACUGGGUGAAAGCCAUAACAAGAUUGGUUUUCUAUCGCUCUUUUAAGUAAUGGAAGAUUAUUAUCUCUGCUUGUCACUACAACCGUGCAUGCUGCUAGAUCUUUCUAGACACUUCAAACAGUGAAACCAAGUAUGAUUCUUUUUCUCUUGAGUGGGUCCACUUGCAUGCCAAUGAACGAGUUGAAAAGUUGGACAAUUGGCCACAGCGCGCACUUACCUUCUGGAACCGAAGGUCAGUGAAGUGGGGUUCCUUUUGGCCCCUUGUGUUUCUGUUCCAACCUACUCCAGGAACCGAAGUUCAGUGAAGUGGGGCUACUUUUGGCCUCUUGUGUUUCUGUUCCAACCAAACAAAAAUGGGAGGGAAAAAUAGCAUUAUGCUUGUGCUAAAGAUCAACGCAUGAUAGCUGAAUAAGGGAGAAAAAGGCAUUGCUAUCUCAAUUUCAUAAACUUGAUAAGUAGUGACAUUAAUAGUCUUCCUCAUAGAUGGAUACAUGGUUUUAUUUUAUUUAUUUAUUUUUAUUUUUUUGUUUUAUGUCAAUGCUAAUGAAUGAAGUGCAUUAGCUUGUUUUGUGACUAGAACUACAAAUGUCCAAAUUGGAGCUUCUCCAAUAUAUUUCUCAGUGAGUUAUUGAUUAGAACUCUUGGAUUGAGUUCCAAGAUUUGAAUCAGACCCCUCUAGCAGCUUCAGGGGUACGUAGCAACCUAUAGCAUAUUAAUGAAGACUUAGGAUUUAGACUUAGGAAUACAAAUUAAUAUGUACCUCAUGCUCUGACUAGCUUCCCUGCGUAUGCACAAAAUGGAGAUGACUCCCAAAAAAAUAGCAGAAUCGCCUUAGUAUGUUUUUGUGGUUAAGAUGAUUCUCCACUUUAUAUAUCCACAUUGGUUCAUUAUGCAAAUUAAUCAACUAAGCUAUUUUUAUUUUUUCUUAAAUGUGAAAUAGGAGCUCCAAAUUAACCUAACCAUUGGCCUGAUUGAAUUGAUUUCACUUGCAUAAUGUUAUAGUAGAAGUCCGUAAUUUGAAUUUUAUUUUUGCAAAAGGUAACGUAAAUGAAGCAUUGUAAUUAAAUUUAUUUGUAAUUACAAACUAAUUUUAUUUUAUUAAGAAUUAAUUUAAUUACUCAUUUAAAAUAAAAAUCAGUUAUACUUUUACCAAGAUGAUAAUAUUCAUAUUUUUCUAGUUAACAUAUAUAAAAUAGUACACUUUUUCAUAUAAAAAAAUAAUUUAUGAUUUAUUAUAAUGUUACUAUUCACAUUUUACUAAAUUGAUGGUACAUGAUAGUGAGAGAAGGGGGUGUCACACUCAGCUAAAGUUCUUUUCAAAAUAUUGCAUGGUGUUUAAUUUUAUGUGUCGGCGCGCGUGUGAAUGGAACCUGCAAAAGUCCAAAUUGGCGUUUCUCCAUUUUCCACAUAGGAUGGUGACGUUAAUAGACAAAGAUACAAUAUCUGUAGACAUUGCUUAAAAAUCGAUGUGAAGUAUUAGAAAUUACAGGGCACUGUACUGGGGGAGCGGCUGCCCCGCCAAAGGAGGAAGAAUGUAGCAAUUUCUUCUGUUAGCCAGGCCUUAGGAUUUAUGCAUGGGAUGCCUAAUAACAAACAGAGAAAAUAUACUUUUGGGGAAGGUAUCCAACAACAGACACCAUCAUUCAGAUGGUGGGAAGGUAUCCAACAGAUGCCAUCAUUCAGAUGGUAACAUAUAUAUACAUUUAUUAGUGAGUUUUUUUAAUACCUAUAAAAAAAAAUAUACACUUUGAUAUUGUGGCUGAAUCCAUUACAUACUCAACUAACCUUGCUCAUUAGGGAUUUGACUUAACAAGGGCAACGUUGCAGUACAAGCUCAAAACUUUAUGCAGGUGACAUUACAUUUGGUAAAGAAGAGGAAAAUAACGAAAGCCAUCCAUAAAAGCAAAAUUCCACAUGGGAUGAAAUUCACAAGCUUCAUUUACGAUAGAGUCGCAUCCAGGCAAUUAAUUCCACAUUAGACCGCCUGUUGACAUGUGUACCAAUCUUUUUUCAAAAAAUAUUUAUAAAUAAUUGAUACUCACAAAAAUAAUUUAAUAUUUAUAAAGGAUAAAAAAAUAUUUUCAAAUCUAUAACAAUUUAUAAAAUAUUAAUAAAAAAUUAUCUCUUAAACUUAGUAUAGUUUUAUCAGAUUAAACUUUUAUUUUGAACAAAUAAUUUUAAUCUAAGUUUUAAAUUCUAAAAUUAUUUCCUUAAAAUAAAAUUUUAAAAUUCAACACUUCAAUUGAAAUUGUCUUUUUAAAAAAUAUCUUCUUAUUUUAAUCCUUAUAAACUAUAGUUGAUUGAAAAUACUAUUGAAGUUCUCUCUUAAAAAAAAGUCUUAUUUUAAUCUUCAUAAAUUGCCCUUGAUUUGAAAAUAAAUUUUCAGUUAUCAUAUUUUAAAUAAUAUCUAUAUUUAAAAUACUCUAUUUAAAAAAAAAUGAACUAAUUUUAAUUAUAUUAUAUUUUAUUUUUUUAUAUAUUUUUAAUGAUAAACCAAACAUAGAAAAUCAUUUUUCUAAAUAUUUUAAAAUUUCUAAGCAACCAAACAUAAUCUUCAAAAUAAAAGGAAAAUAAGGAGGGACAUUUGAGAAAUGGCGAUUAAAAAAAAGUGUACAAAAGCUCAAUUAAUUUUCUUCUAGUCUUUUAUAUAAAAAAGUAAAGGAAUUGAAAAGUAUUGAUAUGUAAAUUAAUAUUUGGAUUUUAAUAGUAUUUUAUUUGUCUUUCUCUAUCUCAUGUAAAAGAGAAUUUAAGAUAUUUCCUAAAGCAAAGCAUUAGUUAUCUGCAAUCAGUGGUGAUCAUGCCCCAUGUCAAUUUCGGACCCAUAUCUUAAAACUGUAUAAUUUGCAUUCAAACAUUACUGAUUUCUCAGAUGUUUCAUACUCCACAGAAGAGCAUUGUUUGUGAAAGCAUGCAUUUAUGUUGGAUUUUGGAUGAUGUGGGAACUGGGGCAAGGAUCAUAUGGAAGAGUGGUCGAUUUUGUUCUGUACUUUAACAUUUGAAAUAGGAGAAGCUCGGGCAUUUGUGGGGCUUAAUUGAUUUUGAAGCCUGAAAUUGCGUUUCUGUCAUUUUGUAAAAAAUAUGGCAGAUUCCAUGCUCUCAUAUGUUUGGUCUGUGGCCAUGUAUAGAUGCCCCUUAGUGACCAGUUUGUAACUGUCAAUCAUAGUGUUUUGACUCUGGCUCAACAACAUCAGCCAUUGACGGAUUUUCAUACUUGCAAAUCAAAUAGUCUUCUUCCUCCCUUAGGAAUUUCGGUUUAAAUGUUAUUAAGCAUACAUUUGGCUGACAAUUAUUAACCACUUCAUGAUAUGGUUUCUUACCCUUAAUCAAUGGUUUCUAAGUGAAUAUAUGCAGAAGGAAAUCUGAACUGUAGACAGCAGUAUUGAUAACUCUCAAUAUUCUUUAUAUAAGAGAAUAAACAACGUCAUAGUGAUCGUCGCCUACAAGAAAGGUACAUUUCCCAACAAGAUGUAGUUGUGACUGGUACAUGGACGCAAUUAACUCGUACAAAAGAAUAAGACCAGUGCACGGCAGCUCUUAUUUUACAUGCUAAUUAUGCUAACCAAAGUCACUCAGUUGGGAUGGGAGGGAGAUGGAGGUUUGUGCGGUGGCUUGUGGGGCGGAGUUGGUGGCUUCUUUUCAGGAGCUUGUGGCUUUUUCGGAGCUGAAGGAGGCUCAAUCUUAUGAGGCGGCUUGUACGAGUCUUCUUUACUCUCGACAGGAGGGUGGCCAGGGUUGUGACCAUAAUGUGGUGGCUUCUCUCCCUUAGGUGGCUUGCCAACUGGGGUUGGUGGCUUGUGUUCAGGAAGUGGUUUCUCUCCCUUGGGAGGUUUACCAAUUGGGGUUGGUGGCUUGUGUUCUGGGAGUGGUUUCUCUCCCUUGGGAGGUUUAGUGGGUGACUUGUGUUCUGGAGGUGGCUUCUCCACCGGAGGCUUGUGCUCCGGUGGUGGCUUCUCCACCGGAGGCUUGUGCUCCGGUGGUGGCUUCUUGAUUGGAGGGGGCUUGGGGUAAUCAGCAAGAGAUGGGAUGGUGAGAACCACCACUCCAAGGAACAACACUAGCAAGUAUGUGGGAGACAUUUCUGAGUUUGAGCUGAUCAGAUGAUGCAAAACUAGAAGAAUUACGGGACCUUUUAUAGCAAGUAUCUCCCAAUACCCACAUGACACGUGUUACUAUGACCAUAAAUAUUAUAGGGUCCAUUUGUGCCCUACCGGGUUGAAAACUUGGACGCUUGGCCGAGGACACACCUGACUAUGGAGGACUAUUGACGUGUGAUCACAGCUUUUGGAUUUUUCUUCCUGUGCAGCUGUCUAGCGGUUGGCAUUAUUUUCUUAAUCUUAAAUAAAGGCAUAGUUAUAGAGUUGUUUAAUCUCUAAAUGGGAUUUUAUAUAUCUUCAGAUAGCCAUUAAUAUAUUUGAUGAAGAAAGACAAGUGCAUACAACAUGUAUACGGCUUGCUUCAAUCGAGUACAUUUAUGAUCAGUUUUCCUGUGCAAGUAAACCAGUUUUUUGUUCCACAACUAUUUUGGAAUCUUGUUUAUCAGUUUCUAUCAUUAUAAUGUCACAUAGGCUGCAAACUUGGGCACCCAAAGAUCUAGGUGGGCAAAUUUGUUUCAGACUUUCAAUGGUGGAUUCAGUAAUUGUUAAAAGGUGUUUCUUCAUUAAGGAAAGAGUCCGGUAAAAAUAUUGUUAAAAGGUGUCAUAGAAACUAUAAUAAAUAAAUAACUUCUUUUCCCCAUGGGUGGUGUUUCUUCUGGGGAUCAGUGACUGGUUAGGGUCACCCAAAAUGAGUCCAGAUUAAAAUUGGUUCGAGUCAAAGCAGUCUCUUUUGUCCAGAAAUCAACUAUUUUGCGCAUUGAAUGAAUCGAUAAAGAAAAAAUGAAAGCCAAAUCACACCUCCCCUGCAAAACCUAAACCCCGGUUGCUAACUUUCUAUGUUUCAGUCCUAUUCAUAUAGGAAUAUUGGUUCAAGUUUGAGAAAAAUGGCAACUUACCUAGGGUUUACUUGGUUUUGGUUUGCGACUAUUUACGCAACCAACCAUGAGUUUGACUUUAACGUCAUGGGUUGAAGCCUCCUACAAUCAUGUAUGAUAGUUCAAAGCUCGUGGAAGAAAUUAUACAGGAAGGAAGAAACCUCCAAAGCUAGCUCCAAAAGAGAAUUAUCACAUCGAUAGCUCCAGAGAUUCCCAAGGGAACUGAAUCAAAGACAAGUUCCUCACUUUUUCUUCUUUUGAGGCCAAAUAUGAACCAAGGAUCACACGACCUCAUUCAACUUCAUAAGUUUGAUUUCAUGCAGUUGAACACUGGGUGAAGGCCAUGACAAGAAUUGAUUAAAAAAUUCUACCACUCUUUUAAGUAAUGGAAGAUUAUUAUCUCUGAUUGGCACCACAACAGCACAUGCUGCUAGAUCUUUCUAGACACUCCAUGCAAUGAAAGCACAAUGGAUCUUGUAAUGAUAGAAACUAAGCCAUGCUACAGUACUAGAUGAGGGGGUAAAACUAGUAGACAUCUUUCUAGACACUCCAUGCAAUGAAAGCACAAUGGAUCUUGUAAUGAUAGAAACUAAGCCAUGCUACAGUACUAGAUGAGGUGGUAAAACUAGUAGACAUGGCUGGCAGUUGAUUACUACUCAAAAAGUACUCUUUUAUAGCUUGAAACUAACUGUUUUAAACACUUUUGAGUAGUAGUUAAUACCUUUUAACUUAAUUGGCACAUUAAGGAACCUAGCAAGGGUUACUAAUCAACAUUUGGCAAGUUUUGAUGUUUUUGGUAGCUAUUUGAUCAUUGAAACAAGCCAAGAAUGAGGGGGAAUUUUGUGAAGUCCAUGGCAAUGCAAGUUAAAGCUCAAAUACAUGAAGAAUCCAAGCUUUGGAGCACUUCAUAGCCCUUUGCCAAGCCAAUCAAAGAUGCAAGGAAGAAAACCAAAGGAAGAAAUCCAACAAUCAGCAUUUUGGCAUGGCUAUGUGAAAUUUCGCACACCAUGCGAAACCACAAGAGGCAGCCAAAGAAUUUCGCAUGGUAUGCGAAAUCUUCUUGUGCACUGACUCUGUUAGAUUUUUAUCUUCAGAUAUUUUGUGUAAUUUCCUAGUUUCUCCUUGUAACCAACUUAGAUAUUUUCUUUUAUAUCUUUUUUUAUAUUUUUUAGGUAACAUCAUAUAUAAGAGGAGAGACAUAAGGAGGAUAUGGAUGUUUUUCAUAGAACACUUGUAAAUUUUUGGUAGUAAGAAAUAUACAAAGCUUUUUGCUCUGCCUUACCUUCUCAAGGGAUGAGUGGCUAGGUUUUCUUGGAGUGAGGGAAGCUAGGUGAAGGACCUGAAUGCAAAGGUGGGAGUUUUCCUUACUUUAAAUGAAAGUAGUUGUUAAACAUUAAUGGUUUUUAUUUUAAGGUUUAGCUUUAAAUCCCUGAAAAACACCUUGAAUGGCCAAUACUUGGUAAGCUUUUUAGAUUCUAUGGAUGCUUAUUGCUAGAUCCAUGGAUGUCUAUUAGUUAUCAUUUACGAGCCAUUGGAAGGUGAUUCAAGGUGAGGGUCUUUAGUGUUUGAAGCCAUUAAUGGGAAGCAAUUACCAUUUUUUCAUGAAUCCUUUGGAUCAAAUCUUAAUUGCUAAAUAUAAAACCGGUUUCGAGAGAUAACCACCAUCCUUUAUGUUAUUAUCCCCAACGCGAGGAGAAGAUCCGAAAUCUUCCUUUUUAUCUAAGGAACCCGAUCCUAGUGACCUAAAGCUCCAAGAUACCUUUUCUUUGUAGUUAACUUCAUUUAUUGUUUUUGCUUAACUUAAAAUCAAUCUUUGCAACCACAAUUCCAUUUUCUUUAAAAGCUAAUUUUUAUAAGGAAAAACACCAUUUUAUUUCCUUCACUAAGUCAACUGUACGAUGAAAACCCAUCCCUGUGGACGAUCCUAGAGCCACUAUACUAUGUUAGCUAUGCUACCCUAGUGUGAGGUGAUUUAGGUUUUAUAAAUUUUUUUGAUAACACCCAUCUGAGCCAGAAUCAAAUGGCACGACUGAACCAGGGACGAAUCAAAUGACGCCGCUACCAAGGAUGGUGCCAAAGUACAUUGACAUGACUUUUGGUGAACACUUGUGAUCUUCACCACAAGUUUGGUGAUUUUUCUUUUACUAAUUUUUUUUAUUUUAGCUUAUCUUUUAUUUAGUUUUUAGUUAACCUUAAAUUUUUCCUAGAAUUGUAUUUCUUUUGUUUUCUUUGUUUUUGUUUCAGUGAUCUUUAGUUGUGCAUGCCCUAUUGGAUAAGAGAUAUUGAGGGAAUACUUGUGAAGAUUGAAACUCCUCGAGAAACUGAGUUAGAAGUGUGCUUGAACAUCAUGGAUGUUCCACCUGAAGACCAGAAUAGCCAACAUGGUUAAGAGGAUAAUUUCAACACAUACCGAUCCAUGAGGAACCGCAUACAUCCACCUUGUAUGAGUGCACCGUCAGGCAUAAUGCCUCCCACUGAGCAGCUAGUAAUCUGACCUCACAUUGUGCCACUCCUACCUACUUUCCAUGGGAUGGAGAGUGAGAAUCCCUACUCGCAUAUUAAGGAAUUCGAGGAGGUUUGUAAUACAUUCCAAGAAGGAGGAGCUUCAAUUGACUUGAUGAGGCUCAAGCUAUUUCCUUUCACUUUGAAGGAUAAGGCCAAGAUUUGGCUUAAUUCUUUAAGGCCAAGAAGUAUCCAAACUUGGAUUGAUUUGUAAGCCGAGUUUCUUAAGAAGUUCUUCCCUACCCAUAGGACCAAUGGUUUGAAAAGGCAAAAUUUGAACUUCUCAGUUAAAGAGAAUGAGAAAUUCUAUGAGUGUUGGGAGAGCUACAUGGAAGCUAUUAACGUUUGUCCUCACCAUGGCUUUGACACAUGGCUCUUAGUGAGCUAUUUUUACAAUGGUAUGUCUUCUUCAAUGAAGCAACUCCUAGAAACUAUGUGUGGAGGAGACUUCAUGAGUAAGAAUCCGGAGGAAGCCAUGGACUUUUUGAGUUAUGUGGCUGAAGUUUCAAGAGGAUGGGAUGAACCAAAUGCUAGAGAGGUGGGAAGAAUGAAGUCUCAACCUAAUGCUAAGGGUGAGAUGUAUGUUUUGAAUGAAGACAUUGACAUGAAAGCAAAGGUUGCAGCUAUGGCAAGGAGAUUGGAAGAGCUAGAAAUGAAGAACAUACAAAAAGUGCAAGCCAUUUCUGAGACAUCAAUGAAAGCUAUGCCUUGUUCCAUUUGUCAAUCUUAUAAGCACCUAGUGGAGGAGUGUCCUACAAUUCCAGCAGUGAGAGAGAUGUUUGGUGAUCAAGCAAAUGUUAUUGAUCAAUUCAAGCCUAAUAACAAUGCUUCAUAUGGCAACACCUACAAUUCAAAUUGGAGGAACCAUUCAAAUUUCUCUUGGAAACGAAAGCCACCUCAAUACACACAACCUACUCAAGCACCUUAGCAAUCCUCGAAUCUUGAACAAGCUAUUGUGAACCUUAGCAAGGUUGUGGGAGACUUUGUGGGAGAUCAGAAGUCCAUCAAUGCUCAACUGAAUCGGAGAAUUGACAGUGUGGAGAGUACAUUGAACAAAAGGAUGGAUGAGAUGUAAAAUGAUCUGUCUCAAAAGAUAGACAAUGUCCAAUACGUAAUCUCAAGGCUUACCAACCUCAACACAGUGUAAGAGAAAGGAAAGUUUCCUUCUCAACCUCAUCAAAAUCCUAAGGGUAUCCAUGAAGUAGAGGCUCAAGAGGGAGAAUCUUCAAAGGUGAGGGAAGUCAAAGUAGUUAUCACCUUGAAGAGUGGUAAAGAGGUUGAUCAACCCACAUCCAAGCCAAAGCAUAAUGAAGAGAGUGUAGCAGAAAAAGAAAAGAGAGGAAAAUAAAGGAAUUAGAAUAGAGAAAAAUACAAAGAAAGAUGACCAUGAGUCUAGUGUGGAUGAAGAGCCCGAGAGGAUGGUGAUCAAGGAAGAUAUGAUGAAGAAACACAUGCCUCCACCUUUCCCCUAAGCUUUGCAUGACAAAAAAAGAACCAAUAAUACAUCAGAAAAUUUUGAAGUAUUGAGGCAAGUGAAGGUCAAUAUCCCUUUGCUAGACAUGAUCAAACAAGUGUCGACAUAUGAAAAAUUCUUGAAGGACUUGUGCACUGUAAAGAGAGGGUUGAAUGUGAACAAGAAAGCUUUAUUGACCGAGCAAGUGAGUUCCAUCAUACAGUGCAAGUCCUAGUGAAGUACAAAGAUCCGGGUUGCCGUACCAUCUCAGUGAGUAUUGGAAGGACUUGUGUGGAGAAAGCUUUGUUGGACUUGGGAGCAAGUGUGAAUUUGCUAUCCUACUCUGUCUAUAAGCAGUUGGGAUUUGGAGAGUUGAAGCCAAUAUCCAUCACUCUAUCUCUAGCGGAUAGAUCAAUGAAGAUUCCAAGAGGGAUGAUCGAAGAUGUCCUGGUUCAAGUUAACAAAUUCUACUAUCCAGUAGAUUUUGUUGUUCUUGAUAUGGAUCCGGUUGUCAAAUGAACUAAUUAUGUUCCUAUCAUACUUGGAAGACCCUUCCUAGCUACAUCAAAUGCAAUCAUCAAUUGUAGGAAUGGAGUCAUGCAACUCACAUUUGUCAACAUGACAUUAGAGCUCAACAUCUUCCAUUUGUACAAGAAGCAUAUCCAUCAGGAGGAAAAAGAAGGUCUAGAGGAAGUGUGAAUGAUUGACACUUUAGUGGAAGAGCAUUGUGAUCGAGAAUGCAAAAAGAUUUAGUUGAGAAUUUUGGGGAUCUUGAUGAAAGGUUACUUGAACCCUCAGAUUUGCUUGCUACCCUACUCCAUUGGAAGAGAAGAGAAGAAAUUCUACCCUUAUUCAAUGAGGAGGAGACGCAAAGAGCUGCAAAGGAGAAACCCCCAAAACUUAUUCUUAAGCCACUACCCACAGAGUUGAAGUAUGUAUACUUGGAAGAAGACAAGAAGUGCCCUAUUGUUAUAUCUUCAACUCUUACCAUUCAUCAGGAGGAUUGUCUACUUGAAGUCCUUAGAAGAUGUAAGAAGACAAUAAGGUGGCUAAUUUCUUAUUUGAAAGGGAUCAGCCCUUUAGUCUGCACCCAUCAUAUUUACAUGGAGGAUGAAGCUAAGCUAAUUCAUCAACCUCAGAGAAGGUUGAACCCUCACAUGCAAGAGGUGGUUCGAGCUGAAGUUCUGAAGCUACUUCAGACCAGUAUUAUUUACCCCAUAUCAAAUAGCCCAUGGGUGAGUCCUACUCAAGUUGCGCCAAAGAAGUCUGGGAUCAUGGUGGUGCAAAAUGAUAAGGGAGAAGAUGUCUCUACACGCCUCACUACAGGUUGGAGGGUGUGUAUCAAUUACAGGAGGUUGAAUGCAGUGAUAAGAAAGGACCAUUUCUCAUUGCCCUUUAUUGAUCAGGUGCUUGAGAGGGUCUCUGGGCUUUUUUUUUUAUUGUUUCUUGGAUGGCUACUCCGGGUACUUUCAGAUAGAAAUUGAUGUUGAAAACCAAGAUAAGACCAUUUUCACAUGCCCAUUUGGAACCUAUGCAUAAAGGAGAAUGCCUUUCGGCUUAUGCAAUGCACCCGCAACUUUCCAAAGAUGCAUGUUAAGCAUUUUCAGUGAUAUGGUGGAGCGUAUUAUGGAAGUCUUUAUGGAUGAUAUCACCAUUUAUGGAAGUGCAUUUGAUGAAUGCUUGGUCAACUUAGAAGCUGUUCUGAACCGAUACAUUGAGAAAGACUUAGUGCUUAACUGGGAGAAGUGCCAUUUCAUGGUACACCAAGGGAUUGUCCUUGGGCACAUUAUCUCCAAGCAAGGCAUUGAAGUUGACAAAGCAAAGGUUGAACUCAUUGUUAAGUUGCCAUCCUCAACAAAUGUCAAAGGAGUAAGGCAAUUCUUUGGCCAUGUCGGGUUCUAUAGGAGGUUUAUCAAGGAUUUCUCUAAGCUUGCAAGGCCUCUUUGUGAAAUAUUGGUGAAUGAUGUUAAAUUCAUAUGGGAUGAUGGAUUUGAAAGGAGUUUUGAAGAAUUGAAGCUAUUUUUGACAACCGUACCAAUAGUGAGGGCUCCCAACUGGCAACUGCCCUUUGAAGUAAUGUGUGAUGUCAAUGAUUUUGCUAUAGGAUUUUUUCUUGGGCAAAGAGAAAAUGGAAAACCUUAUGUGAUCUACUAUGCGAGGAAGGCAUUGAAUGAGGCACAAAGAAACUACACAACCACCGAGAAAGAAUUGUUAGCUGUAGUUUUUGCCUUGGAUAAGUUUCGCGCUUACUUGGUGGGGUCCUUCAUCAUGGUUUUUACUGAUCACUUUGCUUUGAAGUAUCUGUUGACUAAGCAAGAUGCUAAAGCAAGGCUGAUUAGAUGGAUUCUCUUACUUCAAGAGUUCAAUCUCCAUAUCAAAGAUAAGAAAGGAGUGGAGAAUGUGGUAGCAGACCACAUUUCAAGGCUAGCUAUCGCACAUAAUUCCCAUGCUUUGCCCAUUAAUGACGAUUUUCUAGAGGGGUCUCUCAUGUUGGUGGAAGUUGUCCCUUGGUACGCUCACAUUGCUAACUACCUGGUCACGGGAAAAGUUCCAAGUGAGUGGAAAGCACAAGAUAAGAAGCACUUCUUUGCAAAAAUUCAUGCCUACUAUUGGGAAGAGCCAUUUCUAUUCAAGUAUUGUAUGGAUCAGAUAAUAAGGAAGUGCGUUCCUGAAGAAGAGCAACAGGGGAUCCUUAGUCAUUACCAUGAAAAUGCAUGUGGAGGCCACUUUGCUUAUCAAAAGACAGCCAUGAGGGUGUUGCAAUCGGGUUUCUGUUGGCCAUCACUUUUCAAAGAUGCCCACACCAUGUGCAAGAGUUGUGAUCGAUGCCAGAGGCUUGGGAAGUUGACACGCAGGAACAUGAUGCCUUUGAACCCCACUUUAAUAGUUGAUAUUUUUUAUGUUUGGGGCACUAACUUCAUGGGACCUUUCCCUAUGUCUUUUGGCUACUCUUACAUCUUGGUAGGAGUAGAUUAUGUUUCUAAGUGGGUUGAGGCAGUCCCAUGCAAACACAAUGACCAUAGAGUGGUUCUCAAGUUUCUUAAAGAGAAUAUCUUCUCAAGAUUUGGGGUGCCCAAAGCCAUAAUUAGUGAUGGGGGUACUCAUUUUUGCAACAAGCCUUUUGAAACUCUCCUAGCCAAGUAUGGGGUGAAGCAUAAGGUAGCUACACCUUACCACCCUCAAACUCAUGGACAAGUUGAGUUAGCAAACAGGGAGAUUAAAAACAUAUUGAUGAAGGUGGUGAACACAAACAGAAAAGAUUGGUCAGUCAAGCUUCUUAAUUCACUAUGGGCAUAUAGAACAACUUACAAGACCAUUCUCGGGAUGUCUCCUUAUCGCCUAGUUUAUGGCAAAGCAUGCCAUCUCCCUGUGGAAUUGGAAUACAAAGCUUGGUGGGCAAUCAAGAAGCUCAACAUGGAUUUGAGCAGAGCUGGGUUGAAGAGGUUCUUAGACCUUAAUGAGAUGGAGAAAUUGAGAAAUGAUGCCUACAUCAAUUCAAAAAUUGCAAAAGAAAAAUUGAAGAGGUGGCAUGAUCAGUUGAUUUCCCGCAAGGAUUUUCAAAAUGGACAAAGAGUCUUACUUUAUGACUCUAAACUCCACAUCUUUCCGGGCAAGCUGAAAUCAAGGUGGAUAGGUCAUUUUACCAUUCACCAAGUGCAUUCAAAUGGAGUAGUGGAACUACUCAACUCCAACAAUAUCGAGAACUUCAAAGUGAAUGGCCACCGUCUCAAGCCCUUUGUGGAGUCUUUUUCUCACAACAAGGAGAAAUUCAUCCUCCUUGAUCCACAUCAAGCUUAACAAGACCAAUUUUCUUGAUGGACUUAGUCUUUCUAAAGACUAUCGAGUCCAUAACUUUUUGUUUUAUUUUUUAUUUGAGAUUUUUUCGGUAUUGUUACUUGUUUUGUUUUUUAUUUUUCGUUUUAAUUUUAUUUGGUUUGAUUUAACUUAGGUUUUUGAUGAUCAAUUACAGGGGGGAUUUCAAAUAGAGGAAAAACCAAGAUAAUUCGCACACCCUACGAAAAUUUCGCAAGGCAUGCGAAAUUUAUGGCUUAUUUUGCAUGGGGUGAAAAUUUUCGUACAUCUUACGAACCAAUUUCGAACACUUUGCGAAAAUAAACCAACCCUGCGAAAUCAUUUCGAUUACUCUACGAAAUUUUCGUAGAGCAUGCGAAAAAUUUAGCACACCAAACACCAUUUCGCAUACUAUGCAAAAACCUAAGGGGUCUGCGAAACCAUUUCGCACCUCCAAAUCCAUUUCGCACAUUGUGCGAAAACCAAGAGGCGCUGUGCGAAAAUGAAAAGUCGCCCUGUCAUCCCUUUUUAAACCCCUCGAGCCCUAAAAUCUCCAUUUCGCAAGCACCCCUGUCCUUGCGAAUCCCUCAUUUUCCUCUACUACCUUGCAACCUCGUCCCUUUCCAUUUGAUAUUGUGCCCCGCGCACAUCUCAUUUCAGAGACUCGCACUCCGCGCCCCCUCAAAGCAUGGACUCGAGACCCACCUUCCAUUUCCGACGUGGCACGGACCCAAGGAGCCCUUUCUGCCCCUUCACUAAGACACACACCAAGGCAGAAAGCCUCCUUUGCUCAAGUGCCUAGUGAUUCUCCAUCUUAGGCCUCAGAGGCCUCGGAGGCCCCGUGGAUUCCACCUUCCGAGGGUAGAGCAGCCAUUGGUCCUUCCUCUUCUACUCCUUAGCGUAGAUACGAGACGAGGAGACCACCUACUACACAAGGGGCGACUACUUCGAGCCUUGAGAAUUCAGUACGAUGCCUUCCUGCCAAGAGGGUCAAGACUUCAGGUCCAAGUGAGUCAUCCAGAGCUUCAUAGCCUAAGCCUCCUGUAGAUUCCAAGGUUCCUACUGACAUAUCACCGGAGUCUAUUAUCAGAAGCCCGAUGCUCAUAGCACCGCCCAUUGAGGGCAACUCAGAUUAUAGAGCGAGAUCUUUCCACUUGGAGCUAUAUUUUGAUCAGGAGGCCAUACGACAGCAGCCUGAGCUCCGAGACUCUUAUGGCUUACUGCAGAGGUACCAUCUUGAGGAACUUAUGACUCCUCGUGAGUUUUUUUAUCCCAGAGUAGCACUAAACUUUUACCAGUCCAUGACUACUCGUGGCGUCCCGAGUCCUACCACGAUUCACUUCACCAUUGAUAGACGUCAUGGUAUCCUCAAGGCCAGACAUAUUACAGAGGCUCUACAAAUUCCUUUCGAGCUAGAGGAUCCAUCUGUUUUUCGCUAAUGGUCCCCAGUAUCUCAGAGGGACAUGGUCCGUAUUUUAUCUAGGGGAACAUCUACAGAUUCGAUCUUUCUACGGAAGGAGCUUCGACCUGGGAUGCUCCUCUUAGAUGUGGUGCUAUGCUCCAACCUCUUUCCCUUACAACAUUCGGUACAUAGGUGAUGAGCUAUUUUGGACGCUUUAUUCCGUAUAUCAGAGGGCUUCUACUUUGGCCCGCACCACUUGAUCAUGGUCUCCCUCAUCCACUUUGAGGAGAAGGUUCAUAGGAAGAAGCUUCAGAGGGUGGACACCAUUCCAUUACUAUUCCUGAGGUUACUUUGCCAGGUCUUGGAGUACAUGGGCUUUCCUACUGAGCCUCGGCUCGAGCUUUGCCGCCUUUGUCGAGAGUGAUCCACUCUCGACAAAUGGAAUUAGUUGGCGGGCUAUUCUGCACCUCCAGGAGCCCCUCCCAUGGUAGCACCUCCAAUGUCCCCACAGGCAAAGUAGGGCGAGCUCCCGGCAAAGACUGUACCACCAAUGCCCACACUUGAGGCUAUUUCUGCUGCUCUGCCUAUGACUCCUACUGUUCCACCAGUUGGUCCUUUUACAUCCGAGCCUUCCAUCACCAUCUCGGCUUCGGAGUUUCGCGCCCUUGUGCAUACCUUUCAGACACUCACCACCACACAUACUCCUCUCUUCUAGCAAAUGGUUGAGAUGUGUGCCCAUCAGGACCGGAAGACUACUAUACUCUGCCAAAUUCAGCAGCACCUAAGACUUUUGCCUCAACCUCAACCUAACCAUCCCAUAUCAUCAGAGCCUCUAGCUCCAACUGAGGAUACUAUUCCACCUGAGAACACUACCACAGUAGAGGUCCGGUUUCCACCACCUUAAGAGGCCACCACAGCUACAUCAGAGGAUGUGUCAUCUCCACUUGAGGCUCCCACUACUUGAUCAUAGGACAUAUCUUUAUCUUAUUGUAUUUACAUAUUAUAUUACUAGAGAUUUGUCCUUGUUUUGAUACUUUAUAUUCUGGGAUUGGAUGUAUUGCCUGAUGAUAUCUCAAUUGUACUUUCUCAUAUUAAUAUAUAGACAUCAAUUUUUUUUAGUAUACUUAGCAUUUUUCUAUUUCCUCUACUCAUUACUCUUUUGUUUUUUUUUACUCAUGUGGUUUCUCUUAUACAACUCAGACUCCAUUUCACUCAGGAGGUACCACUUCCUCCCUUUAUUUUCAAUUGCUCUUGAAAUAUUGAGUGCAAUGUUGAUCUUGGUUGGGGGGAGAGUUGAGGAAGGAAGUUUUGUUAAUAAUGCUAGGUUAAUUUGUUAAUUUAGUUACUUUCUGCUUAAUUUUAAAAGUUUUCACUCUACUUUCCAUGGUUAUUAAGGAAAAAUUCUCAAAAUGAAAUGGGAGAAAUCGAAUUCUUGCAUUUUUACUUGAAUCUUAGAAUUUGUAUCAUGCUUAUUAAAGUUGAUGAAUUAUUGAAACUCCUAUUGAAUUCAACCUUAUUUUUUCCACUUUAAUCUUACCACACACGGUGCACAUUAGGUUCCAGUUAUAAGAUAAAAAACUAUCUCACCCCCUAAACUUAGAAAAAUUUACACUUGGUACCUUUGACAUCGUUUUAAUAGUGUUGGGACACCUUAUAAAAGGCCAAUGAGCCUUUAAAAAAAAAAAAAAAAAAAAAAAGAGAAAGAACAAAGUAUUGCACUUGCCUUGAAACCUGAGCAAGAUCCGAGGGGUAUACAGUGAAAGUCUUUAAAACCUGGUGCCCUAAGCCUUGAUUGGUUGGGAGUCACCGACCUCAAUGCUCGUUAUAAGGGUGAAUAGGUGGAGUUUAACAUAUUGUAGGUGCUUGGGUAUUGAAUUUCAAUCUCAAAAGUCCGGGAAAAAAUCUAAGGAGUUAGUGGUCAAAAGAUCCUUAAAGCUUGAUGCCCUAAACCUUGAUUGGUUGAGAGUCAUUGAUGGAUCCCCGCUACAUGGACAUUUUAGAAAACAAUACCUUUAGCAUUGCACGCCUACAAUGAAAAAAAAAUGUGAAAUAAAAGAGGUGCGUUCUUAGCCUAUUGGAGGUUGGUCAGUUUGCUAAAGUUUGAGAAAUCUAGGUUGGGGGGAGAGAAUAGUCCGACAUACUAUAAUAAAAAACUAAUAACCUUAACACUUAGAUUUUUGUGGAAGAGUAAGGAUUGGACCUUUAGGGGUGGAAAUUCUUUUGAUGCUUAAAUUUGCAUAAUGCCUACUCUUUAUAAAUUAUGAUUAGGCAAGAGAUUUGAUGACUCUUGUUCAAAGUUGGGUUUUUCCUCUUUGAUGUUCCAUGAGAGAGUAUAAUCCUCAUCAUGCCACUUGAAAUCUUUUUGGAGUGAUUAACAUGAUUUUGUAAAUUAUUUUACUGUCUAUUUUUCUUUAUCUCUCUUUUAUUGCUAAUGGACUAGCAAUAUGUCAGUUGGGGGGAGUGAUUACUACUCAAAAAGUACUCUUUUAUAGCUUGAAACUAACUGUUUUAAACACUUUUGAGUAGGUGUUAAUACAUUUUAACUCAAUUGGCACAUUAAGGAACCUAACAAGGGUUACUAAUAAGUUUUUGGCAAGUUUUGGUGUUUUUGGUAGCUAUUUGAUCAUUGAAACAAGCCAAGAAUGAGGGAGAAUUUUGUGAAGUCCAUAGCAAUGCAAGUUAAAGCUCAAAUACAUGAAGAAUCCAAGCUUUGAAGCACUUCAUAGCCCUUUGCGAAGCCAAUCAGAGAUGCAAGGAAGAAAACCAGAGGAAAAAAUCCAACAACCAGCAUUUUCGCAUGGCUGUGCGAAAUUUUGCACACCAUGCGAAACCACAAGAAGUAGCCAAAGAAUUUUGCACACCAUGCGAAAUUUCGCAUGGUAUACGAAAUCUUCCUAUGCACCAACUCCGUUAUAUUUUUAUCUUCAGAUAUUUUGUGUAAUUUCCUAGUUUCUCCUUGUAACCAACCUAGAUAUUUUCUUUUAUAUCUUUUUUUUAUAUUUUUUAGGUAACAUCAUAUAUAGGGGGAGAGACAUAAGGAGGAUAUGGAUGUUUUUCAUAAAACACUUUUAAUUUUCUGGUAGUAAGAAAUAUACAAAGUUUUUUGCUCUGCCUUACCUUCUCAUUUUGUUUUCACCUAUCUUUCUAGCCAAACAACCUCUGAGAAUGAUUUCUCAGGGGAUGAGUAGUUAGGUUUUACGUUUCUUGGAGUGAGAGAAGCUAGGUGAAAGACCCAAAUGCUAAGGUGGGAGUUGUCCUUGCUUUAAAUGAAAGUAGUUGUUAAAUAUUAAUGGUUUUUAUUUUAAGGUUUAGCUUUAAAUCCCUUAAAAACACCUUGAAUGGCCAAUACUUGGUAAGCUUUUCGGAUUCUAUGGAUGCUUAUUGCUAGAUCCAUGGAUGUCAUUAGUUAUCAUUUAUGAGCCAUUGGAAGGUGGUUCAAGAUGAGAGUCUUUAGUGUUUGAAGCCAUUAAUGGGAAACAAUUACCAUUUUUUCAUGAAUCCUUUGGAUAAAAUCUUAAUUGCUAAAUAUAAAACUGGUUCGGGAGAUAACCAUCCUUUAUGUUAUUAUGCCCAAUGCAAGGAGAAGAUUUCGAAUCUUCUCAUUUGUCUAAGGAACCCGAUCCUAGUGACCUAAAGCUCCUAGAGACCUUUUCUUUGUAGUUAACUUCAUUUAUUGUUUUUGCUUAACUUAAAAUCAAUCUUUGCAACCACAAUUCCAUUUUCUUUAAAAGCUAAUUUUUAUAAGGAAAAGCACCAUUUUAUUUCCUUCACUAAGUCAACUGUAUGAUGAAAACCCAUCCCUGUGGACGAUCUUAGAGCCACUAUACUAUGUUAUCUAUGCUAUCCUAGUGUGAGGUGAUUUAGGUUUUAUAAAUUUUGUUGAUAACACCCGUCUGAGCCAGAAUCAAAUGGAACCACUGAACCAGGGACAAAUCAACAGCCUAUAUGGGAGGGACACAAGUUUAAUUGAUUUGCAUUUCAGCGUUAUAGAUAAGUAUGUUUUGGAAGAUUUGUUCUGGAAAUACUGCACCAAGUACGAUUCUUUUUCUCUUGAGUGAGUCCAUUUGCAUGCCAAUUAACGAGUUGAAAAGUAGGAGCACCUACCUCGUGCUCAUGGAACCGAAUGUCAGUGAAGUGGGGCUCCUUUUAGCCUCUUGUGUUUCUGUUCCAACCAAGGCGGCGUAGGGAAAAACAACAAUAUGUCUGUGCUAAAUAUCAACGCAUGAUAGAUGUUUUUUUUUUUUUUUUUGGUAUGUCAAGGCUAACGAAUGAAAUGCAUUAGCUUGUUUUGUGACUAUAACUGCAAAUGUCCAAAUUGGAGUAUCUCCAUUUCUCACUUCGGAUGGUUAACUUUAUAAACAAGAUAUAGGAAACAUGUGAACAUCUUGAGGAACAAUUCAAAUUAUUCAUUAGAAGUCCUGGGUUAAGUUCCAAGAUUUAAAUCAGACCCUUCUAGCAGCUUCAAGGGUACUUAGCAACCUAUAACAUAUUAAUGAAGAUUUAGGAUUUAGACUCCGGAAUACAAAUAAAUAUGUAUCUCAUGCUUUGACUAGCUUCCCUACAUAUGCAUAAAAUGGAGAUGACCCAAAAAAAAUAGCAGAAUCUAGCUUCCCUACAUAUGCACAAAAUGGAGAUGACCCAAAAAAUAGCAUAAUCGCCUUAGUUUCUGUGGUUAAGGUGAUUCUCCGCUUAAUAUCCACAUUGACUCAUUAUGCAAAAUCAACUGAGCUAAUUUUAUUUAUUUAUUUAAUGUCAAAUAGGAACUCCUAAUUAACUGAUUACUGUCGAAAAGUGCUAUUUUGUAGACCUAAUUAUAAGGGUUUUAAGCACCUUUGAGUAGUAAUCAUAUUCAUUUAACCUAAUUAAUUCAUUAAGCUCCUUAGUAAUUAGUUCUAACCAUUUUUAGUGGCAAGUUUACAUGUUUUUCAUCAGCUUAUGAACCAAUUCAAGCAUGCCAAUUGAUGGAGGAGCUACUUGGGCGAGUUAAGCAAGGAUUUUGGACGUUUACAGGCUUGAAUUUCAAGUGGAAACACGAGCACAAGCAAUGGGAACACCAUUUCGCAAGGGGAGGCAAUUCACCUUGCCAAAUGACCAAUUUCGCAAGGGGAUUUUCCUCAUGGUGCAAAAUUUGGUCAUUUCGCACCAUGAAGAAACCACCUUGCAAAAUUUCGCAAGGUGGAUUUAGGCACCUUGCGAAAUGCCAAAUUUCACAAGGUGGCUUUUCACCUUGCGAAAUUUGGACCUUUCAUCUUCCCCCCUUGCGAAAUGCCUUUGAAAUCCCCUGUUUUGAGACGCUGUUGAUGAUAUUCCACUGCCGGUUCUCCAAGAUAUUUUGCUUGACUUUUAGCUUUAUAAAUACCUAUUUUACCCUUGUAAUCAACCAAUGAAAAGGUUGCUUUUGUAAUAGCUCUUGUAAUUUAGCUUUUUAUUGUCUUUAAAUAGAGGUGAAGAGCCUCAGACACGAUCAUCUUGUAACCUGUAACUUUAUAAGUUAUAAGAGCACUUUUGUUCAUACGCUUCUUUUCUCUUUUCUUUCUCAUUUUCUUAGUAGCCAAACAUCCUUGGAGGAUGAAAUCCCCAAGGAUGAGAGGCUAAAACCUUUUAGUUUCUUGAAGUAAUGGAUGCCAUGUGAAGCUCCCGUGUCAGGAUGGAGAUUUCCAAGCCAUAAAUGUAAGUAGCUGAGCGUCAUAAAUGUUUUCAUUCAAAGUAAAGCUUUUAAUCCCUCUGACUUGCUUUGAAUGGCCAAUACUUGAUAACCUUUUGGUCUCAAUGGAUUCUUAUUGUUAGAUCCACUGACGUUCAUUAGUUAUCUCCUACGAGCCAUUGUAUUGCAAGUCGAGGAGAUGACCUAUACCAAUAAAAGAGCAUUUAUGAGGUUCAACUACCCUUUUUGUAAGUUUUCAAGGACUAAAACUCAGUUGUUAAACUCAUACCGGUUCGAGAAGUAAGCAUCACCUUAGUUGCUUCCCCAACUCGAGGUGAAAAGUCCCAAAAUCUCCAUUUUUACACAGUGAGUUAAGCAUGGCUAUCCAAAGCUUUAAGAAACUUCUUUUUCCAUCUUUUAACCUAUUUUCAUGUUAGUUUAGUUUACAACACCUUCAUCUUUUUAUGUUUUCAUCUUAACCUAAUUUUUAUUAAGAAAAGUUCACUCCAUCCUCCGAACUUCACCAGUUAAAGUAAAAACCCUUCCCAGUGUUCGAUCCUAGAGCCACUAUGCUAUAGUAGCUUUGCUACUUUAGUGUAAGGACCUUAGGUAUAAAUUUUGUUGAUACCCUUACAUGCCAAGCUACCAAGAGUCGGGUUAUCAUUAACCUAACCAUUGGCCUGUGUAAAUUGAUUUCACAUGCACAAUGUUGUAGUAGAAGUCCAUAUUUUGAAUUUUAUUUUUGUAAAGGUAAGGAAAAUGAAGCAUUGUGUAAUUAUAAAAAUAACUUCAUUGGAAUUCACAAGGUUCACCCAAAAUGGAGCUACAUCUGUAUUCUAUCCUACAGUAGACUAUAUAGAUUGUACAAUAGUAAAUUGCAAAUACAAUUAAUAAGUCUUGUGCUUCCUUACUAAUAAUCCUUUGACAUGAACAUUGCAGCACUAAGGUCCUCUUGGGAAGACACCUUGCACCCAUGAGAGCACUAAGAGGAAGCAAGGCAGAGUCAUGGGUGCAAUGUCAUGACUUGUUGUUGCACCAAGAGAGGCUUGGUGAUGCCAUGGUGUUGCAGUAGCAAGAAUGUUGCCUUGGCAGGGACACGAUCUAGGGAUAGAUGCCAAGAAAGGCUUAGCACUCACAUGAGUUGCACAAAGAUGAAUGUAAUAGAGCAUCAGAGAGACGUCUUGGCAAGUAAAUGAAUGGAUCCAAGAGACAACAACAUGAGGAGUUUCAAAUGGAUAAGGAAUGACUCAAAGACAUUUGAAAGCUACAAGUUGGAUUCUAAUUACGAUUGCAAUUUGAGUUUGAGUAGGAGUUUAGAUUUUGAUUGUAAUUGUAGUAUGAGUUGGACUAGGAUUGCUUAUCCUUAGUCAAUAUAGGAGCGGUUCGUGUCACCCUAUGAAAAGAGUUUGAGUAGGGACUAGGAUUGCUUACUCCUAGUCAAAUAUGGAGUAGGUGGUGCCACACCUAUAAAAAAAAGGGACAACAUGAGAGAGAGAGAGAGAGAGAAAGAGAGAGUGAAUUCACUAAAGAUAUUGUGGGAGUUUUGCUUUGUUACGUCUUGUAUUAUUACUUAGAAUAGGAAUAAAAUACAAGUUGGGGCUAGAGCCCCAUAAUUAAUCUCGUGUGCCUUUGUGGUUAUUCUUUAUUUGUCAUCUCGUGUGGAUUGGAUUAGGUUGACUUAGAGGGCUUCUAAGCACCACCUUUGUGGGUUAUUAUUUAUUUUCCAUCUCUUGUGGAUUAGAUUAGGUUGACUUAGAGGGCUUCUGAGCACCACCUUUGUGGGUUAUUAUUUAUUUUCCAUCUAUUGUGGAUUAGAUUAGGUUGACUUAGAGGGCUUUUAAGCACCACAUUUGUGGGUUAUUCUUUAUUUUCCAUAUCGUGUGGGUUGGAUUAGGUUGACAAGGAGAAAAAUUAUGUGGGAAAUUUGUGUUGGGACACUUACCAUAACCAAGUAAAAUCUACCAAGUCCUUUGUAAUAUCUUCAACAAAUAUUUUAGACUAGUUCUUUCAGUUAGUGUAAAGGAGGAAGAAGUGGUAUUGAUUCUAGAAAUAGGGUGUGUGUAUUUGAACUACAAUCCUUAUGAUCCUUAGGUCUCUAAACCUUCGUGAUGGGCUCCCUGACAUUUCAUAGGUUGUGCUACACAUGCGUUUGAAAUUUAGAGUGCGUUUGACAGUGAUUCCGGGAAGUGUUUUUGGCCUUUCUUACACUUGAAAAUUUUUAUUUUUCAAGUAUUAGAAAUGCUACAAACACUUUUGAAAAUUACUGUCAAACACACUCUUAGGAGCGCACAUAUAUAGUAGAAAACUAGAAAUUGUGGUUUUUUUAGGAUUUACUGUAAUGUCAUUAGGAGGGUAGUAAGUUGAAAUUGAGUAUGAACAAAUAUUUCUUUCUUUGGGAUGUUCUUCUAGUAGGUGCUGAUGAAACUGUUCUUUCUACUGCCAAUGUCACAUAUCAGCCAGAAAUUGAAAAUUUCAGUCAAGGUGUCCUCUGUUUUAGUGGUGAGGAAAGCUAGAAAUUUUAAGGUGAAGUUUUGUUAAAAACCUUAAGUAGCUGGGAUAUCAGGCCUGUUUUGCUUGAAAAAAAAAGUUGCAAGAUAACUCAUAUGCCAAACAGGUUCUGAUAUUGUGAAUCUAUCGGCAGACAUCAGUAAUCUCAUCUUCUGAGAUGGAUGUUGGGGGUGCAUGUGGUGGUGGAGGGGCAAGGUUUCAUUUGGUUUAUUUUGUUGAUGGAUAUUGUCUAGCCACCUGCGCCAAGUUUGAGGGGUGGUGGGUUGUGAUGACCCUACAAUUACUAUUAAUUUCUUCAUCUUUUACCGAUUAAAGUGUCCGAACAGUCGAAGUUACCCUUAUGCAUGUCAACUUGAUCACUUACCUCUUCAAUGGAGUUUAUGCUGGUUCAUUUAGGAACUGAUUUUUAUUGUUAUGUAUUAUAUGCUGAUGUUUAGGUCUCUCCAUCAUCACUAUAUACAAAAAUUCUAGGUUGAUACUAUAGGUUGAGAUUUAUUUUUUAAAUAAAAAAUAAUAAAAAUAAAAAUUAUGGUGAUGUUUAGUUGUUUUAUGGAAAAUUUUAACAAGUAAAAGUUAUUUUUGGGCAAGUUUUCAAACAAAAAGAAAAGUAAAAGUUGUUUUGACAAAAACAUAUAGAAAAAAAAAUCAUAGAAAAUAAAUAAUUUCCCCAUAUUCUAACUUUUUUGAAUUUUUCUCAAUGGGCAAAGGAAUAUCAAAUCAAGUUUGAGUAGGAUUUCUUAAUUUUUAAAAUAACUUACAAUUAAAAAAUUUUGGUGUUUUCAUUUUUGGACAAUUUUUUAUUAAGCAAAUGGACUCUGAGUCAUGCAAGAGAUAUGGUUCAUUAACCGGUCGAACAAUUUUUUUAAAUUAAUUUAAAAGUCAAAUACAUAAUCAAUUUCACAAAAUUUAUAAACAAAAAUAGGUUUAGAGAAGAUCUACACAUAAUUUUACUUUUCUAAUUUUAUUUUAUUUUAUUUUUUGUUGGAAAAUAGUCUUCAAAUCAUGUAAGAUUUAAUAGGUUAAAUUUGUUAACAAUAAAUUUUAAAUUAUAAAAUAUAAUCUGGAACUCAAAAAUCAAUUCAAGUAAUGCUAAAAAAAAAUCAAAUUUGGUAUAGAAUGACUUUGUAAAUUUUUUUACAAAACAAAUGAAUUUUAAAUCAAGUGAGAUUUAAUGCAUUAGAUUUUUAUCAAAUAUAGUAAUUUUAAAAAUAAAUUUGGAACUCAACAAUAGACACAAUAAAUACCAAAAAAUAAUGAACCAAAAUUGGUUUGGAAUAACUCCACAACCUUUUUUUUUUUUUUUUGGUGCACACGAAUUUUCUUACUAGGUAUAUUGCUUUCAAAUUGAGAAAGAUUUACCAUUUAGAUUUUUUUUUAAUGAGUUUAAUGGUAUUUUAAAAUAAUUCAAAAUUUAAAAAAUUGACUAAUUAAUAUUAUAAAUUGAUAAACCAAGACUAUUUCAAAAUGCAUUGGGGGCUAAGGGGGUUGAAAAUAGGGACAAUGGGAUGGGUUUGGGACAUGACACUCAUAUCUCAUUUCCAUUCCAAUUACACAGUUAUCUCCCAUCCUUAUCCCAAACUUGUGUUGGAGCAAGUUGAUUUGUUCCCAUCUUUGUUGACGAAAUGACUAAUAACCUCAUCCCCUCCUUAUCUUAGAUGUACAUUUUGUCAAAUUUGAUCAGGUAUGAUUGAUCCAAGCCCUAACCCUAAUUGGUAAUGAGUGAAUACUACACCUAAUUGCAUUCUUCUUUCAUUGCAAAAUAAUGAGAUUAUAAUAAUCUAGCAAAUAAGAAAAAAUAGUAUGGAAGUUCAAAUUAACACCAUAACUAUCAAUAAUUUUAAGCUUAUAGAUGACUUAAAUGAUUAAAAACUAAUGCAAAAUCCUAAAAAAAAUAAAAAUCAUAUAAAGAAUUCACAAGAGAACAGAAUGAACAAAAACCAAAUAUGAACAUGGGUCAACAUUAGUUAUGGAUUUGGAUUCCUUUCAAGGCCAAUCUUUGAACCAAGACUUCAUCAAAUCAACUACUUCAAAGGCUUUUGUGUUCUUCUUGGGUUGUGCUCUCAAACAAAGACUUCGAGGUGAUGUUCUAGAUGAUUGAAUUACACAUAUUUAGGGUGGAGAGAUUGGAGAAGCUUGAAGAUGCCAACGAUGGGUACAAUUGAGUGGUCAAUAAGAACAAUGUAGCCUAUGACUAGUUUGAUGUCAUGGUACAAGAGUUUUAGGCAUUGAGGUUAAAGCAAGAGCAACAUGGAAUUGAUUUCGGAGUCUUUCAGUUAGUGUAAAGGAGGAAGAAGUGGUGUUGAUUCUAGAAAUAGGGUUUUAAGUGGUGCGUGAUUACUACUCAAAAAGUGCUAUUUGAUAGCCUUUAAUUAAUCCUUUUUAACACUUUUGAGUAGUAGUUUAGGCCUUUUAACUCAAUUGGCAUGUUAAGGAUCCUUUAAAGCAAUUUUGAUCACUUUGUGCAAGUUUUGGUGUUUUUGUUAGUAUUUUGAUCACCAAAGCAAGUCAAGAAUGAGGAGAACUAUGAGGAAUCAUGGGCAAAGCUUAGAAUUCAAUUGCCAAGAGUGAAUCCGGAUUGCAAGGAGAAAAAGCAAAGAGAAUCUGUCAUGAAGCCUAUUCUUGAUGACAGUCGUAGCAGCCACUUUUGGAGCACUUUCUGAAGUCCAAAUGAUGCAAGCUAUAUACCAUUUCAAAGAUCAGGAAGUCAACAAUCCAAUGCUUCAAACGGUGCGCGAUUCGGAGUUGAAACGAAGAAGUUGCAGCCAUUACAAGCCAGUCACUCUAAAGUGUUGCGGAAUCAGCCUUUUGUUGCGAGAAUUUCGCAGCACUUUUGUACAGUAAGGUGUUUCUCCUUCUGACGAUGCACGAACCAUGCCGCGAGAGGGAAGCUAGGAACUUCAAGAUGGAAGCCAACUUUGCAGCCUGGUGAAGAUAGCUUGGUCUUGCGAAAUAAUUUCGCAGCCCUCUUGGGUGUCUGCGAAAUUUCGCAGGCACCACUUUUUUCCUGCGAAAUGGCUCCGGAAGCCUCCCGAAGCUUGCUACCGACAUUGGGAGAUAUUUUCCAUUAGAUUUUUGUUGUCUAAAUUCCAAAAUACUCCUUGUAAACCACCAAUUACAUGAUUCCUUAGUUUUUAAGUUAGUAAAAAGACCAAAUAUCUAUGUAAUAAUUAGUUUUAUAUUAGUUUGCUAUAAAUACCUCUCGGGAGCAUGUUCUCAGAGAGGAGUUCCUUCUGUAACCAUUUUGGUAAGCAAGUAAAGUCUUUUCUUUCUACUGCCUUACCUUCUCACUUUGUAUUUUCAUUUUAUUUCUAAGUUAUGAAUUCUCUGAGGAGCUUUCCCCAGAGAAUGAGUAACUAAACCUCCAAUUCCUUGGAGCUAAGGUUGCCGGGGAAGGUUCCAAGUGCAAGAAUGCAAAGCUCUGUGGUUUUAGCUAGUAAUGAAGAGGAAGUGAAAUCCUUUAGUGAUUUCAAUGUUUUUAGUUAACUUAAAACACCUUGGAGUCACCUGGGCCAACACUUGGUAAGGCAAGUGAUUUCCAACCGUGGAAAUGCACUAGUUUACCCCUUGCGAGCCUCUGGUAGGUGACUUCAAGGUAGGAUUUUCUGGAAUUACCAACACUUGGUAAGCUUUUGGACUCCUAGGAGACAUCCAUUAGUUAUCUCUUGCGAGUUUGUGAAGGGGAAUCCAAGGUUAAAGAUCACCUUGAAUGGUAAGUGCUCGUGAGAGGCAUGAACCAUUGCAAGUUGUAUCAGUGAGAGAAUUAAAGUGAAAUCUAAUUGAAGGAGUCUCUGUACAUCACCGGUUAGAGAAUUGACUAUAAGUUGAAUCUCUAAUGCGAGGAAAUGAACCAUCUGACCGGAGCUAUGUCUUUUGCAUGAGGAACCACCCCAGUGAACCUAAAUCUCCAAGGAAUGCUUUUCUUCCUAAAUUAUUCCAAACUUCUGUUAAGUUAGUUAGUUUAAGUCUAAACCUUUACCAAUCAAACUUUGUGUUUUAUUUCUUAAGCUAACCGUGAAAUGAAACAAAACCAAUUCACUUGGAAUUGGUAUCCUUGAUUGCUUGCAAAUCAUUCCCAGUGAACGAUCCUUAGAGCCACUAUACUAUAGUAGCUUUGUAUUUGCUACCCUAGUGUAUGGUGUUAUAGGUAUAAAUUUUGUUGAUCACUUCCUCAAUCAAGGAACACCAGCUGAACACAAAUCAGCUGAGACACCAAUUGGGCAUGAGUCAAAUGGCGCCGUUGCCGGGGAAUGAGUGUCAAGAUCAUUGUGAUACCAUUUUUGAGCACUUGUGAUUUUCAUCACAAGUUGGUAAAGUUUCUUUCACUUUACUAAUUUUCAUUCUCUCUUUGUUUAUUUACAAUCUAAGUUUAUCUUUUUAAAAUUUAGUCUAGUUUAAUUUUGCUAUUGUAGCCUUGUUUCUCUUGUUGUCCUCUGUUCUUGUUGUCCUCUGUUUUCAUUUUAGUUGCAGCUGAAUACUAGUUGUGUAUGCCAAAGUGGAUACGAGACAUUGGAGGUAGGCUUAUUAAGUGUGAUACACCUCAGAGAGGAGAAUUGGAAGUAAUCUUGAAUAUCAUGGAGGCUGCACCUGAAGAUCAGCAUAGUCACCAAGGUCGUCAAGACAAUCUCAAUGAAUUCAGAUCAAUGAGGGACCGUAUGCAUCCACCUCGUAUGAGUGCACCAUCAUGUAUAGUGCCCCCUACAGAGCAACUAGUGAUCAGACCAUAUCUUGUUCCACUUCUACCAACUUUCCAUGGGAUGGAAAGUGAGAAUCCGUAUGCACACAUCAAGGAAUUUGAAGAUGUUUGUAAUACAUUCCAAGAGGGAGGAGCUUCAAUUGAUUUGAUGAGGCUUAAGUUAUUUCCUUUUAAUUUAAAGGAUAAGGCCAAAAUUUGGCUUAAUUCUUUAAGGCCAAGGAGUAUCCGCUCUUGGACUGAUUUACAAGCUGAAUUCCUCAAGAAAUUUUUUCCUACUCAUAGAACAAAUGGCUUGAAAAGGCAAAUUUCAAACUUCUCAGCUAAAGAGAAUGAGAAAUUCUAUGAGUGUUGGGAAAGAUACAUGGAAGCUAUAAAUGCUUGUCCUCACCAUGGCUUUGAUACUUGGCUACUGGUGAGUUAUUUUUAUGAUGGUAUGUCCUCCUCAAUGAAGCAACUCCUCGAGAAAAUGUGUGGAGAAGAUUUCAUGAGCAAAAAUCCAGAGGAAGCUAUGGAUUUCUUGAGCUAUGUAGCUGAUGUUUCAAGGGGAUGGGAUGAACCAACUAAAGGAGAAGUGGGAAAGAUGAAGUCUCAGUUGAAUGCUUACAAUGCAAAGGCUGGGAUGUAUACUUUAAAAGAGGAUGAUGACAUGAAAGCAAAGUUGGCAGCUAUGACAAGAAGAUUGGAGGAGCUGGAGCUGAAAAGAAUGCAUGAAGUGCAAGCUGUUGCUGAAGCACCAGUGCAAGUGAAGUUGUGUCCCAAUUGUCAAUCGUUUGAACAUUUGGUAGAGGAAUGCCCUGCAAUUUCAGCUGAAAGGGAAAUGUAUAGAGAUCAAGCAAAUGUUGUUGGACAAUUCAGGCCCAAUAACAAUGCUCCUUAUGGAAAUACCUACAAUUCAAGUUGGAGGAAUCAUCCAAAUUUUUCAUGGAAGGCCAGAGCAACUCAAUACCAACAGCCGGAUCCACCAUCUCAACAAUCUUCAAGUAUUGAACAAAUAAUAGCUAAUCUCAGCAAGGUAGUGGGAGAUUUUGUGGGAAAGCAAGAAGCCACCAAUGCUCGAGUGGAUCAAAGAAUGGACAGAGUGGAUCAAAGAAUGGACAGAAUGGAGAGUAUGUUGAACAAAAGAAUGGAUGGAAUGCAAAAUGAUAUGAAUCAAAAAUUUGAUAACAUCCAAUAUUCAAUUUCAAGGCUUACAAAUUUGAAUACACUGCAAGAAAAGGGAAGAUUUCCUUCUCAACCUAACCAAAAUCCCAAAGGUGUCCAUGAAGUGGAAAGCCAUGAGGGAGAAUCAUCACAGGUGAAAGAUGUGAAAGCUUUGAUCACUCUAAGGAGUGGUAAGAAAAUUGAGCAGCCAACACCCAAGCCACAUGUUGAGAAAGAAGAAGAGAUGAAGAAAGGGAAGGAAAUGGAAGAUAAAGGCAGUGAGAUCAGUGAAGAAAAGAAGGACUCUGAUGCAACAAUGAAAGUAAUUCCAGAGAAGGAGCUUCUGAAGGAAGAAAUGCUGAAGAAAUCAACUUUUCCACCUUUUCCUCAAGCAUUACAGGGGAAAAAGGGGGUUAGAAAUGCAGCUGAAAUCCUAGAAGUAUUGAGGCAAGUGAAAGUUAAUAUUCCACUGCUGGAUAUGAUCAAACAAGUUCCAACGUAUGCAAAAUUCCUAAAGGACUUGUGUACUAUCAAAAGAGGGUUGACUGUAAACAAGAAAGCCUUCUUGACUGAGCAAGUAAGUGCAAUCUUACAGUGUAAGUCUCCUUUGAAGUACAAAGACCCUGGAAGUCCUACCAUUUCAGUCAUGAUUGGAGGAAAGGUAGUGGAGAAAGCCUUGCUAGACUUGGGAGCAAGUGUGAAUUUGCUUCCAUAUUCUGUCUACAAGCAACUGGGACUUGGAGAGUUGAAGCCAACAGCAAUCACUUUGUCUCUGGCAGAUAGAUCAGUGAAAAUUCCAAGAGGGGUAAUUGAGGAUGUAUUGGUUCAAGUAGAUAAUUUCUACUAUCCUGUAGAUUUUGUUGUUCUUGAUACAGAUCCUACUGUAAAGGAAGCUAAUUUAGUUCCUAUCAUCCUUGGAAGGCCAUUUCUUGCAACUUCAAAUGCAAUCAUCAACUGUAGAAAUGGGCUUAUGCAACUCACUUUUGGUAACAUGACACUGGAUCUAAAUAUUUUCUAUAUGUCUAAAAAGCAAAUCACUCCAGAAGAAGAAGAGGGUCCAGAAGAGCUAUGUAUUAUUGAUACUUUGGUGGAGGAGCACUGCAAUCAACAUAUGCAAGAUAAGUUGAAUGAAAGUUUUGUGGAUAUUGAGGAAGGUUUUUCUGAAUCUCCUAAUGGGCUUGCUACUCUACAAAGUUGGAGAAAGAUAGAAGGAAUUCUACCUUUGUUCAAUGAAGAAGAGGAGGCAGCUGUUGAAAAAGAAAUUCCAAAACUCAAUCUGAAGCCUUUACCUAUGGAGCUGAAAUAUACAUAUCUUGAAGAAAAUAAUCAAUGUCCUGUCGUAAUAUCUUCAUCUCAAACCAAGUCUCAAGUGAAGGAUGCAAGCUUCAAAUGGGAUCCGGGCAAACUGAAUCAGGAAGGGCAAAAAGUUUUGAUGUAUGACACAAGACUCCAUAUCUUUCCUGGGAAGCUCAAGUCAAGGUGGAUUGGUCCAUUUGUUAUUCACCGAGUAUAUUCCAAUGGAGUGGUGGACUUAUUGAAUUCCAAUGGCAAGGACAGCUUUAGAGUCAAUGGAUAUCGUCUUAAGCCGUUCAUGGAGUCAUUCAAAUCAGAAAAGGAGGCAAUCAACCUCCUUGAACCUCAAAAAGCCUAAGUGAAAUGGGUUUGCUGGACGUGGUUUUACCACAGUCCAAAAAUUUUUGUAAAUUUUGUAAAUUUUCAAGUUGUUUCCAUGCUUUUAAUCUUAGUUUUUGAUUUUAAAUCAUGUUUUUAGGUGUGUUUUAAUCGUUUUAUAUGAUCCCAGGCGGAAGAAAUUUCAAGGGGAUUGAAAAGAAAAAAAUCGGGUCGAAAUUGGAGCCGAAACAGAGCAAAAACAGGGGAAAAACAGAGCUCUGCGAAAUUUCGCAGGGUGAAGGAAACUUCUGCGAAAUUGGCAUUUUGCUGCCAAACCAUUCCGCAGCACUGUAGAAGCCUCUGCGAGUGUAUUUCGCAAUUGCGAAAGUGGAUUUGGCACACGAGUGCCACUUCGCAGCACAGUGACAUCAAUUUCGCAGCUGCGAAACUCACUGCGAAGUUGCUGCGAAAAUGGCAAGUUGCUGCGAAAUUGGCGUUUUGUUGCGAAACGUAAUCUGACCCCUGGGCUUCCGUUUUUCCUAUUUAUACCUGUCAAAAGUGCUGCGAAAAAGGUUUCAAAAAUUAGAGCACCAUUCUCGCAGCCCUUUCAUCUUCUUCGCCAAGCCACGCCGUCCGUUUCUCCGGUCGUCUUCUCCGUUUAGCAGCGCCGGCCAAAGAUCGAUAGCCCAAAAAUGGCACGAACGCGAGGGGCAAAGUCUUCAUCCCCUUCGAACCGCAAAAGGAGUCUGCGAAAGGAGCCAAGUUCAGGCUCUGUUCCAGAACCUGCUCCAAAGCCUUCGCCGUCGAGACCACAACCUUCUCCAGUGAAGCCGGCGCCACCAAAGCCGCCGGCAAGGCGAUAUUUAACCAGGUCAGGUGGUCAGCCAUUGAAGAAGAAAGCCAGAGUUGAGAGCUCUGAACCAAUCGAUUUGACUGAGCAAUCCCCUGAGAAAUCACCAAAUCCUUCACCGGUACAAAUUCCAGUGCCAUCACCGGUUCCCUCGCCAAUUCCCUCACCAGAAGCAACUCCAAUUCCAUCGCCGGUACCAUCUCCGGCACCCCAAGAAAAAGCUCAGGAGCCUCAAGCGCCAAUUCCAGAGCCCCAAAUUGCAGCUGAAGCACCUCUGGAAGAAGUGAUCCGAAGGCCAAUGCUGCCUCAGCCCCCAAUCGAAGGAAACCUGGAUUGCCGAACUCGGGCAUUCCAUUCUGAGCUUUGCUUCGAUUUAACAGCAUUCAGAGUGAGGCCAGAGCUUGCCCAAUCCUUCCAACUGCUGAGGAGAUAUCAUAUGGAGCAUCUGCUAGCUCCAAGGGAUUUUUUCUAUCCCCGGGUAGUCACGGAUUUCUACCAAACCAUGACAACCAAAGAAGUAAGAAAUCCAACUCUGAUUCAUUUCAUAAUUGAUGGAAGGCAUGGUAUUUUGGGAGCAAGACAUAUUGCUGAAGCCCUGCAAAUUCCUUUUGAGCCAACUCAAUUCGACAAUUUUAAAGCUUGGACAAAUCCUACUGAGUUAGAGAUGGUUAGCACACUAACCAGAGGAGCUGCAAAUCGAUCGCAUUUGUUGAGGGGGGAGCUACCUCCAGUUAUGUUUUUGAUUGAUGCCUUUUUGAGGCAUAAUAUCUAUCCCCUGCAGCAUUGGACCCAAAGAAGGGGAAUUCUCCUAGAAGCCUUGUACAAAAUGUCUGAAGGAUUCUUCUUUGGGCCUCAUCAUCUGAUCAUGGCAGCCCUUCUAUACUUUGAGGAGAAGGUUCACAAGAAGAAGCUUCAAAGAGCAGAUUGCAUUCCACUCCUCUUCCCAAGGCUGCUAUGCCAAGUUUUGGAGCAUCUCGGAUACCCCUCUGAGCCUCAGCAGGAAAGAAAGAGAAUAUGCCGUGAGCCUUUUACCCUUGAUAAAUGGAAUAAUAUGACGGCCUACAAAAUUGAUCAGCCUGGGCAGCCUCAGCCAGCAGCAAGGAGAGUCUCCCCAAGACAUAUACCUGAAGGUAUAACACUUGCUACUCCUGCCAUCCCUCGAGCUCCACCAGCUGCACCUGCUCCAUCACAGCCAUCCACAUCAGCUGAGCCGAGGAUGGCCAUCCCUAUAUCCGAAUAUCGAGAGCUGUGCCGUGCAUUGGAGACUCUUACAGCUUCUCAGAGCAAUCUUGCUCAGGAGUUGGCAGCCAUUAAAGCAUGCCAGGAGCAGAUGUUAGCCUCUCAGACUCAACAAGCUGCCAUCCUAAGGCAGCUUCAAGUCCAUUUCGAUCUGCCACAAGCUGUAGAGCCCUCUAUUCCUACUCCACCAGAGCCACACUCUCAGCCUUCAGAGUCUCAUCCUCCAGAACCCGAAGCACCAGCUGAUCCACCUACUGAGGAGGCAGAUCCUUCUGCCUAGCACCAUCACCCCCCUCAUCAGACAUUAUAUAUAUAUUUGCUGUUUAUGUUUUUAUGCAUGUUUGUUUUGUUUUAGUUGAAAAGAAAUCCCAGUAUUUUGGUACUAUAUAUGGGAUUCCUUGUGUUACUUGUCUUUAGUAUUGUAAUCACAUGAACUCAAAGUAAUACAAGUUGACUAUUUCUUGUUAAAAGUUAGCAUUAAAGUUUCCUUAUUUCCUUUUCUCACAUAUUCUAUUCUUUUUGAAACAUGUGGUUUUCCCCAAUCAAUAUUCGAAUUUGAUAUCAGCAUGGAGGUACCACUUCCUCCCUUUUAUUACAGUCACUCAAAUCACAUUGAGGACAAUGCUCAGUUCGGUUGGGGGGUAUGAGGAAGGAAGUAUUCUAAACCUUUUUGGUAUUGCAAUUAUAUUGGUUAAUUAGUUGUAGAUUUUACUUUUUACUAGUGUUACUCUAUUCUCCAUGAAUUUUGAGGAAAAAUUUUCAAAUUAAACCAAGAGAAAUUGAACUGUUGUUUUUCACUUGACUUAGAGUAUGGAUUAUGCUUACUAAAGUGGUUCAAUUGUUGAAACUUCUACUGAAAUUGAAUUGAGUUCUUCCACUUUAAGCUAUCCACACACUGUGCACAUUAGUUUCCGAUUAUAAGAUGAAAAGCUAUUUCCCUCUUGACUUAGUAUAUUUUUGGGACUUGGUAUAUUUGACCUCAUUUGAUAAAAAUUGAAACACCCUGCAAAAGGCCAAUGAGCCUUUGAAAUAAAGAAAGUUGUUUGCUUGCCUUGAAACCCGAGCAAGGUCUGAGGGGUAUAUGGUGAAAAUCUUUAAAGCCUGGUGCCCUAAGCCUUAAUUGGUUGGGAGUCACCGACCUCAAUGCUCGUUACAAGGGUGAAUAGGUAGAGUUAGCAUAUGGUAGAUGCUUGGGUAUUAGAAAUUCAUUCUUAAAAGUCCGGGGAAAAAUCCGAGGAGUUAGUGGUUGAAAGAUCCUUAAAACUUGGUGCCCUAAACCUUAAUUGGUUGGGAGUCAUCGAUGGACCCCCAUUACAUGGACAAGUCAGAAAGAGUACCCCAUAAAGCUACCUUAAAAAAAAAAAAAAAAAAAAAAAAAAAAAAAAAGAUGAAAGUGUGUUCUUUUCUUAUUGAUUUUGGUCAGUUUGCUAAAGUGUUGAAAAGAGAUAGGUUGGGGGGUGAGAUUAGUAGCAUAUUAUUCUCGGAACCUAAGGAACCAAUACACAUAGAUUUUUGUGGAAGAUUGAAGUUUAGUUCUUAGAAAAUGAAAUGAUUUUAAAACUUCAGUUUGCAUAAUGCACUCCCUUGAUUGACAGUGUUUAGCAUAGGUGUUAUGACUCUUGUUGAGAUUUGGGUUUGUAUUUCUUUAAUGAUUCAUGUGAGAAAUAGAUCAUCAUGCCACUUGAGAAUUAUUUUCCUUUUAGCAUGAUGUUGUAAAUUUUAGAUUAGUUUGCUAUUUAUUUUUUAUUUUCUCUCCUAUAUUGCUAAGGGACUAGCAAUAUGUCGGUUGGGGGGAGUGAUUACUACUCAAAAAGUGCUAUUUGAUAGCCUUUAAUUAAUCCUUUUUAACACUUUUGAGUAGUAGUUUAGGCCUUUUAACUCAAUUGGCAUGUUAAGGAUCCUUUAAAGCAAUUUUGAUCACUUUGUGCAAGUUUUGGUGUUUUUGUUAGUAUUUUGAUCACCAAAGCAAGUCAAGAAUGAGGAGAACUAUGAGGAAUCAUGGGCAAAGCUUAGAAUUCAAUUGCCAAGAGUGAAUCCGGAUUGCAAGGAGAAAAAGCAAAGAGAAUCUGUCAUGAAGCCUAUUCUUGAUGACAGUCGUAGCAGCCACUUUUGGAGCACUUUCUGAAGUCCAAAUGAUGCAAGCUAUAUACCAUUUCAAAGCUCAGGAAGUCAACAAUCCAAUGCUUCAAACGGUGCGCGAUUCGGAGUUGAAACGAAGAAGUUGCAGCCAUUACAAGCCAGUCACUCUAAAGUGUUGCGGAAUCAGCCUUUUGUUGCGAGAAUUUCGCAGCACUUUUGUACAGUAAGGUGUUUCUCCUUCUGACGAUGCACGAACCAUGCCGCGAGAGGGAAGCUAGGAACUUCAAGAUGGAAGCCAACUUUGCAGCCUGGUGAAGAUAGCUUGGUCUUGCGAAAUAAUUUCGCAGCCCUCUUGGGUGUCUGCGAAAUUUCGCAGGCACCACUUUUUUCCUGCGAAAUGGCUCCGGAAGCCUCCCGAAGCUUGCUACCGACAUUGGGAGAUAUUUUCCAUUAGAUUUUUGUUGUCUAAAUUCCAAAAUACUCCUUGUAAACCACCAAUUACAUGAUUCCUUAGUUUUUAAGUUAGUAAAAAGACCAAAUAUCUAUGUAAUAAUUAGUUUUAUAUUAGUUUGCUAUAAAUACCUCUCGGGAGCAUGUUCUCAGAGAGGAGUUCCUUCUGUAACCAUUUUGGUAAGCAAGUAAAGUCUUUUCUUUCUACUGCCUUACCUUCUCACUUUGUAUUUUCAUUUUAUUUCUAAGUUAUGAAUUCUCUGAGGAGCUUUCCCCAGAGAAUGAGUAACUAAACCUCCAAUUCCUUGGAGCUAAGGUUGCCGGGGAAGGUUCCAAGUGCAAGAAUGCAAAGCUCUGUGGUUUUAGCUAGUAAUGAAGAGGAAGUGAAAUCCUUUAGUGAUUUCAAUGUUUUUAGUUAACUUAAAACACCUUGGAGUCACCUGGGCCAACACUUGGUAAGGCAAGUGAUUUCCAACCGUGGAAAUGCACUAGUUUACCCCUUGCGAGCCUCUGGUAGGUGACUUCAAGGUAGGAUUUUCUGGAAUUACCAACACUUGGUAAGCUUUUGGACUCCUAGGAGACAUCCAUUAGUUAUCUCUUGCGAGUUUGUGAAGGGGAAUCCAAGGUUAAAGAUCACCUUGAAUGGUAAGUGCUCGUGAGAGGCAUGAACCAUUGCAAGUUGUAUCAGUGAGAGAAUUAAAGUGAAAUCUAAUUGAAGGAGUCUCUGUACAUCACCGGUUAGAGAAUUGACUAUAAGUUGAAUCUCUAAUGCGAGGAAAUGAACCAUCUGACCGGAGCUAUGUCUUUUGCAUGAGGAACCACCCCAGUGAACCUAAAUCUCCAAGGAAUGCUUUUCUUCCUAAAUUAUUCCAAACUUCUGUUAAGUUAGUUAGUUUAAGUCUAAACCUUUACCAAUCAAACUUUGUGUUUUAUUCCUUAAGCUAACCGUGAAAUGAAACAAAACCAAUUCACUUGGAAUUGGUAUCCUUGAUUGCUUGCAAAUCAUUCCCAGUGAACGAUCCUUAGAGCCACUAUACUAUAGUAGCUUUGUAUUUGCUACCCUAGUGUAUGGUGUUAUAGGUAUAAAUUUUGUUGAUCACUUCCUCAAUCAAGGAACACCAGCUGAACACAAAUCAGCUGAGACACCAAUUGGGCAUGAGUCAGUGCGUUAGAGGAUCAAGAAGAAGAAAAAGAAGGAACUGUUGGAAUUAGUAUGAGUGUGAAGAGAAAAGUAUAUAAAUAAGGGGAAGUAAAAGCAAAGUUCAAAAAGCUAUAUUUUUUUAUUGUUGGUGUAUGGUUGCAUGAUUAUCCCUAUAAAUAAUAGGAGUUUUUUGGUAUUCUACUAGUAGUUGAAGCAUAAUUUCAUAAAUUAAUAUUUAGAGCGGGGUGGGGUGAGUUGUGACAAAAUUCAUACCCGUCCCAAACCUUGGUUCAGAUUUUUAAAAUAUUCUCAAACUUAUCAUAUACCCAACUUUUAUAUUUCAUACUUGUCCUAAUAGAGGCACGUUAGGCCGGGUUACUUGAGUAACCUACAUAAUUGUCAUCCCUAGUUGAAAUACACUUUUUGGCAGUGGCCACCAACUGAGCUAGAAGCUUGAUUGAUUGACCUACAAGAUUAGUUCUCAUCAUUUUAAAAAAAGUUCUGGCUUUGGUUGUGAGUGCAAUUGAAUCUAAACUGGCAUUUGCUUAAUGCAUCUACUUCAAUCCUAAACUUCUUACUUCUUAAGCCUCAAUUGUUGUUAGGAUUUUGGAAAACCCAUUUCCUUAAAUUGUAAAUUUAAGAUAAAAUAAAAUAAAAGUGAGACAUUUCUUGAUUGAAUAUUGUUAAAGGUCCCUUGGCAUUAAGACUUGGUUGAAGCCUUGGAAGAUUAGUGGAACUCUCAACAUGUGUUUGAAUCUUGAGGAGAGUGGAUGUAAGCCAAAAUUUUGUCAAACCAUUAUACAAAUUGAGUUUGAAUCCUCAUUUCUUGAUUUCUUAUUUAUUUGCUUUUUCUUAUUAUUACUUGAAUUGUCAUUUGCAUUCAUUAAUGUUAAAAUUGGUUAUAAUUAACCAACACUAAUUCUCUUUCCCCUUCCCUUUCUUGGGUGUAAACCUAGGUUGGAUUAACUAGAUAAAUCUAUUAAGAUGGUAAAAGAAUAAUUAUUCUUAACAUACAUAAGAUCAUCUUCAAUCAAAUGACUCAUUGGCUAAUAUGUUGAAUUUGCUUAUUACUUGCAACUCAAAAUUGUGUUCUAGUUGUGUCAAGUCCCCAGUGUAUGGACAUUAAAUUUGUAGUACGUGAUGAGUAAUUAGAUGGUCCAACUCCAAGAAAGUGAUUGAAAAGUAGUUCAAGAAAGGUGCAAAAGGGAAUUGUUUUGGUAUUUUCGUUUUUAUUCUUGAAGGUGGCAGAGCUAAAAUUUGAGAAAUCAAGCAAAACAUACUGAAAUUACAUUGAAAGAAAGAAGAUGGGAGUUAAUGUCUUGCAGUACAUGAUAAGGACUUCAUGCAUGUAGUGUGACCCAUGUCUUGGACUGAUGCCAACUCACGGUUACACUUAUACCCUUGGUUCUCUCUUUACUACCUUGGCUAACCUAGAUCAGGCUAUGAGAUAGGCUCCUCACCACACCAUUACUUGCCCAUUAAUUAGAGACAUUUUCAAGCAAUGAGGUAACAUGGUGACACCAAGAGGGUCUAUUCCUCGCCCGGAACAAGUCUAGACUUGGUCUCAAAAAAAUGGAGAAAAAUGAGGUGUCGUUAUGUAGAAAUACAACAACCAUGCCUUCCUCAUUACUUAGAUUCAGAAUGUGAAGGUGAAAUUGAGAAACAGAAACUCUUGAAACCAAAAUGAAAAUUGAUACUUUUACGAAGAAUUACAACAACAUUAGAGGAAGACUACAUUCUUCCUCUUUAUUCCUACAUUUCUACACUACUUCUACUCCACUCCAUAUUUCUACAUACAUCUUUAAUCAGUCUUCCCUCCUUUAUAUAGAGCCAUCUUCACACAAAUUUCGCAAGGUAGAAAAGAGGAAUGAAACUUGGAGCAAGGUUCGACUACUGGUUGUAGCUUGUCAAGGCUGGAAGUGAACUUUUCUUGGCUUUCUGGGCAUGGGUAGUAACUUGUGGGUUCCUGUUUGGCAUAAAAAUGGCUAGAACAUGUGGCACUAUCUUGUUGGAUGAUGUGUCAAGCAUGUGGCAGCCAUCUAGUGGCGAUUAUGUCAAUUUUGGGAUGGAGAGUUGGCAUCCAAUUGCAAAGAAAUAUGACGUCUACCAACAUGCAAUGUAAACCUAUGUAGAUCAUAUGAAGAUAGAGAGGAAAAAUAUAGAAAUGGAUAUAUACCUAGAACUAGCUUUUUAUUAAAUGAAACGGAGAGACAACAAUGAAGGAAAAUAAAAUUUUUUGGCUUAUAUCAAAGAGUUCACAUUGUGUUACCCUAGGUUUUCUUAAAACUUACUUUUAUGAUAACAAAAAAGAAAAAACCAUUAUUGUUUAAUCCUUUGUUUUAAACGCAUGUAAGGUGUAAUUAAGUUAGUUCAAUGCAUUAAUUUAAGAAACUUGACCUAUCAAAAGUACAAAAUUAGAUGAAAUCCAUUUCAAUGGUUAAAAUGAUCAAAAUCAAACUUUUUCUAAGUAUUUUUUAAAAGCAUCAAUAGUGAAAGACAAUUUUAUAUUUAGUCGGAGUUUGGACAAAACUGAAAAACACACAAAAUCCAAGCGACCAUCUCUAGCUUGGAUGGUCGCUUGAUCCCACCUAGAGAUGUGCAUGAGUAAAAGGAUUUGAAAAUGGAAAUUGACUAUGUAGUCGAUCAAUUAACUUUGCAACAUCAUAUGCAAUCCUAAUUGCUAGUCAUCUAAUCAAUUAGGUAGUCAAUCAACAGGCCAAAAAUAUGUUUAUAAUGACUAUUUUGUACAAAAACCACCUGUAUAGUUAAAUAUAAUGCAUUUCAUUUAUAAAUCUUCUAAUUCUUGAAUAACGAUCCUAUCAUCCUUUGAAAGUUUUUAUUACACUUUUUUUACUUUUGUUCUAAAACUUACACAUCACCCUUAAUUGUACCAUGAGAACCUAGCUAUUUUUUAUUUUUUUUUUUGUAAUUCAUCAAAGUUAGCUUUUGUAUUCAUUGUUGUAUUAUUUUUAGUAUAACUUAGAAAGCUAGUGUUUUCAAGUGAGUAAAAUUAACUUGUAAAUAUUGUAAAGAUUCAUCGACAUGUAUCUUAAACUAAGUGUACAAGUUAAAACAUUUGCUAGUAGAUUUUCUCAAAAUUUAGAAUAGAGCUUGAGACUAUUGAAAUAGGUGGGGUUGCACCAAACCACAUCACAUCGUUGUUUGCACCUUUUUUCACUCUCUUUUACUUAGUUGCUCUAUAUUUGUUGUCUAGUAAUAUCCUAUAGGCUUGAUGGGUUAGGGAGCAUCCCUUUGUGAAAAAAUUUUAUUCAAUCCUUAGUUGUAUCACGCAUAUAUAAAAUGCCUCAUUGUUUUAAUGGUAUUCAGUCGUGGCAUCACAGAUAUGGGCAUCUAAAUUUUAAAAGUUUGAAACUUUUAUCUAAAGAAAAUAUGGUGCUUUGCCUUUUUGUAAAGCAUGUUGAUGAAAUCCAUGAGAAUUGUGUACUUGGGAAGCAACACCGAGAUGACUUUUUUUUUUUUUUUAUAAUAUUGUUUGUCCAAAUUCCCUACAAAUUAGGCCACCAGAUGUUCAUAAUUCUCCCUUCUUGAAUUUGAAAACUCGGACAAUUGGACAAUGCGACACCUAAGUCCGGUUUCUAAAUGCUAAAGUGAAAGGGUAGGUAUGGACCAUUGAAAUGUGAUCACAACUUUUCUCUGUAGCCAUGUUGUCUCUUUUUUCUUUUGCAUGAUUUUCUUACCUUAACAGAAUCAUAGACUUGUUUAGUCUCUAAAUGGGAUUAAUUUCAUCCAGCUUUAAGCUACUAUAUUAUAUCUAGGUGGAGGACUUUUAAGAGUGCAACCGACAUAGAGCACAUGGAAGUGGGUAUAUGGGACAUGAAAUUUCUUCUUAUAAAGAUUGCAUGAUUUUUAUAUUAGAGUUGUUGAGGCGCUAUGUAUUUAGCUUGUUUUGCAGUUAAAUUAAUUGGAUAAGUAGACAUUGGCGUUUCUAAAUCUACUGUGAAGUGCUUCAUGUACGUGUGAAGUAUUAGAAAUUUCUUUCUUGGCAACUUGUUUUUCUUUGCGGUCUACUGAUAGGUUUGACUAAAAUUAUAUUCCCUGUCAUGCUAAUUAAUUUUCACGUGCAUGCUCAAAAGAAAAGUAUGACCUUAGUGCACCAAAAUCACUUUGAUUAAUUUGUGAUAGGUUUUUGUGCAUCAUGACAUUAGCCUUAUUCAUUUAGAUAAUGUUUAGUUUUUAGAAAGUAUUAAGAAAAGGAAAAUAAAUAUUAAGAAAAAUAUUCUUAUAUUUGAUUGUAUUAUGAAAAAUAUCAUAAAAAAAUCAAAUAUAAUUUAAAUUAAUUAAUAAUUUAUACAUUUUCAAAUUAUUUAAUCUUUAUAUUGAAGAUAUAAUAUAAAUGAAAUGAGUUUUAAGUAUUAUAUAAAAGUGAUUUAUUGAUCUUACAUAUAUAUAUUUCUUUUUUUUUUCCUUCUAUUUUUUCUCUUUAUUUUAUUUUCCUUAUGUUUUCCUCAACAUUUUCCGGAACCAAACAUAGCCUUAGGAAAUCCACAAUUACCUUCAACUGAGUAGAUUCUGUUGUUUUAGCAAUGUUAGGCUGCUAACUUGUGUUGGUACGAACCUAUUAAGCCUAAAGAUGUAAUUAGUUAGGAUAUUCUUUUCCCUCUAGUCUUGUAGCUCCACGUGUACAGUUGGUUAGGACCUCAUUGUAUAUAAUGCUUGCCCUGUUAUUGUAGAAGACAACAAAGAUAAAUAAUAUUAACAUUUUUCCUCUCAUCUCUCUCUGUUUCCCUCUGUUUUCAUCUCCUCUCUCAUCUUGGUAUCAGAGCCUCCAUGGCUUCUUUCAAAGAAACCUCCGAAUCACCUUCUGCUAGCAUUGUUAAUGUGCAAAACCCAUUAUCUCAAUCAAACAACCUUCCUUCACCAGUAGCCACACCCUCUUUUUCUUUCUCGUCUAUGAAUCAACCUCUCACAGUGAAGCUGGAUAAUGGGAACUACCUCAUAUGGAAGAAUUAGCUUCUAAAUGUCAUCAUUGCUAACGGACUCGAUGAUUUCAUUGACGGAUCUCGACCCUGCCCUCCUCGAUUUCUCGAUCUGCAACAACAAACCCUCAAUCCAGAGUACUCAGCUUGGCAGAGAUACAAUCGACUUCUGAUGAGUUGGCUGUACGCAUCCUUGUCCAAAGAUAUAAUGGCUCAGAUUGUUGGGUAUUCAACAGCUAUGGAGAUUUGGAAUGCCCUUAAUCAGAUUUACUCUGCCUCUUCUAUGGCGCGGUUUACUGAGCUUCGCACCAAGCUUCAAACGCUCAAGAAAGAUGGACUCUCAGUUGGUGAAUAUAUUCAAAGGCUCAAAUCCAUUUGCAAUAGUCUUGCAGCAAUAGGAGAACCAGUUUCUGAGAAAGACCAUCUUAUCUAUUUGUUCAAUGGAUUAGAUUGUGAGUAUUAUUCUUUUGUUACCUCCAUUCAAAAUCGAUCUGACCAACCAACUAUUGACAAAAUCCAUAGCCUAUUGCUUAGCUAUGACUUCCGGCUUGAACAACAAAACUCUGUUUCUCUCCAUUCUGCCCAAGUCCAUAUGGCUCAUCUGAACAAGAAACCUUAUAAAUCAACUCCUCAACCUACAUUCAAUCAUAUUCACAUUCAACCUAGAUACUCUUCUCCACCUUUUAAGCCAACCACUAGUCAAUAUCAACCCAACAUUUUGGGCAAACCACAACCACAACCAUGACAGCCUCAACCUCAAUGGAAACCACAUUUUUCAAUCUAAAAUCAAAAGCCUCAGCGCCAAAUUUGUGGUAAAUUUGGACACACUGCUCUUAUUUGCUUCCAUCACACAAAUUUGAACUAUUCACCCCAACCUUCUCCUAAAUCUUUCAAUACUGUUCUCACCACAAAUUCCCAGCUCCCUAAUCCUCCAAAAUUUUCUUACCCUACAAUGGCUCAUCCUGCUGCUACGCAUAACACGGUUCCCGAUACAAAUUGGUACAUGGACUCAGGUGCUACACAUCACUUUACUCUGGACAUCAACGUGCUUGACACUGUGACACCAUUUAGUGGUUCAGAACAGGUGACAGUUGGGAAUGGUAAGCAACUCUGUAUCUCACAUCUUGGUACUGCAAAACUACCAUCUUCGUAUUCUCCUCCUGUUCUACAUCAGGUAUAUCACACUCCAAAAAUUUCAAAUAAUCUUAUUAGUGUUAAAAAAUUGUGUUCUGAUAAUAAAGUUUUUGUUGAAUUUUAUGCCACUCAUUUUCUUGUCAAGGAUCAGGUUUCGAAGAGAGUUCUCCUUUAGGGUCAACUUGAUAAUGGCUUAUACAAAGUUCAGUCGUCAUGCUCUCCUUCUGCUGUUUCCUUUCCUCCUCAAGUUUUCAUAGCCAACAUCAAGUAUCCAAAUCUGUGGCACAAGAGACUAGGCCACCCAGCUUUAUCUGUUGUUAAUCAAAUCUUGGAUUCUUGUAACAUUGCUCGAACACAGAAAAUUUGUUUUAAUUUUUUAAAUUCUUGUCAAUUAGCAAAGAGCCACAGGCUUCCUUUUUCUCUGUCUCCAUCCAUUGCAGAAAAACCUUUUGAGUUAAUUCAUACAGACCUAUGGGGUCUUUCGCUCGUUCGCUCUAUUUCUGGUGCUCUUUAUUUUUUACUUUUCAUUGAUGAUCAUACUCGUUUUACUUGGUUUUAUUUGCUCAAAACAAAAGAUGAAGCAUAUCCUACUUUUCUCAAGUUUCAAGCUCUCAUUGAAAAUCAAUUUAAUACCAAGAUUAAGGCUGUCCAAUCUGAUUGGGGAGGUGAGUUUCGAUCUCUCUCCAUACCGUUUUCAAAUAUGGGCAUUGUCUAUUGUUUAUCGUGUCCAUACACCUCACAACAGAAUGGGCGAGUUGAGCGAAAAAAUCGCCAUGCGAUUGUCCUUUCUUGCUUGCUCUAUGCCCUUAUCUUAUUGGCCUUAUGCCUUUCAAACUGCCACUUACCUUAUUAAUCGUCUCUCUACCCCUGUGCUGCAUCAUCAAUCCUCUUACUUCGCACUCUAUCACAAACUCCCAACUUAUACUCAUCUUAAGGUCUUUGGUUCCUCUUGUUUUCCGUAUUUGCACCCUUAUAAUACCCAUAAACUCCAAUACAGGUCACUAGAGUGUGCUUUUCUUGGUUACAGUUCACACCACAAAGGUUAUCUAUGUCUUGACAUUCAUUCUAGCAGGGUGUAUAUUUCUCGCCAUGUGAUUUUUAAUGAAGAUUCUUUUCCAUUCAAGAAUUUGAAAUCUUCUCUCUCUCAGUCUAUUUCUUCUUCCUCUUCUUUAUAAGUUCCUCUGUUCAUUCUCUUGCCUCCCCUUUCCCCAUCUCCUCUUAUUUCUUCAUCUAUACCUCAUUCUUUUCCCUCUUCUUCUUCUACCUCUAGUACUUGUUCCCCUCUCGUUGCUCCUACCUCUCUUCCUUCCUCUUCACACUCUGUGUCUCCAUCUAUUCCACCUCCUUCUCCACCUUCUCCGAGUGUGGACCUGCUUGCACCUUGUGUGAAUACAAAUUUACAUACUUCUUCUCGCACUCACAAUAUUCAUCCUAUGGUGACUAGAUCUAAGGUUUGUAUCUAUAAACCUAAGUUGUUGUUGAGUGUCUCCAUAGGUUCUCUCACUAAGCCUACUUCCUUUCUUCAAGCUAUUAAAGAUCCUUCAUGGAAGCAAUCCAUGGAAUUCGAGUUUGCUACCCUUCAACACAACAAGACCUGGCAUUUGGUUCCUUCACCUUCCUCAGGCGAAGUAAUCGGUUGUAAAUGGGUCUAUAAGCUAAAGCUUCAGCCUGAUGGCUAAAUUGAGAGAUACAGCCUGCUUAGUAGCUAAGGGUAUCAUCAAAUUGAAGUAUGGACUACUUCGAAACAUUCAGCCUGAUNNNNNNNNNNNNNNNNNNNNNNNNNNNNNNNNNNNNNNNNNNNNNNNNNNNNNNNNNNNNNNNNNNNNNNNNNNNNNNNNNNNNNNNNNNNNNNNNNNNNAGCUUCAGCCUGAUGGCUAAAUUGAGAGAUACAAGGCCUGCUUAGUAGCUAAGGGUUAUCAUCAAAUUGAAGGUAUUGACUACUUCGAAACAUUCAGCCUGAUUGUCAAGCUUUCUACUAUCUGUAUUGUGCUCAGUCUUACUUUUUCCCAGAAUUGGUGUAUUAGACAGCUGGAUGUUCAUAAUGCCUUCUUACAUGGUGACUUAGCUAAAGACGUUUUCAUGGAACAACUGCCUGGAUUUGUUGAUCCUCUCUAUCCUACUCAUGUCUGCAAGUUGGAUAAGUCUCUCUACUGUCUUAAAUAGUCACCUCGGGCUUGGUAUACUAAGCUGAGUACUUCUCGCUACACUUGGGAUUUGUUACUUCUAAGAAUGACUCUUCCUUAUUUAUUUGUCAUUCGUCUCAUGGGUUACUUCUUGUUCUUGUCUAUGUGGAUGAUAUAAUCGUCAUUGGGAGCCACUCUCCUCAGGUUACUCACCUUAUCCAACAGUUGCAUCAUUAGCUUUCUUUAAAGGAUCUUGGUCCUUUACAUUAUUUUCUGGGCUUGGAGGUUCAUCACACCCCUACUGGUAUUCACCUCAGCCAAGCAAAGUAUAUCACUGAUCUCCUUACCCGGGCGGCUAUGUUGGAUGCCAAGCCAUGUCCCACUCCUAUGUCCUCCAACACAUAUCUCUCUUUUCAUGAUGGAGUGGCUCUUGAAAAUGGUUCAGAUUAUCGAAGUUUUGUUGGUGCCCUUUAGUAUUGUACCAUGACACGCCCAGAUAUAGCUUUUGCAAUAAAUAAAGUGUGUCAAUUCAUGCACCAUCCCUCUAAUGUUCACUGGCAGGCUAUAAAACGUAUUCUCCGGUACUUAAAGGGCACAUCUCAUUUUGGUCUCUUCCUACAGCCUUCCUAUGACUUCAACAUCACUUGCUAUACAAAUGCCGACUGGGCUUCCUGUCCUGAUGACAAGUGUAGCACCAGUGGCUACUGCCUCUUUCUUGCCUCUAAUCUGGUUUCUUGGUCAUCUUCCAAACAAAAAGUGGUCUCCCGCUCCAGCGCCGAAUCAGAGUACCGAGGGGUAGCAAAUGGGGCUGCUGAAAUUGCUUGGACUGAAUCUCUUCUUUGUGAACUUUCCAUUACUCCCCCUCCCCUCAUUCUCUGUGACAAUAUCAGUGCCACGUACUUAGCUGCCAAUCCUAUUUUGCAUGCCCGCACCAAACAUGUGGAAAUCGACUAUCACUUUGUCACGGAACGUGUUCUUCAAUGCUCUCUUUUUGUCCAGUUUACACCUUCUGAUGAUCAACUUGCUGAUUGCAUGACCAAGCCUCUCUCCACCCAACGUUUCAUCACUCUACGCUCCAAGCUCACUGUUCUCACUAGACCAAUGAGCUUGAGGGGGGAUGUUAAGCCUAAAGAUGUAAUUAGUUAGGAUAUUCUUUUCCCUCUAGUCUUGUAGCUCCACGUGUACAGUUGGUUAGGACCUCAUUGUAUAUAAUGCCUGCCCUGUUAUUGUAGAAGACAACAGAGAUAAAUAAUAUUAACAUUUUUCCUCUCAUCUCUCUCUCUGUUUCCCUCUGUUUUCAUCUCCUCUCUCAUCUGAACCAAAUGAUCCAUGUUAACCUUGGCUUGGUUUGAUUUGGCUCUAUCUUAGAGAGCUCAAGGAUCACGUCAACUCUGGUUUCUACUAUUCAGGUCCAUUCCCAUAUGAACUGGUUCAAAUUUGAGAAAAUGGUAACAGACCUUUAGUGAUGUUGGUUUGGAGCCAGUUGCCAAACCCGCCCUGAGCUUUACCACUAAUGUCAAGGGAGAAAGCCAUUUGAACAAAAACAAUAGCUUCAAGGGACUGAAUCGUGGAUGAAAUCUGAUCCACAUUUCUUCUCAUUUUGGAAACAAAUGAGAACUUAACUAAGAAGAUUCUACGGCCUCAUAGUGCUUUUCCUGAUCUAAGGUUGGUUCGUUUCCCAAACUGUGAGAUGCACGUGCCAGACUUCAGAACUCUCACGCUCAGGAGUGUAUCCACGUGGUGGACAUAAGAUGGUGGCUUAAGAUCUGGUGUCGGUGGCUUUACUUUACUAGGAGAGUAGUGUGUCUUCAUCUCAUUCACUGCCGGAGGGUGGCGUAAGCAGUGACGCUAAGGUGGGGCACAGUCAAUAUCAUUUGCAUUUGACCAUUAUAGUUUUCUCCCGGCUUUAAAGUAACCUUAUCGUGAUAAAGGAUUACUAGCACUAGUUCAGAUGAUAGUCAUGUUAAAUUCGGACCAUGUUUGUGUCACAUUAUCAGCAACCAUGUGUUUAUGGUUCAUGCUUUCUGCAACUAAAAUUGAUAUAUAACCAGGUGAACUUCAAUCUAAAUUCUGAAAGUACUCAUGUGAUAGAUGGUGCCCGUCUGCAGAGUCCAUCAAUUGAAAAAUGGAGUGAGUGUAUCUAUAAGAGGGAAGGCUUGGAAAAUGUUCAGUUUUCUGGGAAUUCAACAAGGAUCUAAAAUAGAUUGUUUUCUUUGCUGAUUUCAAUGGUUGAAAUUUGAGAAGAUUGUGUCCACAUAACACAACUAUUACUGGUCCUUCUGUUGCAAUUUAUCCUCUAAAGCUCUAGCAUGUCUUCCAAUUCCCACUUCCCUGUUACUCCAGGAAAGCUAUUUCUGUCAUUGUGAAGAAGAAAAGAGAAUGUACAUAUCGAUGCUUUUAAGUGACUGGAGCAUUUAUAUCAGGUGGUCUGCAGCCAUAUAUGCCACUUUGUGAAGAUUGGAACAGUCAAUCACUAGGCUAUAUAUUAGUGUGGCCCAGCCACUUUAAUCAAGGACAAGUCUUCAUACUUAAAGUCAAAUUCUGCCUUUAGUCUCAUUAUAAAUUUCUGUUUAAAUAUUAAGCAAACAUUUGUUUAAUGCGAUUAAGACAGUACUAACUCAAUACCUGUUCUAUUUUUGGAUGCAAAUGCUUGAUGGUUUCAUCAUUGGAUGGGAUAAAGGUGCAUUCAUGAUUAGGAAUACUAGUAGUUAUAUUUUAAUUCUCUUUUUUCUCAAUGAGACUUGUUGGCACAAUUUUGCUGUUGAGAAACCUACCUCUCCAUGGAAAAUAAGUUGUGAUUGAUAGUACUGGAUAUAUUCAAGAAAUCUAAAUAUAGAUAGCACAAAAUAUUAUCGACAUAAAUAGCAUUAACAGCGUACGUAUGUCUCAGUGCUCAUCAGCUAUAAGCAUGGGGCAAACACUUACUAUGAGCAACUUACGUCAAAAUUCCAGAAUAGGACAUAGAAGUGACAGAUAUAGAACAUUGCAUAUGAGUCACAAGAAAGGAAAUUACGGGUGCAUAGCAGCUCUUAUUUUACAUACUACUACUCAUACUGAUCAAAGUCACUCAGUUGGGAUGGGUGGGAGUAGGAGGUUUGUGGGGUGGCUUGUGCGGAGGAGUUGGCAGCUUCUUUCCAGGACCUGGUUGCUUCUCUGCUGGAGUUGAAGGAGGCUUAAUCUUCCGAGGUGGCUUGUAUGAGUCUUCAGCAUUCUCAGCUGGAGGGUGACCAGGGUUGUGACCAUAAUGUGGUGGCUUCUCUCCCUUAGGUGGUUUGCCAACUGGGGUUGGUGGCUUGUAUGAGUCUUCAGCAUUCUCAGCAGGAGGGUGACCAGGGUUGUGACCAUAAUGUGGUGGCUUCUCUCCCUUAGGUGGUUUGCCAACUGGGGUUGGUGGCUUGUGUUCUGGGAGUGGCUUCUCCCCCUUGGGAGGUUUUUCCAAUGGGGUUGGUUUGUGUUCAGGAGGUGGCUUCUCCACUGGAGGCUUGUGUUCAGGAGGUGGCUUCUCCACCGGAGGCUUGUGUUCAGGUGGUGGCUUCUCCACCGGAGGCUUAUGCUCUGGUGGUGGCUUCUCGAAUGGGGGAUGCUUAGGAUAAUCAGCAAGUGAGGGGGCGGUGAGAACCACCAGGCCAAGCAACACCACUAGCAAAUAUGUAGGAGACAUCUUUGGGUUUGGGCUCAGAUGGUGCAAAACUAGGAGAAUUGGCUAGCCUUUUAUAGCGGAUCGUACCCAAUAAUGAAAUGACACGUGUCAUUAUGACCCAUGUGUAAUGGGGUCGAUUUGGGUCCUACAGUGUUGAAAACUUCGACAUCCACUUUUGGCCUUUUGCUUUCUCUACAGCCGCCUUGCUUUUUCCCUCUUUCCUUUUGUUUUCCUCCUGCCCCAUUCUAUCAACUAAACACAAUUAUGUAGUUGUUUAAUUCUUAAAUGAGAUAUUAUCCGUCAAUCGUAUUAUAUUUUAUCAAGAGAGAACGGAGUGCAAUGUGGCUGUAAUUUUAUCGUUUAGUUUUAUCUCUUGGACCACUGCAUUUUUGUUAAGAGGUGCAAUAAUACACGUCUUUAUCUGCCAUUCAAUAUUUACAGUAAAGAGAGGGCACAAAACUCUUCACUUCGCACCAUAAUUAUUUUGUUUUCUGGACACCCCGGGGCCCUUUGGUUGGUUUGGGGGUCAGAAAGUGAACAUCAUAGGGGGUUUUUCCCUUAUGUGCAUUUGUAUCUGAUGGCUUUAACUCGCCUUGUUACUACAAAGAAACUGUCACAGAUAGGAACUUAUUCCAGGCUGAGUAUCUCCUCAUAGACCCUAUAAAAGAAGACAAGUCAUAAUGAACAUCUAACCUUUGUUCAAUUUGAUUCAAUGCCCCCAUUGUGUCCAUCUCACAAAUCUGAAUUAUUAUAUCCAUUGAAUACAUAAAUUAAUGAAGAAAAUAUGAAACCCAAGAUACAUCUCUGCACAACCUCAACCCUGGUUGCUAUGUUUCCCUUCUAUUCACAUGAUUUGAUGCUAAUUGCCAAACUUGCAACAAGCCCUGAGUUUGACACCUAGUAUCGAUGGGCGAAUUUAAAGUCUCCUCCAAACAUAUAUUCCACAGCUUGAAGCUCACAGAAGAUGUUACAGGCAGGGAAAAACCUUCAGAGUUCGCUACCAAAGAUAAUUAUUAAGGAGAUAUCACAAAGAGAAUUCCAAGGGGUCUGAAUCAAAGACAAAUUGGUCGUUCGUGGGGGUUCUUACUUUCUUUUGGGUAUAACUCACUGAGGGCACUGUCUUUGUUAUUUGCAUUUCACAUUUAGAGUUCUGUUCUGGAAACAUAUAAAAGGAGCAUCAUUUUGUUCUUGGGUAACCCAUAGUCGUGAGUGGGUCCAUUUGCAUGCUACUUAGUUGAAAAGUUGGACCAUUUGCUCCGACGCCUACCUCCCGGAUUCCAUGCUCGGAUAAAACAAGAAUAAAAAAAAUAUUUAUAAUUUACAAAUGGGGGAAAGAAAAAAAUGUCAACAACAAACCAGGAAAAAAGAGUAGUAAAAUUCAUGUCACAUGCUAGUGAGAGAAGGGGUUGUUACACUCACUCGAAGUUCUUUCCAAAAUAUCGCAUGGUAUUUUAUUUUAUGUGUCAGCGCAGUUGUGAAUGGAACGUGCAAAAGUCCAAAUUGGCGUUUUUCCUUUUCCCGUGUAGGAUGGCGACCUUUAAUAAAUAUUUAAAACAAAAAACGAAAAAAAGGAGGGAAAAGGGAUCAGAAAAGAUAAAACAAUGUGUACAAGAGCUCAAUUAGUUUGCAAAUUACUGUUUGGAUUUUGAUAGUAUUUUAUUUGUCCAUCUAUAUUUGAUGGAAAAGAGAAUUUAAGAUAUUUCUGAAACAAAAGCAUUAGUGUAAAACUAAAUUAAGGUAUAAUUAAGUUAGUUCAAUGCAUUAAUUUAAGAAACUUGAUCUAUCCAAAGUACAAAAUUAGAUGAAAUCCAUUUCAAUGGUUAAAAUGAUCAAAAUCAAACUUUUUCUAAGUAUUUUUUAAAAGCAUCAAUAUUAAAAGACAAUUUUAUAUUUAGUCGGAGUUUGGACAAAACCAAAAAGCACACAAAAUCCAAGCGACCAUCUCUAGCUUGGAUAGUCACUUGAUCCCACCUAGAGAUGUGCAUGAGUAAAAGGAUUUGAAAAUGGAAAUUGACUAAAUAUUUAGUUGAUCAAUUAAAUUUGCAAUGUCAUAUGCAAUCCUAAUAGCUAGUCAUCUAAUCAAUUAGGUAGUCAAUCAAGUGUUUGUAAUGACUAUUUUGUACAAAAAACCACAUGUAUAGUUAAAUAUAAUGCAUUUCAUUUAUAAAUCUUCUAAUUCUUGAAUAACGAUCCUAUCAUCCUUUGAAAAUUUUUAUUACACCUUUUUUACUUUUGUUCUAAAACUUACAUAUCACCCUUAAUUGUACCAUGAGAACCUAGCUAUUUUUUUUUUUUUUGUAAUUCAUCAAAGUUAGCUUUUGUAUUCAUUGUUGUAUUAUUUUUAGUAUAACUUAGAAAGCUAGUGUUUUCAAGUGAGUAAAAUUAACUUGUAAAUAUUGUAAAGAUUCAUUGAUAUGUAUCUUAAACUAAGUGUACAAAUUAAAACAUUUGCUAGUAGAUUUUCUCAAAAUUUAGAAUAGAGCUUGAGGCUAUUGAAAUAGGUGGGGUUACACCAAACCACAUCACAUCGUUGUUUGCACCUUUUUUCACUCUCUUUUACUUAGUUUCUCUAUAUUUGUUGUCUAGUAAUAUCCUAUAGGCUUGAUGGGUUAGGGAGCAUCCCUUUGUGAAAAAAUUUCAUUCAAUUCUUAGUUGUAUUACGCAUAUAUAAAAUGCCUCAUUGUUUUAAUGGUAUUCAGUCGUGGCAUCACAGAUAUGGGCAUCUAAAUUUUAAAAGUUUGAAACUUUUGUAAAGCAUGUUGAUAAAAUCCAUGAGAGUUGUGUACUUGGGAAGCAACAUCGAGGUGACUUUAUUUUUUUUUCCUUUUAUAAUGCCACACCUAAGUCCGGUUUCUAAAUGCUAAAGUGAAAGGGUAGGUAUGGACCAUUGAAAUGUGAUCACAACUUUUGGCCUUUUCCUUUCUCUGCAGCCAUGUUGUCUCUUUUUUCUUUUGCAUGAUUUUCUUACCAAAACAGAAUCAUAGACUUGUUUAGUCUCUAAGCUACUAUAUUAUAUCUCGGUGGACUUUUAAGAGUGCAACCGACAUAGAGCACAUGCAAGUGGGCAUAUGGGACAUGAAAUUUCUUCUUACAAAGAUUGCAUGAUUUUUAUAUUAGAGUUGUUCACGUGCAAUGUAUUUAGCUUGUUUUGCAGUUAAAUUAAUUGGAUAAGUAAACAUUGGCAUUUCUAAAUCGACUGUGAAGUGCUUCAUGUACGUGUAAAGUAUUAGAAAUUUCUUUCUUGGCAACUUGUUUUUUCCUUGCCAUCUACUGGUAGGUUUGACUAAAAUUAUAUUCCCUGUCAUGCUAAUUAAUUUUCAUGUGCAUGCUCAAAAGAAGAGUAUGACCUUAGUGCACCAAAAUCACUUUGAUUAAUUUGUGAUAGGUUUUUUUGCAUCAUUUAGAUAAUGUUUAGUUCUAAGAAAAAUUUAUAUAAAAAUGGUUUAUUUAUCUUACAUAUAUAUAUAUAUAUAUAUAUUUUUUUUUUUUUCAUUUUUUUUUCUUCUAUUUUAUUUAUUUAUUUUAUUUUCCUUAUGUUUUCCUCACAUUUUCCGGAACUAAACAUAGUCUUACGAAAUCAACAAUUGCCUUCAACUGAGUAGAUUCUGUUGUUUUAGCAAUGUUAGGCUGCUAACUUGUGGUGGUACGAACCAAAUGACCCAUGUUAAUCUUGGCUUGGUUUGAUUUGGCUCUAUCUCAGAGAGCUAAAGGAUCACGUCAACUCUGGUUUCUACUAUUCAGGUCCAUUCCCAGAUGAACUGGUUCAAAUUUGAGAAAAUGGUAACAGACCUUUAGUGAUGUUGGUUUGGAGCCAGUUGCCAAACCCGCCCUGAGCUUUACCACUAAUGUCAAGGGAGAAAGCCAUUUGAACAAAAACAAUAGCUUCAAGAGACUGAAUCGUGGAUGAAAUCUGAUCCACAUUUCUUCUCAUUUUGGGAAAAAAUGAGAACUUAACUACAAAGAUUCUACUGCCUCAUUCAUAGUGCUUUUCCUGAUCCAAGGUUGGUUCGUUUCCCAAAUUGUGAGGUGCACGUGCCACUCUCACGCUCAGGAGUGUAUCCACGUGGUGGACAUCAGAUGGUGGCUUAAUAUCUGGUGUCGGUGGCUUUACUUUACUAGGAGAGUAGUGUGUCUUCAUCUCAUUCACUGCCGGAGGGUGGCGUAAGCAGUGACGCUAAGGUGGGGCACAGUCAAUAUCAUUUGCAUUUGACCAUUAUAGUUUUCUCCCGGCUUGAAAGUAACCUUAUCGUGAUAAAGGAUUACUAGCACUAGUUCAGAUGACCGUCAUGUUAAUUCGGACCAUGUUUGUGUCACAUUAUCAGCAACCAUGUGUUUAUGGUUCAUGCUAUCUGCAACUAAACUUGAUAUAUAACCAGGUGAACUUCAAUCAAAAUUCUGGAAGUACUCUUGUGAUAGAUGGUGCCUGUCUGCAGAGUCCAUCAAUUGAAAAAUGGAGUGAGUGUAUCUAUAAGAGGGAAGGCUUGGCAAAUGUUCAGUUUUCUGGGAAUUCAACAAGGAUCUAAAAUAGAUUGUUUUCUUUGCCGACUUCAAUGGUUGAAAUUUGAGAAGAUUGUGUCCACAUAUCACAACUAUUACUGGUCCUUCUGUUGCAAUUUAUCCUGUAAGGCUCUAACAUGUCUUCCAAUUCCCACUUCCCUGUUACUCCAGGAAAGCUAUUUCUGUCAUUGUGAAGAAGAAAAGAGAAUGUACAUAUCGAUGCUUUUAAGUGACUGGAGCAUUCAUAUCAGGUGGUCUGCAGCCAUAUAUGCCACUUUGUGAAGGUUGGAACAGUCAAUCACUAGGCUAUAUAUUGGUGUGGCCCAGCCACUUCAAUCAAGGACAAGUCUUCAUACUUAAAGUCAAAUUCUGCCUUUAGUCUCAUUAUAAAUUGCUGUUUAAAUAUUAAGCAAACUUUUGUUUAAUGCGAUUAAGACAGUACUAACUCAAUACUUGUUCUAUUUUUGGAUGCAAAUGCUUGAUGGUUUCAUCAUUGGAUGGGAUAAAGGUGCAUUCAUGAUUAUGAAUACUUGUAGUUAUAUUUUCAUUCUCUUUUUUCUCAAUGAGACUUGUUGGCACAAUGUUGCUGUUCAGAAACCUACCUCUCCAUGGAAAAUAAGUUGCGAUUGAUAGUACUGGAUAUGUUCAAGAAAGCUAAAUAUAGAUAGCACAAAAUAUUAUCGAUAUAAAUAGCAUUAACAGCGUACGUAUGUCUCAAUGCUCAUCAGCUAUAAGCAUGGGACAAACACUUACUAUGAGCAACUUACGUCAAAAUUCCAGAAUAGGACAUAGAAGUGACAGAUCUAUAUAUAUAGAACACUGCAUAUGAGUCACAAGAAAGGAAAUUACGGGUGCAUAGCAGCUCUUAUUUUACAUACUACUACUCAUACUGAUCAAAGUCACUCAGUUGGGAUGGGUGGGAGUAGGAGGUUUGUGGGGUGGCUUGUGCGGAGGAGUUGGCAGCUUCUUUCCAGGACCUGGUUGCUUCUCUGCUGGAGUUGAAGGAGGCUUAAUCUUCCGAGGUGGCUUGUAUGAGUCUUCAGCAUUCUCAGCUGGAGGGUGACCAGGGUUGUGACCAUAAUGUGGUGGCUUCUCUCCCUUAGGUGGUUUGCCAACUGGGGUUGGUGGCUUGUAUGAGUCUUCAGCAUUCUCAGCAGGAGGGUGACCAGGGUUGUGACCAUAAUGUGGUGGCUUCUCUCCCUUAGGUGGUUUGCCAACUGGGGUUGGUGGCUUGUGUUCUGGGAGUGGCUUCUCCCCCUUGGGAGGUUUUUCCAAUGGGGUUGGUUUGUGUUCAGGAGGUGGCUUCUCCACUGGAGGCUUGUGUUCAGGAGGUGGCUUCUCCACCGGUGGCUUGUGUUCAGGAGGUGGCUUCUCCACCGGAGGCUUAUGCUCUGGUGGUGGCUUCUCCACCGGAGGCUUAUGCUCUGGUGGUGGCUUCUUGAAUGGGGGAUGCUGAGGGUAAUCAGCAAGUGAGGGGGCGGUGAGAACCACCAGGCCAAGCAACACCACUAGCAAAUAUGUAGGAGACAUCUUUGGGUUUGGGCUCAGAUGGUGCAAAACUAGGAGAAUUGGCUAGCCUUUUAUAGCGGAUCGUACUCAAUAAUGAAAUGACACGUGUCAUUAUGACCCAUGUGUAAUGGGGUCGAUUUGGGUCCUACAGUGUUGAAAACUUCGACAUCCAGUUUUGGCCUUUUGCUUUCUCUACAGCCGCCUUGCUUUUUCCCUCUUUCCUUUUGUUUUCCUCCUGCCCCAUUCUAUCAACUAAACACAAUUAUGUAGUUGUUUAAUUCUUAAAUGAGAUAUUAUCGGUCAAUCGUAUUAUAUUUUAUCAAGAGAGAACGGAGUGCAAUGCAGCUGUAAUUUUAUCGUUUACUUUUAUCUCUUGGACCACUGCAUUUUUGUUAAGAGGUGCAAUAAUACACGUCUUUAUCUGCCAUUCAAUGUUUACAGUAAAGAGAGGGCACAAAACUCUUCACUGCUCUGCAUGUGUCCCAAAAAUGCGAUUGGACAAAUUAUGAUUUGCAUGCUAAAAAGAGGCAAAUGAGGUUAAUUCGCACCAUAAUUAUUUGGUUUUCUGGACACCAUAAAAAGAUGUUAUACAGGCAGGGAAAAACCUUCAGAGUUAGCUACCAAAGAUAAUUAUCAAGCAGAUAUCACCAAGAGAAUUCCAUAGAGUCUGAAUCAAAGACAGAUUGCUCGCUCGUGGGGGUUCUUACUUUCUUUUGGGUAUAACUCACUGAGGUCACUGUCUUUUUUAUUUGCAUUUCACAGUUAGAGUUCUGCUCUGGAAGGUUUGUUCUGGAAACAUAUAAAAGGAGCAUCAUUUUGUUCUUGGGUAACCCAUAGUCGUGAGUGGGUCCAUUUGCAUGCUACUUAGUUGAAAAGUUGGACAAUUUGCUCCGACGCCUACCUCCUGGAUUCCAUGCUCGGUAAAACAAGAAUAAAAAAAAAUAUAUAAUUUACAAAUGGGGGAAAGAAAAAAUGUCGGAAAAAAUAGUAAAAUUCAUGUCACAUGCUAGUGAGAGAAGGGGUUGUUACACUCACUCGAAGUUCUUUUCAAAAUAUCGAAUGGUAUUUUACUUUAUGUGUCAGCGCAGUUGUGAAUGGAACGUGCAAAAGUCCAAAUUGGCGUUUUUAUUUUUCCCAUGUAGGAUGGUGACCUUUAAUAAAUAUUUAAAACAAAAGACGAAAAAAAAAAGGAGGGAAAAGGGAUCACAAAAGAUAAAAUAAUGUUUACAAAAGCUCAAUUAGUUUGCAAAUUACUGUUUGGAUUUUGAUAGUAUUUUAUUUGUCGUUCUAUAUUUGAUGUAAAAGAGAAUUUAAGAUAUUUCCGAAGCAAAAGCAUUAGUUUGCUCUGUGAUGUCCCACAUCGAAUAGGGGAGAAAGUUUCUGGCGCUAUAUAUGUAGAGGCUCCUCUUAACCAAGUAGAUGCGUUUUAAAACCAUGAGGGCCCCCUUAGGUCCAAAGCGGACAAUAUCUACAUGAUUGGGUGUAAGUCAUUACAAAUGGUAUCAGAGCCGAUCCCCGACCCCGGUGUGGGGGUUUGUUUGGCCCUGUAAGGGGUGUUUGUCUGUUUGACCCCACAAUCCCAUGGGACACAACGAGGACGUUGUGUCUGCAUGGGGGGGCGUUUGUGAUGUCCCACAUCGGAUAGGGGAGAAAGUUCCUAGUGCUAUAUAUGUAGAUGUUUCUCUUAACCAAGUAGAUGCAUUUUAAAAUUGUGAGGGCCUCUUUGGGCCCAAAGCGGACAAUAUCUACAUGGUUGAGUGUAAGUCAUUACAUGCUCCAUGUCAAUUUCAGCAUUUCUCAUAUGUUUCACACAUACACAGAAGAGCAUCGUUUUUUAAAGCAUGCAUUUAUGUUGGAUUAAUUUGGAUUUUGUGGGAACUGGGGCAAGGAUCACAUGGAAGAGAGGUUGACUUUUUUCAGUACUUCAAUGGUUGAAAUAUGUGAAGGCUUGAUUGAUACUAAAGCUUGAAAUUGCGACUCUGUCAUUUGUAAAAAAAUAUGACAGCUUCCAUGCUCUCGUUUGGUUGCAUUGUCCGGUCGAGAGGUGCAAAAAGCAUUCUCUCUCUUCUAAUAGUCUUUUCGUUUAAAUCAAGGGAUUUGCCUUCCCGGUCGAGGUCCAAUAGAGGGUAACGGUCACCUACUAAACAUUAAAUGCUCCAACAACUAGUGAACUGAUCGACCCCAGCUCGACUAGUUGAGGUUACUUUUUGGUUUUCUUGUCUCCCGAGGUUAGAAACCUAUAAAUAGAGAGCUUCACUUCAUUUAUGAGUAAGAGAACACCUAAAUUUAUUUGUUUACCUACUUGUUUUUGCCAUAAAAGCUCUCAUUUCUUUUCUUGGUGUAUUAAAUCUCCAUUUGCAUAUCCUUUAGUGCACCUUUGUGAUUCAUUCUAGCCUUGAGUUGUAUUUAAGCCUUUGUUGAGCUAGGUUGAGAGUUUCAUACUUGUUUAUUGAGUGUUAAAGCCUUCAAGUGAGUUAAAACUUGAAGAGAUUGUGUAAGAGCCCAUUGGAGUCGGAAUCCAAGUGUAAAGGUGAUUAAAAGCUUGGUUGAAGCUUCAAGUUAGUGGAACUCUCACUCGGUUAUGAGCUUGAGAAGAGUGGACAUAGACAAGGCAGUGUCGAACCACUAUAAAAUCUGAGUUUGAUUUCUCUAACCUUAUCUCUUUAUAUUUGCUUCUCUUGUGCUUAAAUUUUUUGUGUUUAAAAAGAAUUUUUAAAAACUCAAUUCACCCCCUUCUUGGGAGUUUUUCUCUUUUAAGAUCAGCUUUUAUUUUCUCAAUUGGUAUCAGAACUAUGCCUCUUGUUUAAGACUUAAUCGUCUAAGAGGAAAUGGCUAAUCCAUCAAGUUCAUCUCACAUUGAAAGUUUUGCAACCAAUAGACUUCUUUUUUUUUUUUUGCGGGAACUGAUUAUCCCUAUUGGAAAACUAAAAUGACUUGGUUUUUACAAUCAAUUGAUUUAGAUGUAUGAGAUGCCAUUGAAGAUGACCUAACUUUUCCUUCAAAACUAGUUGAUGGAGUCAUGGUUCCAAAACCUAAGCAAGAAUGGGAUGAGCGUGAUUGAAGAAAUUUUCAAUUAAAUGCUAAAGUCGUUUAUACUUUGCAAUGCUCUAUGGACAGAAAUGAAUAUAAUAGAAUAUGUCAAUGCAAAUCGGUUAAAGAAAUUUGGAGAUUGCUUGAAAUAACUCAUAAAGGAACAAAUCAAGUUAAAGAGUCAAAAAUCAAUUUACUUGUUCAUAGAUAUGAAUUGUUUUUUAUGAAAGAUAAUGAAACUAUUGUUAAGAUGAUCACUAGGUUCACCAACAUUGUUAAUGGUCUUAAAGCCUUGGGAAAGACCUACAAGGAAUCCGAAAACGUGAUGAAGAUCUUGAGGUCACUUCCAUCAAAGUGGCAUACCAAGGUCACCGCAAUUUAAGAAGCAAAAGACUUGAUCAAGCUACCUUUGGAGGAGUUCAUAGGGUCAUUGAUGACAUAUGAAAUCAAUUUGGCAAAGAAGUAACAAAAAGGUGAAGACAAAAAGAAGAAGAACAUAACUCUCAAAGCUACAACUAAGGAAGAAGAAGUUGAAGAAGAAAAACAAAUUGAAGAAGAUGAAGAUUUAGCCCUCAUCACAAGAAAGUUCAACAAAUUCAUGAGGGGUGAAAGGUUUAGAAGAAGAAGGUUCACUUCUAGAAGAGACUUUUCUAAAAAGGAAUCUUCAUCUAAUGGUGACAAAAAGAGAUGGGAAGAGAAAAGAGACUUGGUGUGUUUCAAGUGCAAGAAACCGGGACACAUUAAAUAUGAUUGUCCUCUCUACAAAAGUGAAGUCAAGAGGAAAAAGAAUAAGGCAAUGAUGGCCACUUAGAGUGAAAGUGAAGAUGAAUCAUCCGAAGAAGAAAAUGAGAAAGAAGUGGCAAACAUGUGUUUCAUGGCAAUAGAUGAACUUGAUGAGGUAAAAUCUAACCUUAGUGAUUAAGAUAUACAUGAUGCAUUUGAAGAAUUGUAUGAGGAUUUUUAAAAACUUAGUUUGAAAAAUAUUUCUCUUAAAAAGAAAGUUCAACAACUUGACAAAGAACUUAGAGAAGUAAAAGAAAAAUUUUCAAAUGUUAAAGUUUCUAAAACUCAUCUUGAAAAAGAAAAUGAGAUUCUAAGAAAGAAAAAUGAAUAGUUGAACUCCUCUCUUUCAAUCUUUUCUUCUAGACAAAAAUCUUUUGAAAUGAUUCUAACUAGCUAAAAAUGUGUUUUUGACAAACAAGGGUUAAGAUUUAAAUCUUCAAAAAAUCAAAAGUAUUUUAAAAACUAUUUUGUAAAGGAAUCCACAAGUGCAAGUCCUUCCACUACUUGCAACUUUUGUGGAAGAGAAUGGCACAUUAGUAGUACGCCCUUUAAGAAAUGGUUCUCAAAAGAAUUUAAAUGCAAAAACUAAAAAAGAUUUGGAUUGAGAAAUCCAAGGUCACUAACCCUCAAGGACCCAAAAAGAUAUAGGUACCUAAAUCAACUUGAGUUUUAUGUUGUAAGGUUCAAAGAAUGAUAAGUGGUUCUUAGAUAAUGGUUGCUCAAGACACAUGACCGGAGAUGAAUCCAAGUUUGCUUUUCUUAAAAAGAAAAAUGGAGGAUAUGUUACCUUUGGAGACAAUGCAAAAGAAAGGAUGAUUGGUCAAGGCAACAUUGGUAAUGGCACAUCCUCUCUCAUUGAAAGUGUUUUAUUAGUAGAUGGUUUCAAACAUAACCUUUUAAGCAUUAGUCAAUUUUGCGACAAAGGUUUUUAAGUGAUUUUUUAAGCAUCUCAUUGCAUCAUCAAGGAUAUUCAAAAUGAUAAAACCAUUUUCAUGGGCCAUAGAUGUGAUAAUGUUUAUGCUAUAAAUAUUUCAAAAUAUGAUGGCCAUGAUAGAUGUUUUUCAAGCAUGCAUGAUCAAAGUUGGUUGUGCCAUAGGAGAUUGAGACAUGCUAACAUAGACCUCAUUUCCCAACUCAACAAAGAUGAACUUGUUAGAGGCCUUCCCAAAAUAAUUUUUUAAAAAGAUAAAGUUUGUGAAGCUUGUCAAGUGGGAAAGUAAAUCAAAAACUCUUUUAAAAACAAAAACUUCAUUUCCACAUCUAGGCCACUUGAGUUGUUGCAUAUGGAUUUAUUUGGUCCCUCUAGGACACCAAGUCUUAGAGGAAAUUCUUAUGCAUAUGCUAUUGUGGACGACUUCUCUAGAUACACAUGAGUCUUGUUUUUUAGUCAAAAGAAUAAAGUUUUUUAUGAGUUUUCAAAGUUUUGCAAUAAGAUUCAAAAUGAAAAAGGUUUUUCAAUUACUUAUAUAAGAAGUGAUCAUGGGAGAGAAUUCGAAAAUAUUGAUUUUGAAGAGUAUUGCAAUGAGCAUGGAAUUGACCACAAUUUUUUGGCUCUUAGAACUCCUCAACAAAAUGGGGUAGUUGAAAGGAAAAAUAGAACUCUUCAAAAAAUGACAAGAACCAUACUAAAUGAAAACAACUUACCAAAAUAUUUUUAGGCCAAAACGGUUAACACUUCUUGUUAUGUUUUAAAUAGAGUAUUAUUGAGGCUCAUACUUAAGAAAACUCCCUAUGAGCUUUGGAAAAACAAAAAACCCAACAUUAGUUAUUCCAAAGUCUUUGGAUGCAAUAUUUUAUAAUAAACACCAAAGACAAUCUUGGAAAAUUUGAUGCAAAAUUGGAUGUUGGAAUUUUCCUUGGUUACUCAACUUCAAGUAAAGCUUUUCGAGUUUUAACAAAAGAACCAUGGUUGUAGAGGAGUCCAUCCAUGUUAUUUUUUAUGAAUCUCCAAGAAAGAGAGAGGAUUGAUGAUGAUUUAGGUUUGAAGACCUCUAUAGGAAGAUUGCAAAUCGAAGAUAGAAGACAACAAGAAGAAAAUGGAGAGAAUCCAAAGAAAGAAGGAUCACCAUUGGCACUACCCCCUCAUCAACAAGCGCAAGGUGAAUCAAGUCAAGAGCUUCCUAAAGAAUGGAAGUUUGUCAUCAAUCACCCACAAGAUCAAAUUAUAGGCAAUCCAUCUAGUGGGGUAAGAACUAGAUCCUCUCUUAGAAAUAUUUGCAAUAAUCUAGCUUUUAUCUCUCAAAUUGAGCCUAAAAAUAUAAAUGAUGUUUUAGAUGAUGAAAAUUGGAUAAUUGCAAUGCAAGAAGAGUUAAAUCCAUUUGAAAGAAGUGGAGUAUGGGAAUUAGUACCAAGACCUUCAAAUCAAAGUGUUAUUGGAACUAGAUGGAUCUUUAGAAAUAAAAUGGAUGAAAAUAGCAUAAUUGUUAGAAAUAAAGCAAGAUUGGUAGCCCAAGGUUUUAAUCAAGAAGAAAUGAUAGAUUAUGAAGAAACCUUUGCCCCCGUAGCUAGGUUGGAAGCCAUUAGGAUGCUACUUGCCUUUGCAUGUUUUAAAGACUUUGUUUUAUAUCAAAUGGAUGUGAAAAGUGCUUUUUUAAAUGGUUUUAUAAAUGAAGAAGUAUAUGUUGAACAACCACCCGGUUUUCAAAGUUUCAACUUUCCUAACCAUGUUUUUAAACUUAAAAAGACACUUUAUGGUUUGAAACAAGCACCUAGAUCAUGGUAUGAAAAAUUGAGUAAAUUUCUUUUGAAAAAAAUGUUUUAAAAUGGGAAAAAUUGACACAACUCUUUUUAUAAAAACCAAAGAAAAUGAUAUGCUCUUAGUUCAAAUAUAUAUUGAUGAUAUCAUUUUUGGUGCUACUAAUGUCUCUCUUUAUGAAGAAUUUUCUAAGUGCAUGCAUAGUGAGUUUGAAAUGAGCAUGAUAGGAGAACUCAACUUCUUCCUUGGACUUCAAAUCAAGCAACUAAAGGAAUGAACCUUCAUCAAUCAAGCAAAGUAUAUAAGAGAUCUUCUCAAAAGGUUCAACAUGGAAGAAGCCAAAACAAUGAAGACUCUAAUGAGCUCAUCCAUUAAGCUUGAUAAGGAUGAGAAAGGUAAAUCCAUUGACUCUAUUAUGUAUAGAGGCAUGAUAGGUUCUUUGCUCUAUUUGACCACUAGUAGACCUUACAUUAUGUAUAGUGUGUGUUUGUGUACUAGAUUUCAAUCUUGUCUUAAAAAAUCUCACUUAAGUGUCGUGAAAAGAAUCCUCAAAUAUUUGAAAGGGACAAUGGACAUAGGCUUAUGGUAUCCUAAGAGUGAUAACUUUGAAUUAAUUGGUUUUUUGGAUGCUGAUUUUGUCAGUUGUAGGGUUGAAAAAUAAAACACUAGUGGCACUUUUCAUUUCUUAAGACACUUACUUGUCUCAUGGCAUAAUAAGAAGCAAAAUUUGGUAGCUUUGUCAACAGCAGAAGCUAAAUACAUAGCAACUGGUUUAUGUUGUGCACAAAUCCUUUGGAUGAAAUAAACACUUAGUGAUUUUGAUUUAUCUUUUGAGCAUAUUCCUAUUAAAUGUGAUAAUAGUAGUGCCAUAAGUAUAUCAAAAAAUCUCGUGCAACACUCUAGGACUAAGCAUAUAGAGAUUAGACAUAAUUUUCUUAGAUAUCAUACACAAAAGGAUGAUAUAACACUUGAAUUUGUAAGCAUAAAAGACCAACUUGCCGAUAUCUUUACAAAACCUCUAAGAACAUUUUGUUGAUAUUAGAGGACAAUUAGGAGUGAUUUCUUUAUGAUCUAAUGUGAUGAAUUCUUGAUGAAUAUACUUUUUGAUUGCAUGAAUUUCAUGUCAUAUAUGCAUCAUAUAGAAAUAUACUUAGAUAAUGGUCAAAUUUCGACCAAAAAUCAAAAUUCCCAUGGCAUUAGGCAUAAAAAUUUUGGAAUUUCAACUGAAAAUGGUAGGAGGAGGAUCACAAAAUGAGAAAGUAUGCAAAAAUUGAAAAAUCAAAACGUUGACCAAGCGGUCAAUCGGACUAGACCGAUCGACUAGUUUGUCGAGAUUUAGGAUUUUUAAGAGACUCCAACGCUUCAAUUUUUGCACCGUUCUCCUCUAUUUCUUCACGGUUUCUCUGAUUUUGUCUUUUAGAGACUAAUUUGAGUGCGUUUUGGAUCAAUUGAAGCAUUUUGGAUUGGAUUUUAGGAAGAUUGAAAGUUAAGGUUUCGGAUUUGGGUCGCCUUCUCUUCCUCUCGCGUGUCACAAUCAGCUUUAGCAUUGUUCUCUUUCCAUUUUCACACACCUAGGGUUUCAGUUGUGAGCAUCUCUCUCUCUUUACCAACCACUACUCCCUUGCUUCUUCCAUAUGGCUCCUAGGCGAGAGUCCGCUACUUCUAGGGCACAAGGCAAGCACCCAACUGAGUCGUCUCAGUCAAAGGCACGUCGAAAAGUGAGAUUUGACAUUGCCUUGUUCAGUUCCAUGGAGGACUACCAACUAUACAAGCAACACUUUGCUUAGAGACGAGUAGUUCCCAAGAGAAAUAUUAAUUUUCCUCAACUUCAGCAUUUCGAAUUUAAGGGUCUAUUUACUAGGAUGGUUGGUUGUCUAUUGUCACAAUUUCGGAGCCGGUUUUCCUGACCUUAGUGCGAGUUUUUUACUCGAGGGCGACUUAUGGCAUGGGUGGCAUGAUCAUUUCUACUGUUGGAGGAGUUGAGAUCUGUCUGGACCCAGAGAGCAUCUGCCAUAUUUUCGAUAUUGCUCUGGUUGGACUCAAAGUAUACAAGUCCAAAAUGUGGCCCAUUGUGCCAGGAUUUGAGCUUAGAGAGGUCAUUCAGAGGAUUUGUGAACUUCCAGACGCCCAGGAGAUGGGCAAACCAUUGCCACACAGUUUGACGGUCAUCAACAGGGUGCUACACCAUAUAUUGUGCUCUAUCUUUCUACCACGAAGUGGACAUUGAGAUGAGGUCUCUUAUUAUGAGGCAUUCCUUAUUGACUCCAUUCUAACGGAGAGACGAAUUCAUCUACUAUGUCAUCAUUCACUAAGCCUCCUCACAGUGACAUACCACCUCAUCAGGCACCUCUUGCUCCUGACCAUGCUCCAUUGAUGGAUUUAUUUACUCAUAUUAGCUCUCUAGGCACUCGCAUGAAGGAGUUUGUUGUAGUUAGUGAUACAUGGUUCUACUCCAUAGAGGAUCGCAUGGAUCAGUAUCAGACUGGCUUCACGUCACAGUUUGAGUAUCUCCAAUAGAGGAUUGAGCAUAUUGAGGAUCACUUGAGCAUGAGAAGAUGAUGGCUUUUCUAUGCUCUGUGUUUCCACCUCCACCUCGUCAACCUUGAUUUCUUAGAGACCCAUUGUUUUCAUUUUGUAAUGUUGCCAAAAGGGGGAGAUAUUUAGGAUCUAGGACUCUAUAGGAGACUUACAUGCAUAUCAUUUUCAUAUCAUUGUUUGGAUCGUACAUAUUGGAUAGUGAUACUUUUUACUUAUAUAUGAUAUGCCUAUAUGUUUCAUGUCUUACAUUGUUUCUUAUUGCAAAUUAUCUCUAACAUGUCUUGAUUAUCUUUUUUUUAACUUCAUAAAUUUUGAUUGUUAACCCAUGAUUGGUUUGAGGGGAAGAUUCUUCUUCUCCUAGAUAACCAAGGUUUGUCAUCAUAAAAAAAUUGGAGAUUGUUAGCCCAAGGGUUCUCCUAAUCAUGUUUUGAUGAUAACAAACCAUGCUUAAGUUACUAAUUGGUUUGAAUUAUAAAGAAUUUCAAGUGUUAAUUUGAAAAUUCAUCAAAGAACCUAAUGGAUGCAAGAUCAAGAUUUUUGGAAGACCUUUAAUCAUAAGAAACAUAUGUAAGAUGAAUGCAUGGGUGCACUUAAGAUUUGCAUAUCAUUUCAUGCAUAUUUGGAAAACACGGUUUAUGCUUUAAAGUUACAUUUCCAUCAAAAUUUGAGAUCCAUCAAAUGAACCUUAGGAAAAAUGUUUUAAAAUUGGCAUAUAAUUUUACCUAAAGACCUUGCCUAAGUGUUAGAAGCAAAAGGACAAAAAAAAUAUAGGUUUUCUGGUCAAAAAUGGUGAACCAGUCAAGGCAUUGUCUAAAUCAGCUCAAUCGGCCAAGGUACCGGUCGAUCGGUUUCCCUUUCCCUGUCGAGAUCUAGUCAAGAGGUACAAAAAUCACAAUCUCUGUCUCUUUCUCUCUUUGUCUAUCUUCCAGUAGUCUUUCCUUCCCGGUCGAGGGAUUUGCCUUCCCGAUUGAGGUCCGAUUGAGAGUAAUAGUCACUUGCCAAAUAUUAAAUGCUCCAACAGUUAGUGAACUGGUCGACCCCCACCUUGCCCAGUUGAGGUUACUUUUUGGUUUUCUUGGCUCCCGAUGUUAGAAACCUAUAAAUAGAGAGUUCCACUUCAUUUAUGAGCAAGAGAACACUUGCAUUUAUUUGUUUACCUACUUGUUCUUGCCUUAAAAGCUCUCAUUUCUUUUCUUGGUGCAUUAAAUCUCCAUUUUGAUAUCCUUUAGUGCACCUUUGUGAUUCAUCUUAGCCUUGAGUUGUAUUUGAGCCCUUUUUUUAGCUAGGUUGAGAGUUUCAUACUUGUUAAUUGAGUGUUAAAGCCUUCAAGUGAGUUGAAACUUGUAGAGAUUAUGUGAGAGUCGAUUGGAGCCGAAAUCCAAGUGUAAAGGUGAUUAGAAGCUUGGUUGAAGCUUCAAGUUAGUGGAAUCCUCACUCAAUUAGGAGCUUGAGGAGAGUGGACGUAGCCAAGGAAGUGUCGAACCACUAUAAAAUUUGAGUUUGAUUUCUCUAACAUUGUCUCUUUAUAUUUGUUUAUCUUGUGCUUAAAUUUAUUGUGUUUAAAAAGAAUUUUUAAAUACCCAAUUCACCCCCCUCUUGGGUGUUUUUCUCUUUUAAAAUUAGCCUUUAUUUUCUCACAAACUAUUGUAGUAUAGUGGUUUUUAGGUGUCAUCCAUUAGGAUGAAUUGUUCUCGGUAAUUAAGGCGUGAAUGAGAGGAGAAUUAAUGAUUGUGAUUAAGUAAAAUUGAUUUGAAAAUUCAUGGUGAAAAAUCAAUUUAACAAUGGUUUCUAAUUGAGAAAAACAAUGAAAUGUGAAAUAAAAUAAAAUUAAUAGGAAAUGAAAUUCUCGAAGUUAGAAUUUUCUAAAAAACAAAUUCCAUGGUGAAUGGAUGUUGAGAUCUAAUUUUCAUCAAGUUAGAUUGAAAACCGAAAUUUUCAUAUAAACUGAUUUUUUAUUUAGUUUUAGGUCUAGAUUUAAUUUCCCUUAAAAUUAGGUUAUUUAAUCCAAGAAAUCAAUUCAAAUCAUAUAUUCAAUUCAUCUUAAAUUAUCUUCCAAUUAUUCACACAAUGCAACUAUUCAAUCUCAUCAAAUCUAGCUUUUAAGAAUUUAAUGAAUCUACCUAGUUUGCAUUGUAAUAGUCAUCCAUGACAAUUUGAAGAGAAAAAUAAUUCAAUUAAUCAAUCACUUGGAUCAAAUUACCUUUGCAAUUAAAGUUCAUUUCUCUAAUUCACCACAGAUUUUGUCUCUAGAUCCUCCUUUCUCAAAGAAAAAUGAGAUUUAGCCACACAUGAUUGGAGAUUUGGUCUCAUAAGGCAUGUUUAGCUAGUGAUAAAAUGAGAGAAAAUAAAGAAAAAUAGAGAAUUCGAUUAAGAAAGAAAAUCUAAAAAAUUCUACAAUUAGAAAUGUCCAAAAAGCUUUUUCAUGAGAAAAUCAAGUUUCUAUUUAUAGGCCAAGGUCAAGUGGACACUUGACAUCAUCUAAGAGGUCUUCCGGAAGCUUCUUCAUCAAGAAAUCUGGAGUUUAAUAAUAAAAUGGUCAUUUCACAAGAGCUCAAACAAUUUCGCAUGAUUAUGUGAAAUAAAAAAUGCAACAACAGCAAUUUACAUCUUCUUGGAGCAUUUCGCAUGACUGUGUGAAAUUUUCACAUGAUCAUGUGGAAUCGACUUGACAACUCUCAUUUAGCCUACAACAUAAUUCCACCUUUUGGUCCAUUUUUCAUAGUCAUGCGAAAUGGAAAUAUUUGAUUUUUAAGUUUUCUUUUGUCAUUUCUUUCAUUUCCUUCUCUUGAUUCCACUUCAACUACCUCCGAAUCCUGGUCCAAACCAAUUGCAUUACUUCUUUCAUUAUGCAUUUGGAUCAUCAUCAACAUUAUUUGUUCUCUUCAAUUUGAUUCAUCUCUUUUGUCACCAAUUUAUCAAAAUCAUACCUUGAAAUGACUCCAAAACUUCAUAAAACUUGUUAGUAACUCUUGCAAGGGCAACAACAUAUUAAUUAAGUGUUUUAGGCAUAGUUACUACUCAAAAGAUGCGAAACUCAUGAUAAUUAUUAUAUAAAAUAUGCUCUUUUUGAGUAGUAAUCAACUUUCUUGCAUAAGCAGACCUUUUAGGGUGGAGUACUAAAGACCAAUAUGCUUGUCCUUGUUGUAAUAAAGAAACUUGCUCUUAUUGAUUGCACCAUGGGAGAAAAUUUUGCUACAUGAGUUAUCAUCAAUUUCUUCCCACCAAUCAUAGAUUUAGACGUGACAAGAGGCCUCUUAAUGGCAAGGAGGAACUGACACUCACACUUAUACAAUUAUCGGGCAUUGAUGUGUUGCAACAAUUAGAAUAACUUACACCAAUUAUGUUGGGGAAGUCACAAAAGGCAAACAUGAAAACUAAAAGGAAAAAAGAAAAAUGUUACAUAUCACCACAACUGGAAAGAAAAAAGUAUUUACUUUCAUUUGCCAUAUUGGAAAGCACUUAUUUUACAUCAUAAUAAUUUAGACAUAAUGCAUAUUGAGAAAAAUGUGUGACAAUAUAAUUGAGACAUUGUUCAGUAUUGACGAAGAAACAAGGACAACCUAAAUAGUCAUCUCGAUUUACAAGCUCUAACUAUUAGAAAUGAGAUUCACCCAAUAGAAAGCAGGACCAAAUUUAUUUUGCUUGCAACAUGCUACUCACUCACCCCAAAUGAGAUUAAGGAAUUUUGCAAGUUUUUGAAAUCAAUAAAGGUCCCCAAUGGCUAUUCUUUCAAUAUCUCUCGUUAUGUGCAACUCAAUGAAAGGAAGAUAUAUGAGCUCAAAUUGUAUGAUUGUCAUGUCCUAAUGCAACAACUUCUCUCACUUGUAGUUCGUGGAGUUCUACAUAAGAAUGUUUGUGGAGUUAUCAUAGAAUUGCGUAAUUUUUUCAAGCAAUUGUGCUCAAAGGUGUUAGAAACAAAUCACUUACACCAACUUGAGAACAAUAUUAUUGUCAUACUAUGUAAAAUGGAGCAAAUAUUUCUUCCAUCAUUCUUUGAUAUUAUGGUGCAUUUACUUGUGCAUCUAGUAAGGCAAAGGUUGCAAGACUUGUGCAAUAUUGUUGGAUGUACCUAAUUGAACGAUAUUGUUAUAAUUUCAUAUGAAUCAUUUAAUUUUAUUUUAUAUUAUGUUCAGUUCAUUAACAUGUACAUUGGUCUACAUAUGGAUGAUGAUAGGUACCUAAGCACUUUAAAGUCAUAUGUGCGUAAUAGAACUUUUCUAGAAGGUUCUAUUGUAGAAAGGUACCUUGCAAAAGAAUGUACAACAUUUUAUUCUAGGUACUUGAAUGAUGUGGAAAUAAAGUAUAAUCACAAUGAUAGAAACUUUGUUGGUUUCAACACUAGAGGAGAUGAAAGGGGUUAUCUUUAAACAUAUUGGACAUGCAUUGGGAAAGCCCAUAUUUCAUUAACUUAGUUCAAAAGAGUGGUCACAAGCACAUUUAUAUGUGUUGACAAAUUGCGAAGAUGUCAUACCAUUCAUUGAGUAAAAAAUUUAUUUGAAUUUUAAUUAAAGCUCUAGUUUAUAUCCUUAAUCAAUGUUUUUUAAAUUCACAAGGAGCACAAGCAAACCAUCAAGGCUAGACCACAUAUACGUGUUUGAGACGUAGAUUUAAUUCAUAACAAGGAAUUUAUCAAGUGGUUUGAAAGACAUGUAAGUAUAUUCCUUAUUAUAAGGGAUUUAUUUCACAUUAUGUUUAUAUUGAAUCCAAACCUAUUAUUGAAUUGUAGGUUGAACAAUUACAUAAUGAAGGUCAUAUAUCUGAACACCUUCUCACAUUAUCAUGUGUUCCAAAUUCAUUAGUUACAUGCUUCAAAUGAUAUAUUGUCAAUGGAUUUAGAUCCCACAUUAAAGAACGUGAUAAAAAAGUUUUUAAAAAAAGACUCAGAAUAAUGGAAUUGUUGUAGUUGCAAAAACGUCAAGCUUUACAAGUGCAUGUGAUAUGAGUCCAAUUAUUAGUGAUGCUCUCUACUAUGGUGUUCUAACUAAAGUUGUUGAGUUACAUUAUCUUGGUGAAAAUAAGGUUGUUUUAUUCGAGUUUGAUUGGUGGGAUGUUACAAAUAUUGGAAAAUUGAUAAAAGAUGAUGAGUACAAUUACACAUUUGUUAACUUUGCAUGAAUUCUAACCACGAACGAACGAUUUGUACUUGCAUCUCCAGCAAAGUAAGUGUUCUAUGUGAAGAAUGCGAAUGAAUCAGAUUGGCAUACUAUCAUGGAGAUGCAACCUCAAGACCUCUAUAAGAUGAACGGGAUAGGAUCCAAUGGUGAUUUUGAACCAUUUCAACAAAGUGAACUACAUGAUCACUAAUAUAUCUCAGAUUUAGUUGAUGAAGAUAUAAUCAAGUGGAACAAAAGUGAUGUUUUAGGACUAAUCAUCCUAAAAAAUAUUGUAGUUUCUUAAAAAAAAAAUGAAAAUGAAGAAGAUAAUUGAACCUUUGUCAUACUUUAAAAAGCAACUAUGCAUUGUUCAUUUUGUAUGUUUUGGUUUUCUUCAUUUAAUUUCCUGAUUUUUGUGAUUCAAUGUCAUAUUAUUGAUCUUGAAAUAUUUUUCUAAUUUUUCAUUCUACGAUGGUUUCAACAAGGAUGACAUCAAGUCAAAAAAGGAAAUGUGGUCCCACACACAAUAUUGCAUUACAGGGAUUAAGGUCAGGGAAGAAGGUAAAAGUUGCAUUUAAUGAGUACAAUCAAUUGGUUAAACAGAAAAAUGGAAAACACUUAUCGAGCUACAUAGGGACACUUGUAUCUAACCAACACAAUGUACCUCUCCAAGCUAGUGAUUGGAAAAAUGUUCCAAAUGAUGCAAAAGAGAAAGUAUGGCCUUUGUUUUGGUAUGUUGUAUUUCUCACUAUAUGAUGUCAUUUCACUGUUAUUCUAUUUUGUGACUAACGUUUGAAUCAUAUGUAAGAAAAAUUUGAAGUAGAUAAAGACUGAAAAGAUUACAUGUUGGGUAUAGCCUCAAAUAAAUAUAGAAGCUAUAAAAAUAUGAUGAAUGCAAAAUACUAUGACCCUUGGCAUAAGGAUGCAUGAGGAGAGGUUAAUACAUAAAUCACCAUUUGUCUCUGAUGUUGAUUGGAAGUGGCUUGUCUCUGAUGCAUAAACCAAAUCCCCCACUGAAUGUUUGAUAUUUGAUAGCAGGAAAAACACACCCGCAGCUAUACACCUCCAUCAUUCAGAUAAUUAUAGUGGGGGAGAUGAUUCAUGGUUGCCCUUAUACCCUUUAUUUGCACCAUCUAUUGAGAUUCUUUAUCAUGGCCAGGUUUUACUGCAGCAAUAAGAUAUGGUGGCAACAAUUUUAUCUAUAGGUGCGGUUCCAGACCGCCUCCAUAGGUGCGGUUCCUGACUGCCUCCAUAGGUGCCUCUUCUUGUAAUGUUUGUUCUGGGAAUUACACUUGAAAGCCUUAUCGUGAUAAGGGAUUACAAACACUAGUUCAGAGGACAGCCAUGUUAAACUUCCACUAUGUUUGUGUCACAUUAUCAGCAGCCUAGUGUUUAUUGGUCAUGCUAUCUGCAACUAAUAUAACCCGGUGAACUUCAAUCUAAAUUCUGAAAGUACUCAUGUGACAGAUGGUGCCUUUCAGCAGAUAUCAUCAAUUUAAAAGUAGUGUGUGUGCCUAUAGGUGGGAAGGCCUUGGCAAAUGUUCAGUAUUCCGGUAAUUCAAGAAGGAUAUAUCUAAAAUAGAUUUUCUUCUUGCCCAUUUCAAUAGUUAAAAUUUGAGAAGAUUGUGUCCACAUCACACAAAUAUUAUUGGUCCUUCUGUUGCAAUUUACCUCUGAACAUGUCUUCCAAUUCCCACGGUCCUGUUACUCCAGGAAAACUAUUUCGGUCAUAUUGAAAAAAAAAAUAUUAAAGAAGGUACACAUGCUUUUAAGUGGACUGGGGCAUUCAUAUCAGGUGGUCUGUAUCCACAUAUGCCACUUCGUGAAAGGUGGAACAGCCUAAUCACUAGGCUAUUUAGUGUGGCCCAGCCACGUUAAUCAAGCACAAGUCUUCAUACUUAAAGUCAAAUGGUGUCUUUAGUCUCAUUACACAUCGCUAUUUGAAGAUUAACUCAUCACUAGUGUAAUGCGAUUAAGACAGUCCUAACUCAAUAUUUGUUCUAGUUUUGGAUGCAAAUGCUUGCUGGUUUCAUCAUUGGAUGGGAUAAAGGUGCAAUCAGGACUAUGAAUACGUGCAGUAAUACUUCAUUCUCUUUUUUCUCAAUGAGACUUCUUGGCACAAUUUUGCUGCUCAGCAACCUACCUUUCCAUGGAAAAUCAGUUGUGACUGAUAGUAAUGGAUAUAUUCUAGAAAGCUAAACAUAGAUAGCAUUCAAUAUUAUCGAUAUAACAUUAACAGCGUAUGUCUCAAUGCUCAUCAGCUACAAGCAAUGGACAAACACUUUGAGUAACUCACAGCAGUCAAAAUUCCUAAACAGGACAGACGUGACAGAUCUAUAUAUAGAACACUGCAUAUGAGUCACAGGAAAAGAUAAUACGGGUACAUAGAAGCUCUUAUUUUACAUAUUACUCAUACUGAUCAAAGUCGCUCAGUUGGGAUGGAUGGGAGAAGGAGGUUUGAGGGGUGGCUUGUGCGGGGAAGUUGGCAGCUUCUUUCCGGGAGCUGGUUGCUUCUUUGCUGGAGUUGAAGGAGGCUUAAUCUUCCGAGGUGGCUUGUAUGAGUCUUCAGCAUUCUCAGCAGGAGGGUGACCAGGGUUGUGACCAUAAUGUGGUGGCUUCUCUCCCUUAGGUGGUUUGCCAACUGGGGUUGGUGGCUUGUUUUCUGGGAGUGGCUUCUCUCCCUUGGGUGGUUUGCCAACUGGGGUUGGUGGCUUGUGUUCUGGGAGUGGCUUCUCCCCCUUGGGAGGUUUUUCGAAUGGGGUGGGUUUGUGUCCUGGUGGUGGCUUCUCUCCCUUGGGAGGUUUACCAAUUGGGGUCGGUGGCUUGUGUUCUGGGAGGGGCUUCUCUCCCUGGGGAGGUUUAGUGGGUGGCUUGUGUUCUGGAGGUGGCUUCUCCACCGGAGGCUUAUGCUCUGGUGGUGGCUUCUCGAAGGGGGGAUGCUCAGGGUAAUCACCAAGUGAGGGGGUGGUGAGAACCACCAUGCCAAGCAACAACACUAGCAAGUAUGUAGUAGACAUCUUUGGGUUUGGACUCAGACAGUGCAAAACUACGAGAAAUCGCUAGCCCUUUAUAGCGGCUCGGACCUAAUACUGACAUAAUAUAAAAUAAAUAUUAUAUUUUAUCAAGAGAGAACAGAGUGUAAUUUUAUCAUUAAUACCGAUCGAGGCCAAAGAAAGAAGACCCAUAAUCCAUUUCCCACAAGCAUACACAAUGCAGCUGUAAUUUUAUCAUUUACUUUUAUCCCUUGGACCACUGCAUUUUUGUUGAGAGACACAAUAACACAUUUUUAUCUGUCAUUCAACAUUUACAGUAAAGAGAGGGCACAAAACGCAAUUAGAUAAAUUAUGUUUUGCCUGCUAAAAAGAGGCAAAUAACUUUAUUUGCAACAUAAUUAUUUUGGUUUCUAGUGACCCCGGGGCCUUUCGGUUGGUUUGGGAUCGGAAAAUGAACAUCAUAGGGGGGGUUGUGCCCUUAUGGGCAUAUAUAUCUGAUAGCUUCAACUGGCCUUGUUCCUAGAAAGAAAUUGCCAAAGAUAUAAACUUAUUCCAGGCUGAAAGUAGAUGAGAGUCAUAAUGAACAUCAACCUUUGUUCAGUUUGAUUCAAUGCCCCCAUAGUGUUCAUUUCACAGAUCUGAAUGAUUAUAUCCGUUGAAUACAUAAAUUAAUGAAGACAAAUAUGAAACCCAAGAUACAUCUCUGCAUAACAACCCCAACCCUGGUUGCUAUGUUUCCCUUCUUCUAUUCACAUGAGGAUACUGGUUAUAAUUGUCAAACUUGCAACAAGCCCUUUGACACCUAACGUCAAUGGACGAAUUAAAAGUCUCCUUCAAACGUCUAUUUCACAGCAUGAAGCUUAUAAAGGAUGCUGACAACCUUCAGAGUUAGCGACAAAAGAUAAUUAUCAAGGAGAGAUAGUUCCAUGAGAAUUCCAAGGAGUCUGAAUCAAAGACAAAUUGCUCACUCAAGGGUUCUUAUUUUCUUUUAGGUACAAAUCUCUUGAGUGUUGUUAAAGAAACACGUCACUGUCAUUUUGAUUUGCAUUUAACAUUUCACUUUUGUUCUGGAAGGUUUGUUCCGGAAACAUAUCAAAUGAGCAUCAUUUUCUUCUUCGGUGACACAUGGUCGCGAGUACGUGGGUCCAUUUUCAUGCCACUUAGUUGAAAAGUUGGAAAGAAAAAACAUGCCAACAAGAAGAUAGUGAGAGAAGGGGCACUUCAAGCCUUUAACAUGAACAAACAGUAAAUAAAAGAUGUUUCUCCACUCAUAAAAGUGUGUUAGAUAGCAAUAUAACGAAUCACAUCCAAAAUCUUUACUAGGCUCAAACAUAAAGAAGACUCAUUUUUAAGAAAAGAUAAAAAUGGCAUUGUCUGAUAGUAUCCAAUACACGAGAUGGCACUUAAUUUGUACAAGAUCUGUCAAUGCUGACGCACAUUUUCUGAUUAAAAAAAAACUGAUCAGUCAAAAGCAAUGAAGAGAAGUGAUGACAAUGAAUGAUGCUUCCAAUAUUUUCACCCCUUAUAGUGUUCUUCAUGAUUCAGAUAUAUAAUUGGAAAUAGAACAACCCUAUGCCAUACAUUCGUCUAAGUAUGGUGUCUAAUUUUUUGUGUCAGCGGUUGCGAAUGGAGCGUGCAAAAGUCCAAAUUGGCGUCUCUCCAUUUCCACAUAGGAAGGUGACCUUUAUUGACAAAUACCCAAUAUUUGUAGACAUUCCUUAAAUAUCAUAACUUCUUGUUGAUUUGAAAAUCAUUUUUCAACUACCAUGUUUUAAUAAAUAUUUUUUAAAAUGUAUUUUUAUCAAAGUCCACCAUGAUGGAUAAUAUUCACCAUGCAAUAAUUAAUAAAGUACAAACUAAGCGAAAUGAAAAGCAUUUUCUUUGCUUUGAGUUGAUUUUGGUUGCAUUGAGUUGAUUUUGGUUUCAUGGUUUUUUCAACUCUUAUUUUGAUUGGAAGAUGUCAAGAAAAGAAAACAUAAAGAAAAAUUAAAAGGGAAAAAAGAAGAAAAAUAAAAAAAAAUAGAUUUAAAAGUUAAUAAAUUAUUUUUUAUAUUUAUUUUAAUUCAUUUCACUUAUUUUUCUUUUACUAUAUAAAAUUUAAAUAAUUUAAAUUUUAUAAUUAAUUUAAUUACAUUUCAUUUUCUUCUAUAUUUAAAUAUUGGAAAAAUAUUUUACUUAAUAUUUUUUUCUUUAAUUUCUUUGGCAUUUUGGGAACCAAACUUAGCCUUUAAAAUAAAAAACAAAAAAAAAAUGAAAAUAAGGAGGGAAAAGUGAGAAAAGAUAAAAACAAUAUGUAAAGGAUUUGAAAAGUAUUAGUUUGUAAUUACUAUUUGGAUUUCAAUAGUAUUUUAUUUGUCUUUCUAUAUUUCAUGUAAGAGAGAAUUUAAGAUAUUCCCCAAGGCAAAGCAUUAGUUACCUGCAAUCAGUGGUGAUAAGGCUCCAAGCCAAUUUUGGGCCCCAUAUCUUAAGACAGUACAAUUUCCAUUUCAACAUUUCUGAUUUCUCAGAUGUUUCACAUACCACAGAAGAACAUUGUUUGUGAAAAUAUGCAUUUAUGUUGGAUUUUGUAUGCUGUGGGGACUGGGGCAAGGAUCAUAUGGAAGAGUGGUUGACUUUUUCUGUACUUUAACGGUUGAAAUAGGAUAAGCACGGGCAUUUGUGAGGCUUAAUUGAUUUUGAAGCCUGAAAUUGCGUUUCUGUCAUUUUGUCAAAAAAAUGGCAGAUUCCAUACUCAUAUGUUUGGCCUGUGGCCAUGUACAGAUGCCAUUUAGUGACCAGUUUGUAACUGUCAAUCGUUGCGUUUUGACUCUGCCUCAACAACAUCUGCCAUUGACGGGUUUUCAUACUUGCAAAUCAAAUAGUCUUUCGUCCCAUCAGGAAUUUCGGUUUAAAUAUUAUUAAGCAUACGUUUGGCUGACAAUCAUUAUCCAGUUCAUGAUUUGGUUUCUUACCCUUAAUCAAUGGUUUCUAAGUGAAUAUAUGUAGAAGGAAAUCCGAAGUGUAGACAGUAGUAUCGAUAACUCUCAAUAUUCUCUAUAUAAUAGAAUAAACAGCGUCAUAGUGAUCGUCGCCUACAAGCAAGGUACAAAUACCAAAACGAGUGACUCACAUAGACAUCUCCCAACAAGAUGUAGUAGUGACUGACACAUGGACACAAUUAACUCGUAGAAAAGGAUAAGACCAUUGCACAGCAGCUCUUAUUUUACAUACUACUUAUGCUAACCAAAGUCAAUUAGUUGGGAUGGGUGGGAGAUGGAGGUUUGUGCGGUGGCUUGUGGGGCGGAGUUGAUGGCUUCUUUCCAGGAGCUUCUGGCUUUUUCAUCGGAGCUGAAGGAGGCUCAAUCUUAUGAGGCGGCUUGUAUGAGUCUUCUUUACUCUCGACAGGAGGGUGGCCAGGGUUGUGAUCAUAAUGUGGUGGCUUCUCUCCCUUAGGUGGCUUGCCAACUGGGGUUGGUGGCUUGUGUUCAGGAAGUGGUUUCUCUCCCAUGGGAGGUUUAGCAAUUGGGGUUGGUGGCUUGUGUUCUGGGAGUGGCUUCUCUCCCUUGGGAGGUUUAGUAGGUGACUUGUGUUCUGGAGGUGGCUUCUCCACCGGAGGCUUGUGCUCCGGUGGUGGCUUCUUGGUUGGAGGGGGCUUGGGGUAAUCAGCAAGAGAUGGGGUGGUGAGAACCACCAGUCCAAGGAACAACACUAGCAAGUAUGUGGGAGACAUUUUUGAGUUUGGGCUGAUCAGAUGAUGCAAAACUAAAGCAUUACGUGACCUUUUAUAGCAUGUAGCUCCCAAUACCCACUAAGUAUUGUGGGGUCCAUUUGUGCCCUACGGGGUUGAAAACUUAGACAAUUGGGCAAGGACCCACCUGACUAUGGAGGACUAGUGAGGUGUGAUCAUAGCUUUAGGAUUUUUCUUCCUCUGCAGCCGUCGUGCCGUUGGCAUGAUUUUCUUAAUCUUAAAUAAAGGCAUAGUUAUAGAGUUGUUUAAUCUCUAAAUGGGAUUUUAUAUAUAUCUUCAGAUAGCCAUUAAUAUAUUUGAUGAAGAAAGAAAGACAAGUGCAUACAACAUGUAUACGACUAGCUUUCAUGGAGUUCAUUUAUGAUCAGUUUUCCUGUACAUGUAAACCAGGAUCAUAUAUAUGUUUCUGUUCCACAACUAUUUUGGAAUCUUGUUUAUCAGUUUUUAUCAUUAUAAUGUCACAUAGGCUGCCAACUUGGGCGCUAAAAGAACCAGUUGGGCUAGUUCGUUUCAGAAUUUCAAUGUGGAUUCAGGAAUUGUUUUGUAAGAUAUGCGAAAUAGUAGAGGGAUGAAUAGUGUUUCAUUAAUAAAAGUGUCCUGUAAAUUAGAAGGUGUCAUAGAAACUAUAAUCAAUAAAUAACUUUUUUUCCCCACGGGUGGUGUUUCUUGUGGGGAUCAGUGACUGGUUUAGGUUCACCCAAAAUGAGUUCAGACUAAAAUUGGUUUGAGUCAAUGCCGUGUCUCUUUUUUCCAGAAAUCAACUAUUUUAUGCAUUGAAUAAAUCAUACAAAGAAAAUAUGAACGCCCGCAAAACCUAAACCCUGGUUGCUAACUUUCUAUGUUUCAGUUCUAUUCACGCAAGAAUAUUAGUUUAAGUUUGGGAAAAAUGGCAACUUACCUAGUGAUUACUUGGUUUUGGUUUGCGACUAUUUACGCAACCAACCAUGAGUUUGACUUUAACGUCAUGGGUUGAAGCCUCCUACAGGAAGGGAGAAAGCUCCACAGCUAGCUCCAAAAGAGAAUUAUCACAUUGAUAGCUCCAGAGAUUCCCAAGGGGACUGAAUCAAAGACAAGUUCCUCACUUUUUCUUCUUUUGAGGCCAAAUAUGAACCAAGGAUCACACAACCUCAUUCAACUUCAUAAGUUUGAUUUCAUGCAGUUGAACACUGGGUGAAGGCCAUGACAAGAAUUGAUUCAAAAAUUCUAUCACUCUUUUAAGUAAUGGAAGAUUAUUAUCUCUGAUUGGCAUCACAACAGCACAUGCUCCUAGAUCUUUCUAGACACUCCAUGCAAUGAAAGCACAAUGGAUCUUGUAACGAUAGAAACUAAGCCAUGCUACAGUACUAGAUGAUGAGGUAAAACUAGUAGACACGGGUGGCAGCCUAUAUGGGAGGGACACAAGUCUAAUUGAUUUGCAUUUCAGCAUUAUAGAUAGGUAUGUUUUGGAAGAUUUGUUCUGGAAAUACCGCACCAAGUAGGAUUCUUUUUCUCUUUAGUGGGUCCACUUGCAUGCCAAUUAACGAGUUGAAAAGUAUGAGCACCUACCUCGUGCUCGUGGAACCGAAGGUCAGUGAAGUGGGGCUCCUUUUGGCCUCGUGUAAACUUGAUUCAGAAGUGAAGUUAAUAGUCUUCCAUUCAGAUGGAUACAUGGGAAUUUUUCUCUUUUAUUUAUUUAUUUAUUUUUUUUUUGUGUGUGUAUGUCAAAGGAUAAUGAAUGAAGCGCGUUAGCUUGUUUUCUGACUGGAACCGCAGAUGUCCAAAUUGGAGUUCCUUCAUUUCUUACUUAGGAUUGUUACAUGUAUAAACAAGGUAUAAGAAAUAUGCCAACGUGUCUUGAGGAGUUAUUGAUUAGAAAUAACAAGUCACCCGACUGUAGAGUUCCAAGAUUUGAAUCUUCAGACCCUAUAGCAGCCUCUGGGGUACGUGGCAUCCUAUAGCAUAUUAAUGAAGGCUUUUUCGAUUUAGACUUCACAAUACCAAUUAAUAUGUAUGCACAAAAUGGAGAUGACCCCAAAAAAAACAGAAUCGCCAUAGUUUAUGAGGUUAAGGUGAUUCUCCACUUAAUAUCUACAUUAGCUAAUUAUGUAAAUCAAAUGAACUUCUAUUUUUCCUUUUUUUUUUUGGUUUAUGUCAAAUAGUAGCCCAUAAUUAACCCAACCAUUAGCCUGUUUGAAUUGAUUUCACAUGCACAAUGUUGUAGUAGUUCAUAUUUUGAAUUUUAUUUUUACAAAGGUAGUUAAGGAAAAUGAAGUAUAAUAAUUAUAAAAGCAGACUAUAUACACUACAAUAAUUGUUAGAAUGGUAUCUCAAAUUCUAAUUUAAAAUAUUAUUUUUUGUAAAAGAAAUAUUAUAUAGAAUAUUUCCUAAUUUUAUAAAUGAUUAUAAUUAGAUCUUUAUAAAAUAAGGAAAGUUGGUAAGAAUAUCUUUAUAAAUAUUUUAGGUCAUGAGAGAAAGAAAUGGGAUAAAAAUGUGAUGAAGAGGUGAAAUAAGAGAGUUGAUUAGGAUAUAGAUGUGAAGAAGAAAGGGAUUCAAUAUAUAUAUAUCUUUCAAUUACCACAUUAAAACCCUGUGAACCUUUUAUAUGGUUUACUUUAUUUUUAUAUUCCUCCUUUAAUAUAUUUACAUUAAUGCUUCCAUUGGCACAACAAUAACGAAUUACAAAUACAAGCAACAAGUCCCAUGUUUUAUUACCAAAAGCAGGUAAAAUCCACCUAAUAUAUUACAAUAUAUUCAUCCAAUAUUUUAGACCAAUUCUUCACCAUAAAUAUCAUAAUGUGGCUUUUGUUCUUUCUUAAAUUUAAAUUGAAUUGUCUUAUAUCAAUUUGUUUGUGAUUUUUUCAUUAACUUCACUUUCAUUUGGUUAUCUUUGGUUUUUGAAAAGUAUUAAGGAAUUAAUUAACAAAAUAAUGUUAAGAAAAAUAAUUUUCUCUCUUUUGAUUUUGAUUUUGUAGUAGAAAAAUAUAAUUAAAAUUAUUUAAAAAGUAUGUAAUUUUAAAUUAUUUAAUAUUUAGAUAAAAAAAAUAAGUCUAAUGAGUUUAAAAUAACAUAUAAAAAUAAUUUAUUUAUUUUAAAUUUAUUUUUUAUUUUCCAUUAUGUUCUCUUUCUCUUUUACUUUUUCAUAUUUUUUCUUACGAAGAAUCAAACACAACCUCAUAUUAUAUGUCAAGUGUUUGUCUAUAUUUGAGCAAUGUUAGAUACGGCCAUGGAUUCAUCAAACUAAACUGAUUUUAAUAGAUACUUCACAAAUUGAUUUAUACACUAAAUCAUUGGAUAGCAAUGAUGCAUUGGAAUUAAACGUAGGAUGAAGCUCGAAGAACACUGUUUGUGUAACAACAUAUUUAUGAAAUUAUGCAAAGGAUGAGCUUCGGGGUAGUAGUACAAGGUCAUUAAUGGAGAGCCGUGUUAAACCUUGAUUGUGAUUGGAUUCCGUUAUCAGCAACAGCAACCUUGUUUGUAACCUUGAAAGUCAUUCUGUCCACAUCGAAACUCCAAUUUGACGUUUGUAAUUACCAUUCCUGGAGUGUUCCUUGAUUGAAAUUUAAAUAAUAAUUGCGGCCCACAAGGAAUAUUUUCGAUUCUGUGGGAAUUUGACAAGGUUUGUUAGAGAAGACUGGUGACAUGUUGACUUCAAUGGUUCAAAUAGGAGACGUAUGUGGAUUUGGGGGGUUUAAUUGAAACUGAGUCCCUAUGGCUUUUUAAUAUUUGCAUUGAGCAGUCUCCAUGUGACUUCCUAAUUCCCACCAACCCUCCUGUCCAUGCUGUGAAACUAAAUUGUAAUUUAUCAGCCUUUGUCAAUGGUUUCUAAAUUAAAGAUAUAGACCAUGCAUGUACUUUAAUAAAAGCAAAUCUAAAGUGUAGAUAGCAGCAAUGGUGACACCCAAUAUUCUCCAUAAAAUAGAAUUAGAAUAAGCAGUGUUACAUUGUUCAUGAUCACCUACAAGCAUACAAGAACUUCCAUGAAUAACUCAUAGCAAUUGCCAACAGGGCGUCGUAGAGACUCAUACAUAGAACACUAUCCACCCAGAGGAAAGGACAAGACCAGUGCGCUGCAGCUCUUAUUUUUCACAUGUAUACCACCACUCGUAAUAACCAAAUUCACUCAGUUGGGAUAGGUGGGAGAUGGUGGUUUGUGGGGUGGCUUGUGGGGAGGAGUUGGAGGAGGCUUUAUUUUCUGAGGCGGCUUGUAUGAGUGUGCAGGAGGAUGCCCGGGAGUGUGACCAUAAUGUGGUGGCUUCUCUCCCGUAGGUGGUUUGCCAAAUGGGCUUGGUGGCUUCUCUCCCUUAGGAGGUUUACCAAUUGGGGUUGGUGGCUUGUGUUCUGGGAGUGGUUUCUCUCCCUUGGUAGGUUUGCCAAUUGGGGUUGGCGGCUUAUGUUCUGGGAGUGGCUUCUCUCCCUUGGGAGGUUUGCUAAUUGGGGUUGGCGGCUUAUGUUCUGGGGGCGGCUUCUCUCCCUUGGGAGGUUUGCCAAUUGGAGUUGGCGGCUUAUGUUCUGGGAGUGGCUUUUCUCCCUUGGGAGGCUUGCCAAUUGGGGUUGGCGGCUUAUGUUCUGGGGGUGGCUUCUCUCCUUUAGGAGGUUUGCCAAUUGGAGUCGGCGGCUUAUGUUCUGGAAGUGGCUUUUUUCCCUUGGGAGGUUUGCCAAUUGGGGUUGGCGGCUUAUGUUCUGGGGGUGGCUUCUCUCCCUUGGGAGGUUUGCCAAUUGGAGUCGGCGGCUUAUGUUCUGGGAGUGGCUUCUCUCCCUUGGGAGGUUUUGUUGGUGGCUUGUGUUCUGGAGAUGGCUUCUCCCCUGGAGGCUUGUGCUCCGGAGGUGGCUUCUGAAAUGGCGGGGGCUUGGGGUAAUGAGCAAGAGAUGGA